UUGUUGUGACUGAAAUUCGUCGAUACUGGAUGGUGGAAAUUUGACUCUUUUUUCCCCUUGCCAUGCCUGAAGUCUGAAGUUUCCAUGUCCUAUUGAAAAUGAAAUGAUCAUCAUCUUUUACAUCUAGGAUAACACUAAGCAUACCUAAAGCACUGAAAUUUUUGGUUUGGUCAGAAUAUGGAUUGCAGCACGCCAGCACCAUCAUGGAGGCAGCACCGUUUCAUAUUACAAGUCACUUUAAUUUUUCUACAAAUUAAACUUUUUUAGUUUUAAUCAAAUUUAUAGAAAAAAAAUAGUAAUAAAUCUAAAACACCAAAUUAGUUUCGUUGAAUCUAACGUUGAAUAUAUUUUUAUAAUAUAUUUGUUUUAUAUUGAAAACACUACUAUAAUUUUCCAUAAAUUUUAUCAUACUUCUAAAGCUUAAUUGGGAAAAAAAAUCAAAGCGACUUGUGUUUUUCUUUGGGCUCUCUGGCAAAACAGCAACUGCCAUUGGCUGGCGUGGCGUGUCACCUUGAGCACCUCACAAUCUGCCGAUCCCCAGCAGUGUCCAAGUGUGAGCUUCUUGUGGUUGGAUUGCCAUUUGGCCAUUGCCUCUGGAUCUGCCUCUGCAACAUUGAGAAUAAUGCUUUCCAAUUUCCAUGUAGUAGUAGUAGCAGCAUGUAGUGUGUAUGAGCCAACUGCAAAAACAAAAAAGAAAAAGAAAAAUGGCGCCAAGAUUAACCGCCAAACGGCCUGCUUCCCUCUCCUCUCGCGGCAGAAACGCAGUUCUUCAGCUAUGGUGUGGAUCAGAGAAAUGGAGGAUUCUGCAGAGCCAUCGCCGCCUCCCCGGCGGCGUCCGGUGCAGCUCCGGCUCGCCGGACAGCGGCGGCGGCGGCGCCCCGCCGCUCGUCAGGGCGGCGGUCAGCGCCGUCACCGAGCUACUCAGGGUCCUGACUCCCAAGAACCCCAGGCAUGCAAAGUGCUCGAGUUCAUCUGAUGUUGCUGUUCACCAUUUGGUUUUUGAGAAUUCUUCUCUAAUUUGCUGAUGAUGCAAGCAUCUGGGAUUCAAUUUGAGGGUGCAGAGUUGUUGAUGAUGAUCUUCAGAAGGGAGAUGAAGGAGGAGGAGGAGCAGAGUUGGAUUCGCCGCGCAGCGUGGAUGAUGUGAUUGCUGUUCUUGAAGCCGAUUACCAGCGAGCAUAUUUCCUCACUGGUAUGUAGUAUGAGUUUUCUCUGUCUGUUGAUGCUGCCAUGUCAUAGAGAACAUAAGAUAAAUUGAAGAGUUGGAAAUUGCACAUUUAAUUUCACUUUUUAGUACUGAUGAUGGUUACAUAGAACUUAAAAUUUAGGUUAAUCGACUGCCAUAUAUAUAGUACACAUGCCAAAUAGUUUCAGAAUCUGAAGUUAUAAUGCACUGAAACAUCGGAUGUUUUCUUAUCAGGGAACUUUACUCCGGACAUAUAUACCGAAGAUUGCUUGUUUGAGGACCCGACAAUAAAGUUCCGAGGUUUGCGAUAAUUUUCUUUGCUAUUUGACCUCACAAAUGCGCAAUGCAAGCCCCGUCAAGCAAUGUUUAAUUUGAUUCGCUCCAAUUUCAAAGAAAUACUAUGAAUUUUUGUUAUGCUAAAUGCACUGUUGUUAUUUGGUAGGAAGGUCUAGAUAUUCCCAGAACCUAGAUCUGCUUGUACCGUUCUUCGACAGCCCUUCACUUGAGCUUGAAAACAUUGAAAAGGUAACACUGUUUGCUGAAAUUGUCAAGUGACCAGUGAUGCAUCUGCAAUGCAUGUGUUGUUGUCUUUUCUUUCUUUUCCAUUCCAUUUUGCUAAAAUUGAUGUAGCUACCAACUUACCAAAUGUCAAUUUCCAUCUCCAGAUUGCCCUUCUGUUCUGAACUGUAAGGAAUGCCAUUAUAUUGUGCUAGUAAACAUGCAAGCUAUUUUUAUUGCAGAUGUGCCUUUACUGAUUAGCUUCUAGUUUAGUUAUACUGGCACAGUGUGAUUUGUCAAAGUUUUGUCUAAGCUAUACCCAUUUUGCAACUUCCUGAUGCUCUUUGCAAAUCAAGCAGGGGUUGAGGGUUGAAACAAAGUUCAUCAUGGCAACAUGGACACUAAGGUGAUACUGUAAUAUUAAAUCUUGUUUCGUUAAUUAUUAGGUGGGGUAAAACUAGUCAUCUUUUGCAAGUUCAGAGUAACUGAACUAAAAUCUCUAUGAACCCAGAAGGAUUUAGCAGAAACUUGUAUUAAAUACUGCACACUACUUUGUUUUUUCUUGUGUUCAACUAAUAUGCUUUUCUUACAGGACAUAUUUAAGGCUUCCAUGGAGACCCCUCAUCGCCAUCAGAGGGAAUACAACAUAUGAUUUGGAUGAAGAAUACAAGGUAAGGAGGUGAAAAGAAAAGGAAGCAACCUUCUAAUUUUUUUUCUCUUUCAUUUUAAUUCAAGAGCUAAGAAUAUUUUGGCUGUUACAAUAUGUUCAGGUCACUAGACAUGCUGAGAGCUGGGAUGUCUCUGCAUUGGAGGCGAUUGGGCAGAUAUUCGUGCCGGCUCCGAAACAAACAGAUGACAUCUAAUUAACCAGCUAAAGCAACACAGAGCACUAGUAUACAUGAAUAUGAUGCUGGUGCUUUGCCACGUAGUGCUUCUCAACCGCAAUGCAUAACUGUACAUUUCCUUUUUGUGAUUACACACAAGUAAGUGCACAUAUUAUAUUCUAACUAAGUACGAGUUAGUAUGUUUUUGGUGUGAGUAUGGUUCAUGUAAAGCAGGUGGGCGAAAAAAAAAAGACACCUCGCAAGAAAAAAGAAGCUACUAAAAGAUACACCUAAGGUACGUUUGAAACAUAAGAAUUUCACAUAUCAUAUAAGAUGUUUUAUUUUGUCUUUUAAGUCCAAAUUCUUUAAUUGUGACCAAAUUUGUUGAAAAAAGUAGCAACACAUUCAACACAAAACAGACAAAAUAUCCUAUAAAAAUGUAUUAAUUGUGAAUUUAAUAAAAACUAAUUUGGUGUUGUAUACAUUUUUCCAUCAACUUCUCCAAACUUUUUUAAAAAAUUGAUUUAGGAAAAAUAGAAAACACCUCAAAUAUACAAUAGAGGAGCACAUGAUAUUUUCAUGAAAUUCGAAAAAAAUAUACCCACGGUUCAAAAAGGACUAGAGGCACGAAAACAAAAUACAAGUUCUCUCCAAGGCUCCUUCAAGACAUAAGUUCCACAGGAAUUAAUUCAAUUCCUACAAAGACUCAAAAAUUCAUCAGUUUCAUAGUUCAUAGUAAAUUUCACUUUGGGUUACUUUUUAUUACCAAUAUUUCACUUUAGACCAUAGAUUAACUAAUGUUUUUUUAAUUUGGACUGGAUAAUCUUACCUUUGUUUUAUUUUGAACCACCCUAACUCUUUUCUCAAGUGUAUGAACGACCUCGAAUAUGUCAGCUCCUAUUCAUCAAUAAACCUCUUUAGUUGUAUGUAGACCAUUGCUUUGACAUAGAACAAAGUAGAUGGAUAAAAAAAUUGAGUGCACUUUAAAGUGACAAAAUGGUAAAAUUACCUAGUCCAAAGUGAAAACAUUGGUUGAAGGGUGGCCCAAACUGAAACAUCGGCAAUAAAAAGGUAGUCGAAAAUGAAAUUUACUCUGAUAUUUUUUUAAAUGAAGAUGGGCCGGCCCAUCGGCCCAUCACCGUCGAAUGUUCCACAAGCUUCGCGGCCCAACCCCAACCACCCAAAGCCAAGCAACCGUACGGUCUCCUCUCUCGUCAAACCAAACCCAAGCAAAGCACCCGCCACAUCGGAGAAGAGAGAGAGAGAGAGAGAGCGUGGAAGCUUCUGGAAGGUUCUCGAAGAUGCUGUCCUCCCUGUCGGCGUGGCUGGUGAACCCGCGGCGGAACCCGCUGGCCCGCCUCCACAUGAACGCCGUCGCCUCCCGCCUCCGCAAAUACGGUGAGCUGCCCCCUCCCCCCCUUCGAAUUCCGCCGCUAGGGUUAGGGUUAGGGUUUUGCCGCGGCGAGGGAUCUCUGAUCGGGGGUUCUGGUGUGCGCAGGGCUCCGGUACGACGACCUGUACGACCCCUACCACGACCUCGACAUCAAGGAGGCCCUGGCGCGGCUGCCGCGGGAGGUGGUGGACGCCCGCAACCAGCGCCUCAAGCGCGCCAUGGACCUCUCCAUGAAGCACCAGUACCUCCCCGCCGAUGCCCAGGUUGAACAAGAUUUCGCAAUCAUCCUCGGUAGUUUUGGUUCAGUCCCACAUUCUGUUUGUAUGUAUGUAUGAAUGUGUGCGCGACCUGUGGAAUUAGUAGAAUUGUUUCUUCCAUUUGCGUUGUCAAUGUGGAUACGGUCAAUUGUGGCCGGGGACUUACGGAGACGUGGCUUGUCGAUGUGGCUAGUUCGUUCCUCGAGCUUUUGCUCCGCGAGACCGCGACGCUCCGUGGCUUGGUGACGUAGGAAUUAGAAGGAUGGCAACUGGUAGACAAUUGGUGAAUAGGAAUGGGCGGUGGACACCGAUUUGAUGCUUGUGAUAGGGAAUGGAACUGUUACUAAAUGAUGCUAUGGCACUGUUAGUUUUGUCCUCUCUCUCUGAUACAUUUGCUUGUGUCUCCUUGUUAGGUCUAUUUUGUUGAGAUCGUUUGGUGAAUUUGCUUCAAUUGACCUCUUAUACUUUGUUGUUUUCGGGGUGUACUGAGUUCUUGCUUCCUAUCCUGUGUUCAGAAUAUAGUGAGCUUCCCUUUGAAGCUAUAAGACCUUUAAUUCCUUCUCCACAUUCAUCACAUUCUGUUUUGACAUUCUCCUGUCAAUUACCGUCUGAUCAGUUAUUUAAGAGGACCUAUCUGCAUAUCUCAUAUAUUGUGAUUUGCGACACCAUUAAUUUUCAUUUUUUGGCAGGCGAAGCAGACACCGUUCAGAGGCUAUUUAUCUGAUAUGCUAGCACUGGUAAGUGUCCUUUUUUAUCACCUUACCUUUCUUGUUACUUGAACCAUGGAUUACAACUUGGGAGCUGGCAAUUGGCACUAUACAUACUGGAAUAAAAUGAACUUCGCUCAUCACAAUGUUCUUUUAGGAGCCACUUUACUUGAACAAUUGUUUUCAUUAUACAUGUUUGUGGUACCUGAUACUUUCCAAGUAUUUUGAUUUCAAAGAUCAAACUUUGUAUAUUUUGACCAAUAAUUAGCCAAAGUACAUGUACAACUAUUACUACUGUAUGAAAAUACUAGGUUUGCUGUCUUAAGAUUGGCUUUCAGUACUAUGAAUUCCUGAAUGUUGGUUCCUCAUGCUGAUUUAGUAUCUAAAAAAUUGUGUGCAUAAUUGCAAAGGUUAUUUCUGCUCAAGGCCCCAUUCAAAUGAUUUACUGACGGUUAAUUGCUAUCCACUAAUAGUGUGUCAUUGGCUGUUGGUGAUUGUCCAGAGAAACAGUCUGCUGUUAUCGGUAUAAAUGAUUUGGGUAGUACUCCUUUUAUUACACUUGUUUCCUCUUCUGUUGGUAGUAGAAUAUCAUCGUAUAUGAGCAGAUGUUUCUUCCAAAGAAAUCAAUCCUUGACUACUCUGAUGUGUGGGCCUUAAGAAACAAAACUCAUGUUAAAUUUUGAUAAAAAACCAUCUUUUGCUGGCUACUGUUUGACACAUCAUGCUUUUCAGGUGAAAAAGGAGAGCGCAGAGCGCGAAGCAUUGGGAGCACUCCCCCUGUACCAGAGGACCAUCCCAUGAAGCGUCUACUUCGUAGGCCUGUUUCUAAUUUUCUUGAUGUAUGAAAGUGAAUUCAAUAAAACGCAGUGGACGAUUAUGUACCAUGUAUUAUGCUAAAAUCCUUGUUGUGUAAUGUGUUAUGUGUAUGCUUAUUAUGUGAAGAUACCCACCGUCAGUUCUCCAUAGAUACCUUUUGGUAUGACAACUGACAUAUGGUGUAUGUUUUGUAAUCAAUUUAAAACUCUAUAUAGCUUCACUUGGAGCUGAGUAGGUAAGAAAGUUUUCAUUGUCGCACAGACCCUCUGAGCCGUAUUUUCCUGUUUUACUAUGUUCAUUUCGAGUUUCACUAGGCUUAUCAGUUGUAGCUAAAAUUUGAAUUUUGAAGCUUAAUUUUAUAAUUGAUUUUAAAGUUUUUUUUUCAUCUUAGUUUAUUUUGUAGCAUUGGUUUUUAAAUUGCUAGGAACACAAAAAUAUAUAAAAAGUUAUAUUUAGAAAUUAUUUUUGGUGGUUUCGUUUUUUUUUCUACGGGUGAUAACCUAGUAGAGCAAAUGAUGAUAGGCUAAGCUAUUAACUAGGGUUAAACGUAUUGUGUUGGGAGGGUUUACGGCCCUAUUUAGGAAAGCUUCUAGCUGUAGUUUCUUCCAUGAUAUUCAGCUAUUCAAACUCUGUAGAUUCUGAUUAUAUGUAACCAUAGAAUCUAGAAAAUAAACUAUAAAGCAGAGUUUAUCAUAGAAUCUGGAAAACUGUCUUCUGGCUUCUAGUUUAUUUUCUGGAUUCUACAACUAUAACUUCUUAUAAUAUGGGCGGAAAGCAGAGAUUAUCUUAGAAUCUGGCUACCAACCAGCUACUAUAGAACCUGGAAAACUGUCUUCUGGCUUCUAGUUUAUUUUCUGGAUUCUACAACUAUAACUUCUUAUAAUAUGGGCGAAAAGCAGAGAUUAUCUUAUAAUCUGGGUACCAACCAGCUACUAUAGAACUUGAAAAACUAUCUUCUGGCUUCUAGUUUAUUUUCAGAUUCCACAACUAUAACUUCUUAUAAUAUGGGCGGAAAGUUAAACUGUUUGGGAGUUUUUUUUUUAUUCUAGAGAAGUUGUAGGUAGCAGAAAAUCCCCAAACGAGCCCACAAUCUUGUAAGUUCGGCCUAUGUCUUUCCUAGGAGGAAUAAUUUACCUUACAUCCCUCAUCUAAGAGUUGAGUUUGGAUUUCAUUCCUCAACCACAAAAAAUCACAAAACCAAAUACAAUACCAAAUACAAUGUAUCCCUCGUCUUUAAAACCCGAUGUAAAUCAAAUCCCUCGGUAGUAUUUAAAGCAGUUUUAACUGAUGUGGCACCUACGUGGCAAUUUGACAUGGUCUUUUUGGCUAUGUGGCAUUUUUAUGUGGAACCCAUGUCAUCUUCUCUCCUCCUCUCUCUCCUCUUUUUCUUCAUCUCUCCAUUGACGACUCCUCUCCAACCAAAAGCUGUUGUGGGCGUCAAGCUGCUGUCGCCUCCGCGACCAGCUGGAACUAGGGGUGAAAACGGUACGAAAACUUUUCGGAUUCCAGACCUAUUUUCGAAAACGGAAUCUGUCGGUCGGAAUUUUUUCGGAAUUUUUCGGAAACGGAAACGAAUUCAGAAAUAUUUUCUCAGAAAUGGAAUCGGAAAUGAUAAGGGCAGUUUCCGUCGGAACUCGGAAUCGGUCGGAAACUUUCCGGAAAUUUUCUCGAAAUUACCAGAAAUUUUGUGACUGAAAUAUCCUGGAUUCUCUUUUUAAGCACUAAAUAGUGAAUAUCAUGGUGUUUGGCUGUUAUUUUUUUAAAAAAUAUUUGUUAUGCAAAUCUAAAAUUACAUAAGAAUAUUUUUUUGUCCUACAUUGGGAUUUAUCAACAACAUUACUCUUUUAAAUAUAGAUAAUUUAUUCAAUUGGAUUUAUCAGUUUGAGGGGUUUUUUAUUCCGAUAAGUUUUCGUUACCGUAUUCGCGCCGGUUCGUUUUCGCUCCGUUUUCGGUUUCGAUAAUAUUCGAUUCCGUUUUCGUAUCCGGGGUUUCCGAUUCCGAAAAAACUAUGAAAACGAAAACGACAAAUAUGGUUUCCGUCCAUUUCCGUACCGUUUCCACCCCUAGCUGAAACCCUUCUGCGUCACCGAUGAGGCCGCCUUCCUUUGCACGCGCGUCAUGGACUUGCCUAGAUGACAGGAAGUGGCGGCGAUGGCGUCGCUCGACCCGAUGACUCCUUGGCGGCGACUCCACCCCCUUUCUCCGCUAAGCUUUCCUGCUGCUGCUUCUCUACUAUCGCUGUCUCCUUUCUCCACACCACAACGUUUCCACCUUCCCAUCGGCAUCGAUGAACCAGAGACCAGUAAAUGUAGGAGAAGGGUAGAGAAGAGAGAAAAAUAAUUGGCAUGAACAUGAUUUUUAUUUUAUUUUUAUUAGAGUGCCACGUAAGCACCACGUUAACUAAAACCGGGCUGAAUACUGCCUUAAGACGUUGUUUACGCCGGUUUUAUAAGAUAAGGAAUGUGUUGUAUACGGUUUUGCGGAUGAGGGAUGUGAUUGUAACUCGACCGUAGGAUGAGGGACGUGAAGUGAACUUAUUCCUUUCUAGGAGCAAUUGCGUACUCCUGGGCCAAGGCCAUAUAACGGAUUGGGCUGGGCCUCUGCCUGAAGCACACAUGACGCUGUGCUGCGUUCUUCCUCCCUUUGCCUCUGCUCCUCCUCGUGCUGCUGUUGCUUUGCUUUCUUCUUCUUCUUCUUCUUCUUCCUCUGACGUUUCCCCGCCCCGCCACGGAUCCGAGCUCUUCUCAAAACCCUAGCUCCCCGAACCUUCUCCGCCCCGGCGGCAAUGGAGGACGAGGAGAUGGAGAAGAAGGUGCACCAGUACCUGCAGCGGAAGGGCUUCCGCGUGGCGGGGCUCGCGCUGCUCGAGGACCGCACCCGCCUCUCCGCCACCACCACCACCACCACCACCGCCUCCUCCUCCUCCCACUCCCUCUCCGACGCCGCGCUCUCCAGGUAACGACCUCCCCCUCCCCUCCCGGAUUCUGCUCUUGCGGCCUCUCGCGCUCGGCUCAGCCGCCGGAGUUUCGGAAACCUAGUGGUGGAAUUUGUAGUGUCGUAGUGCAAUUAUUAUUGUUAUAAAUUGAUUUUUUUUUGUUCGAGAUGUUGUUUUCACACUCAACUAGUACUAAGGGACCUCAAUUUGGUCGUGUGGUUUCCCCCACGCAGGAGUAAUUUGUUCCAUUUUUGUAGUAGUAUUACUAGCUUUGCUUGGGUGUUUGGGGAUGGUUUUGUGGAGGAAGCAAUUUGGUAGGAUCAAUUUGAGCGCUUAACUCUCAACCGACAAUUUCUACGGCGAGGAUGAGUGCGGAACCACAUUUCUACGAGGAAUUCUGUCAUGAUUUUCAUAUAUUGUGUUCAACCACAUAUUCUUAAUUACCGCAUGGAUUCUACUGUAGCACUUCUUCUCACUGCAGCAGGGGUAGUUCCGCAUCUAAUUCCUAGCUCAUUGUGUUGUUCUUAUUAUCUUUACCCUCUACAUCAUUUUGAUUGUGUCAUUGCCUGCAAUGACAGGUCAGAAAACGAUCCAGCGAGGUACUAUGAUGGCUAUAGUAAACUAAGAACAUGGGCAUACAGUUAUCUUGAUCACUACAAGGUGUGUUACAUGCGCAGAUUGUAAUUCACUUUCAUAACCUGCCCCUUUUUUUUGUAUUUUACAACCAUAUGUGUUUUAGCUGCUUUGAGGCAUGGAACUGUUAUAUCCAAUCUGUUCAUUUGUUACUGUGUUACAGCCUAUACCAUCUUUUAAGAGUGUUUUCUGUGUUAUUCACAUAGAGCUGAUCACUUGUUUCUCUUGUUAAAAAUGUUCAAGUCUGUUUUGUAUAGCAAGCUUCUAGAGUCACAGUUUGUUGCUUCAGAUGGAGCAUUUACUUGAAGAGUCUUCUUUCGUGUAUUCUCUUCCAUCCAUCCAGUGCUGCCCACCUUCUGGAGAGCAAAAUAGUAUUCCUAUAAACAUCUGUACUUCCUACACAGGCAGAAAGUAUGUUUUGCUUCCUGCGAUUUGUAAUGUACAUAAUUACCAUUGCACCUUUAUUUUGUAUAAUUUUUUUAUAUGUAUUUUAAUGUUCCUAAAUUAAGCUAUAUAAUCUCUUUCUAAAUUUUUAUUUCUAUUGUAGCAUGAAUUACUCCGCAUUCUUUAUCCACUAUUUUUCCACUGCUUCAUGGAUUUAGUGGCAGAGGGACAUACACAGGAAGGUAAUGCUAGUAGGUGGAUAUGAUAAUGAAUCUUCUGUCAGUUUUUUUUUUUUUUUGCUUUCUAUCAGUUUAUUCGGGGCAGUUCUUUCUUUGAUACACUAACUUUGAGCACUGCAGCUUGCUCAUUUUUCCACACAUUUCGUGAAGACCAUGAACACUCGAGGGAUCUCAAGAAGCUGGAAAGCAUCCUUUCUCCUUUACAUUUGGAAGUUAGUGACUCAGCUUUUCCACAUUGCACUACCCUAUUUUGAAUGAAGACUUAUUUUUUGUUUAUUUGAUUCUAUCUCCUCAAAGUUUACAAAUUAUGGCUUAUCCUUCUAAAUAUUGUAAUUUCAGCAAAUGGAAGUGGCUCGAUCUUUAAGGCAGAAUAAAUUCAGAAUUAAGCUAUGUGAGGUUGUAUACCAUUUCCAAAUCCCCUUUCAUUUCAACCCUGUACCAUGUACUAUUUUUUGGGGCAGCAUUUCAUGAUAGCCACUGUAAUUUCUUGAUUGCUGCAAAAUUGCUUUUCUGGAAAUAUAAUCAGCUGUCCCAAUUAAAGUUUCUGUCUUUUUUUAUUGCAGUAUUCAUAUGAAUUGCUUCUCCAGUAUCUCCACAAAACACAAGCUCUUGUGGUGCUUGGAAUAAUCAAUGAACGCAUAGAUUUUCAAGGUAAGUUUCCCCAAUCUGUUAUGACUCAUGAUUAGUGACCUAAAUGUUCAUCCUGCAUUUGCUCCUUGUGAGUUAUCUGAAUCUUCUGUUCCAACUUUCCUUUACAAUAUUGAUAGUAUCCCCUGGGCAGUCUCCAUUAAUCAUUGAUGACUCGGAUGCUGUUGUUCUGAUUGGAACUAGCAAGGACUUGACAAAACAGAUAAAUCAGAAGGAGGUGCAUUGGGGGGUAUGUUCUGUACCAGUCUGGUGGUUUCCCAAUUCUCAUCAUUUAUUUUAUCAAUAGUUAAGGAUACAGCCUAAACGAAUUGAAAUUAUAUAGAUCGAUCAGUUAAUAUUUAAUGGGAUUCUAGCCGUUUUUAUUAUUUGUUCACUAUGCUCAGACAUUUUAUUUUUGUGAUUUAAAUUCUGUAAUGCAGAUACUUGAAGAUUCACUUGAAGAACGUAUGGAGAAGGCAAUUUCAGAUUCUGAUAAAACUGAAAUAGAAAGCAAGGAUGCAGACACAGAAGACAACAAGGCAAGAAACUGUUUUGUAGUAUGCCAGUCUUUUUUUUCAUUUUGCUUCCUAUGCCCUCGGUCAUUGAAACACAAGCUUUCCUUUUUUUUAGUGCGUGCGAUUCUGUUAGCAACUUGUGAUUUUUAUGGUUGCUUUAUUAUAAAAACAGUACUUUCUGAUGUGCACUGGCUGUCAGCUGUAUAUGAUAUCAAUGUUUCAUUGAUUUGUUCCACUAUGUAAUUCUGCAUUCUCCUUUGUUCAGUGCUCCCGUAAAUGCUAGCAGGCAGACUGGUUAGAACCUAGCACCUGGGAAGGCUAGGCAGCUGCAUAGGGGGAACUAUGUUCCUCACUCACCAUUGAUGUUUCUUAGCCUUCUCAUUUCACUCUUUUCUUAUUUUUGCUACAGAAAAGAUCCUCAGAAGGUGGAAAGCAGGGUGGCUCACAUAAAAAGAUCAAAAAGGACAAGUUUGUAGGAACCACAGGGAAAAACAUGAAAUCUGAAACUAGCAUGGUUUCUAUAGCACCACGAGUUAAACCAGAGCUAACGCUUCCAAUGACGUACGUCGUACAAUACAUCUUUAAUCACUUCAAAUUUUCUUUUGAGAAGUCCAAUUUGGUCAUCUAAUUUUGAAUAUUGUCUGGUUUGUGACCUAAGGUUAAAAAGUUCUCCUGAAAUGAUUCAGGAUUUUAGGUUAUGAUAAAAUUAUAACUUCCUCUGCAUCCAUUUCCUGGUCCGUGGUUGGGAAGAAGGCAACCACAUGUUUUUUAAAUUCAUGUGGCCAUUGUUUCAUUUUUCCUGCAGACUGCCCCUUUUGAAACGCAGGAUUAAAAAACUUAGGAAUAUGGAAAACAAAGGAAUUUUGUAGGUUGAUUGGACCGUAGGAAAAACAUAGCAAUGGGCUUGGAUUAUAAGAGUAAAUUGGGUUUCUUAUCUACUUAUACACAUCUUACCCUCACUAAUUGAAUAGACAAGUGGCCAUGAGCUACUAGAUUUGCCUUGAUCCAACGCGAGAUAACAAAAACAUGAGCUUGGAAUGGAUGUUAAAUUUCCUAUGUUUUCCUCUAGAUUUGUAGGAACAGGAAAAUCUCCUGUGAUUUUCCUUUCCUCAUUCCUACAAAUCAAAGGCAUGAACAAUGAUCUUCCCUAUAGGAUUUCAAUUCCUUUGUUUUUUCUCCAAUUCAAAGGGGCCUGCAUAUUCUAUGCACCAACAUAUUGCUUCCUCAUCCACACUGUUCAAAUGAUUUGGUUAUCCCAUGUCCACCUGCCAAUAUGUUAUUGCUUAGAUGUUGUUUAACCGUAGAAUAUUUGAGCUGUUCAAAAGCACUUUUGUAAGACAUUAACAAAACCAAAGAUUAUAUUUCCUUUGCCUUCCAAACUAUCAUCACGACAUGGCCAUUAAGGCUCUGUUCGCAAAAACAGGUUCCCAACCCAAACAGUACGCACAGAAAACGGAGCGGUCCAUUAGCACGUGAUUAAUUAAGUAUUUGCUAUUUUUUUUUCAAAAAUGGAUCAAUAUGAUUUUUUUAAGCAACUUUCGUAUAGAAACUUUUUCUAAAAAAACCACCGUUUAACAGUUUGAAAAGCGUGCGUGUGGAAAACGAGAGUAGGGUGUUGGGAACCAGCUCUUGCAAACAGAGCCUAAGCCCACUGAUAAGAUUUUCUAUAGUGAUGUUUUUUUCUUAUAUUAAGUUGUAAUAAUUUCUUUGUACACAUGUUUACUUUUAUUUGUUGGACAUCUUUGUUGACUCAUCAGCCUUACCUUUAUCUGUAAGAAUCUGAUAGACGUUUACUGAUUAUUUUUUUUCAGGUCUGUUGAAGUUGAGCAGUCAAUUCUUGAGGACUUGCGAAACCGUGCACAAUUGAAUAGCUUGUCAUUGCCAUCUGUUAGCUUCUAUACAUUCCUUAAUACACAUAAUGGGUAAACUUAACUAUGGAUCAAUGCCUGACAAUUUUUAUUUUCAAUUUUUCCUCCUUCAGUUUAAUCAUUAUAUGUGGAACUCAGGUUAAAUUGCUCAUCGAUUUCGCAUGAUGGUUCAUUGGUCGUUGGUGGAUUCGCUGAUUCAUCAGUGAAGGCUAGUCCUUUUAGGUGGCAUCUUCUUAUUAUGUGAUUUCUGUAUUAAUUCGUAAUAGUAAAAAGUGUAAAAUCUCCUUGGUGUUCACUAGGUUUGGGAUAUGUCAAAGAUUGGCCAGCCUUCCAAAGCAUGUUAGUUGUUCUUCACUCCUUAUUUUUGAUUAUUUGUUCUGCUUUGUGUUAUGCUGAAACACUUAUAUAAAUUUGCGUCUGGUUUAUGUGACUAAUUGGCUAUUGCCUUCUUAAAAAUACUAUAAUGGUACAUUCAUUUGUAUCAUUCGAAGUUCCAGUUACAAGUCCUAAGAAGUAUGAUGUUUUUCAGUCAUACUUGCUGGAUGUACUGAUGCACUUGUGUCAUUACAGUAUUUGACUCUGGAACCUGUUCAGAACCUUAUGAUAGUCUUAGAACAUUAAUCCUCCUAGCAUCAAAGUCAAUUAUGCAAUGAUGGUAUUUACUGAUUGAAGAAACUAUAAUUUUCAGCUUGUUCACAAGGCGAGAAUGGACCCUCCCAGAUUGAGCGGGUAUCGACAUCAGAUGAAGCGCGUAAAUCCUGUACAUUAUUCCAAGGUCAUUCUGGACCAGUUUAUUCUGCCAUGUUUAGCCCAAUUGGGGACUUCCUCUUGUCAUCAUCUGCAGACUCAACAAGUAAAGCCUUCUCAUUGUGCUUGUUUUGUAUCAUUCUCUUCCUUGUUACUUUAUUAAUUAGAAUUCACAAUUUAUCUAUAUUUUUUUGACUUGCUACAGUUCGCUUAUGGAACACCAAGUUGAAUGCUAAUCUUGUUUGCUACAAAGGACACAACUACCCUGUUUGGGAUGUCCAAGUAUGUGAUUACCAGUUCUUUUAGUAUAUUAUUAGUGUGGAUACAAAGCUGUUUUCAAUGCCAAAAAGAAAAAAGGAAGCAUGGGUUUCUGUGUGCUCCUUAUGAACUAUUCCUAACUAGUAUUUCAUCGUUAGUACUCUCCAUGAUGGAGUACUAGGUACUUAUAUGUCCUGUGAAAAGCUCACUGUCAAAUUCUUUUGGAUGCAAGUUAUCUGAUUCUGUUAUUGUAGUCCUUGUGCUAUGAUAGUUGUUGACACUGUUCUGUUUUCUUUUGGCAGUUUAGUCCAGUUGGACAUUACUUUGCUAGUGCUUCGCAUGACAGGACUGCUAGAAUCUGGUCCAUGGAUAAAAUCCAGCCUUUGAGAAUAAUGGCUGGGCAUUUAUCUGAUGUUGAUGUAAGUGUACUCAUGGUUUUGGUCAUUUUCUUAUAUGGGAUCACUUAAUGUUGGAAUAUUUCCAUACAUGCUUAUUCUCUAAUUUCCUAUAUUGAUGUCUGCAUUUUUUUAAAAAAAAUACUUUUGCCUGACAGUGUGUGCAAUGGCAUGUCAACUGCAACUACAUUGCCACUGGCUCUAGUGACAAAACAGUAAGACUAUGGGAUGUUCAAACAGGUGAAUGUAUAAGGAUGUUUAUUGGCCAUAGGAGUAUGGUUUUAUCAUUGGCAAUGUCUCCUGAUGGGCGAUACAUGGCCUCUGGAGAUGAAGAUGGAACAAUCAUGAUGUGGGAUAUAUCUUCUGGUCGUUGUGUUUCACCGCUAGUGGGACAUAACUCUUGUGUGUGGUCGCUUGCUUACAGGUAAUCAUCAUUUGAUGCUGGUCGGCUGGUAAAAAUAUAAUAUCUAUCUAGCCGAUUUCUUUAAUAUGCCAAUAGAGUAGUAUUAUGGAACUACGGCACUACGCUAGUUAUAGGCUUAUAGCAUGGCUUGGCAAACUGGCUAGUGCAUAUGUAGCAGGACUGAGUUUUGGAAAAUCAAUUGGUUUAUUUGAAUUGAGUAAGCAUGAUCUAUCUAUAUACAAGAAAUCAGCUCAUCGUUUCUUCCAUCCUCAUCUAGAUGUGUUUAAAUGAUAUCACUCACAAGGGCAUCAGAAACCAGAUCUGGCUGCGUCUGGUUUUUGCCUUUUCAGUUUUAGAGUUGGGCUUUGGGAUUUACACUGUAUCAGUGGAAGCAAAUUGGAGUAUUUUUGUAUAGAACUUAAAUUUGAAAAAAGUGUUAUUAGAGGGGUGAACCUGAGGAGUUCUAAUGGUAGCAAAAACAUCCACAUAGAUGUUUCCAGUUUCAAGGCCAGUUACCAGCUGUUAACUGGUGAAAUUUACGGCCAACAGUUUGUCUUUUUUCUUUGAUAAUCUGCUUUGAAUUUCUUGAAUAAAUCAAUGAGAUUAAUACAGACUUCAAAGUAUUAUCAUUGCGUUGGCAUGUCAAAACCUUGCUGUUAGCAGCAACACACCUUCUUUUGGGGAGAACAAUAGAAACGUGCAUGUUGUUGGUUACAAGUGAUUACAUAUGGAAUGUUUUGUUUAGACUAUCCUGUAAAUGAUCAUUUGUUGUUAUGCUUUGCUUUAUUUAAGCUUGCGAUUUAAGGACUUCUUUACUCGCACAAUGCUUUCCAUGUAUGGUGCGCAUGAUUUGUGUAUAUAAAUGCUCGCUGUUAUUUCUUUCAGAGGGAGUCAUGUUUGCUGUUUUGUGAUGUCUAUAAUCUGCGUUCUGUUGUAGUUUAAGGAAAAGUAUGGUUGAUCUUAGUUAAUACAUUCUGCCAUUAUUUUAGCUGUGAAGGGGCAUUACUUGCAUCUGGAUCAGCCGACUGCACUGUAAAACUAUGGGAUGUCGCCUCCAGCACUAAGACUCUUAAGAUGGAUGAUACGUGAGUUGAUCGAAGUGUUUAUAAAGAUGCUUGUACCAAAUCAUUGCCUUACUCUUGUUGUAAAAUGUCCUUGUACAGCAAAGGUGGUUCAGCUAACCGACUGAGGAUGCUGAAAGCCCUCCCUACAAAAUCAACCCCUGUUUACACUCUGCAGGUGAGAAUUUUUUUCCCUCCUUUAGUCCAUUAUGUUGCCUUAAGUUAUGGUUGUUACCUUAUGCAUUGUAAACAUAACUGCUUUCAUCUUGUUGCAGUUUUCUCGGAGGAAUCUUUUAUUUGCGGCUGGUGCUCCCUCACUUGGCUCCUAAGCUUCUGUAUGUUCUAUAGAGUACAAGUAGCAUUCUUUCAGUUUUUGGUUUUAGUAAGUAGUAAAGUUGAUGUCUACUGGGGUGGCAGGUGUCGUAGCAUCUACAUUUUCCCUUAGUGAUCCCAGUGAACCUAGGGGUAAAUUGUAGCACUGGGGCACUGCAAUUCGUUGCAAUAUGUGUAGUGAUGUAGCAUUAGCCAGUUCAAAAUAUAUGCAAUUUCCCGUAAUGAUACAUCUAACUUUACUCUACGUGUGCCAUACUGUUUCAACCAAUCAUUCUUUCCACUCAAAUUCUACCCUUUGUAUGGAUGGGGUCAAAUCUGAACCGAGGUAUAACCGUGUAACCUCAUUUUCUGGAUAGACCAUGCCCGCGCGAUAACUCCUUCUCACAGAGAAUGAUUAAAGCAGAGUUUCUUAUGUUCGGAUUUCUGCCAAUUUAAAUUUGGUUCUAACUCUCUUGGUACCAAACAGUAAGCUCCAUAGGCACUGAUCCACUGCUCUUACCUGCUAGCUGCUACUGUUGCUCACUGAUUGCUCUACUGAUGGCCAAGCUGGCCACCUUGGCAACAGUCGACCAACAGCCCAUGGCCUAGGUGCUGGGAUGAACAGCCCUGGAUCUUCACUGUUAAAAAAAUUUUAGAGGGUGAGAGGGCAUGAGGCAAACUCAAAUCUGUCAAUCUACCAAUGGUCAUGUAGUGUGGUAUAGUAGAGUGCAGAAGAUUCAUGUAUUUACCUGUGAAAAUGAUGGUGGAUUUCGGCAGAAUUGAAUCGGAGACGUUGCAUGUCUUGUAGUUUCAAUGUUCAAAUGAUUUGGUCUCCCGGCACCUGUGUCCAUGCAAACACACUCCAUAUACCAGUGCCACCGCGUCUCUGUCUCCCAGUGUACAAGGUUAUGGAUCUAUCAGCCUGACAUUUCACUCUCAGCUGCAAACUUAUGAUGGUCCACGCUUUCAGCUUUCUCCCAUCACGCCACUGCUUUCGCCAUCCGUCCAAAACGAGUUUUUUAUUUUUUUGCUUUUUCUUUUUCAAAUAUAAAUAUACCCUGACAGGUGAACUAUUUUUCCUGUGAAGUUCAUGUAAUUGUUUUUUGUUUCUCUCACAGCUUGUCUCAGUGAGAGAAGUGAAUGCCUAGAUCAAUGCUUGGUGGAAGUGGAACUAGAACCUUAGAAACUUUCAACUGUUUGCUAGAAUAUGUGUGUGCACCAUUUAUCCAAAUCCUUGUGUUGGCCAUACUCGCCAGAAAGACUGGACACACCAAACCACAUAAAAGGUAAAUUUGUAUUCAUCUGCAGAGUUUACAAGCAAACAACUGGACUGUCAUUGGGUUUUGGAUCCCUCCUAGCAUGCAUGUGACUUUUUUCUUAGAUAAAUGGAAAGCAAUGCAUGUGACUAUCUGGCUACCUAACACAUAUUUUGCUGGUAUCCUGGUGAAUAUUUGGUAGAAUACUCACCACUUCAUCAGAGGAUGUCACAGGCAUAAAACUACCAUAUUACUAGCAGGUUGCCAUCAAUCAGAUGAGAUCCCUCAUGAAACAAAGUUAAUCCCUUCACAAUUAUACACAGCCCAUCUUGCAGGCUGUAAUCUUUUUUUGAGAGCCUAAUUAGUUGAUCAACAUGAUUGGCAAAAAGGCUCAACUUUUUCAUAUCCAUCUAAAAAAACCAGUUGGCAUUGUGUGGAUGAAAUGUAGCUUUCAACAUCCUGCAUUUCAUAAUUUGCAUUGCCUGCUUAAGAUGGAUUAGAGAGCAAGGAGGGUCAUCCUCCAACCUCCAUGGGACCUAUGUCCCAAAGGUGAGCAGCCUACCUAGUUGGUACAUGGCAGGAUCAGCUUGCAGCCUCAUAAGCUGUGACAGUGUGAGGGUACUGAGGUCCCCUCUACCUCUGUUCACCAUGUAUCAUACACAGUGCCAGCAGCCUUUUUGGAGUCCAGACAUUGCUCCAUUAUUGUGUAUGUCUCCUAGGCUAGAGUACUAGACCCUUGGCAUUUGGCCUCUUCUUCUAAGGACAACUGCCAUGAAUCUCACAUAUAUAGUGACUUGCAUGGCCUUUUUUCAGCUCUGGUGUUGUUAUUAUAGCCAACAUUCAACAUUUUGGUUUAACUGGAUUUGACUGUUAGUUUAACUGAAGAUGAUUUCAGUGCAAAUAUUGCAUUUUUCAAAAUGACAUUGAGGAUAUAGAUGCAUAGGAUGCUGCCACUAUUAGUGUGGAUGGAUAGCUGGAGUGGUGAUGGUGAACCAAACAACCCCUAACAUGGUACGUUCUAUCCACGUACGUUUUGAGUGAUCUUUGCGAGUGCUCCGUGCUAAGAAUAUUGAAAGGAUGAAGCUGAUCUGGUGAUAAUAAGCUGGUCCUUGCACAUCUCCUACCGUCCACCCACUUGUGGUAGGGCAUGCCUCUUAUCAUUUUGUGGACACAAGUGAUUUGGCAACUUGAUCACACUAACUAUUCAGAUCAUGGUGCUUAAUUAGUUUUUUGCAAUAUUCCCCUUGGUGGUUAGGGAGCAAAGAUGACCCUUUUAUAAGUUGUGUGGUUAUUGAUCAAUCCAUGAUGUGAGUAUUGAUGUCUUAAAAGGUUAUUGGAGAAUGAUUGGCAUAUCACAGUGGCAGUAUAGCACUAGCAAGCAGCAGAUGCAUUUGAGUAUUUUGAGUGUCUGAACCAUUCAACCAAAACAAUAAUAUAUAACUCACCUGCCAAUAAAUUUCAAGGUAUUGGAGCAGUCACUGAUCACUGCAUACAUUUACAAUUUUCUGUAACACUAUAUGCAUGCAUCAUCAUGUGAGAAUCUUCACUGUGCAUUCCUGUCAUCCCCAUGAAGUAGGACCAUGGUGCCCUAGGUUUCUUCCAUUUUCAAUUCAUUCCAAGUUUGUGUUGCAGCCUUGCAGGAGCUACCAUUGCUCUCUGAACAACACACAAGAAAGAUGAUGGUAGGAAGAUCAGAAGGGGUCACUUUUUUUGGGCUCGAUGACAUGAGUGGACAAAUCUACCCAAGCUAAGGUUAGUGGGAGCAGCCCAUGUGAUGAUGUGGGGUGCAAUUGGAUCAUUGUCAUCUUACCUUUUUUUUCCCACCCCCUUCUUUUCAUCUUGUGUGGCAAAGUGACAUGGCCUCAUGUGAUGAUGCAUGGGAGAAAAGGAAAUUUUUUUUUAGUAGCAAUGCAAAGUGUGCUCUUUGCUGAAAAUGCAAGAGGAAAGUGGCUUUUGUGCAAAUGGCAUAAAACCUUAAGAUAUGGGGGGUGAAUUUCAUGAGUGCCUUGCAUUAUAGAACCAUAGAUGUGUAGCUAGCCUUUUUGUGGUGCUUUGUUUUGAUAAUUGUGGCAGUGCAGAUGCACAGUGGCAUCAAUCUACCUGUUAGUGCAAUAAUUCAUUUUGGUGAACCAGUGUUAUUAUGGUUUUGUUAGUUGGGAUACGACACCACAUAUGUUAACAACAUGCCUAAUUUUAUUUAUAAUGAAAUAGCAAAUAUCAAUAUUUUUUAAAAGAAAAAGAAAAAUUGAGAGAGCUCUAAGAAAGAUGCCUUUUAAGUUCUGUUGUUACAUGAAAAGUGAACUUGUGUUAUUAUGGUUUUGUUAUUUGAGAUAUGACACCACAUAGUGUUAACAAACAUGCCUAAUUUCCUUUAUUUAUAAUGAAAUAUCAACAGAGAGAAAUAGAGACAAGUCUAAGAAGAAAGAUGCCUUUCAAGUUGUGUUGUUACUUGAAAAGUGAGAAGAUUGCUAUGCCCUUUUUCUUGUGUGAAUGGAUUCCAUCUCUUGAUUGAUAUGGCUAUAUAUGCCUUUUAGGAAGGGAUCCAUGCCGUCCAUCUUCAACAACACGCAAAUGAUCAAGAAAACAUGGCCGAAGUUGCUGCCCAACAAACCCUAGCUAGCGAGUUUCCUUGGAUGAAAGAAUAUUAGCACAUCAUCAUCAGAAAGCGAGCUUUGUCAUAUGCCCUAGCUACAAGACUAUAGGGAUAUGGACGCAUCUCACUUCACUUUACGGGUACCCAUUGUCACACACCAUAUACACAAUAAUAUAGGAUAAGUGAAUUUUAGUUGAUUUUGCUUAACUAGAUGGAUGGUAAGACUUUCUAGCAUUGUCCACAUACAUAUAGAUGUUAAUGAAUCUAAACACAUACAUAUCUCUAGAUUUAUUAAUAUCUAAAUGAAUAUAGGCAAUGCUAGAAAGUCUUACAUUGUAAAAUGGAGGAAGUAUAAACUUAAUUGUAUAUAGUUCAUUAUUAAUCAUAGAAAUUAGGUAAAUGUAGCUAUAUGCUAUUAGUUGGUUUGUCUCUGAACAAUGAAAAUCAGUCCCUUCAUCUCGUUUAUGGUUGAUUAUUAGUUAUAACGCUUAUUAACAAUAAAAAUGUACAUGCGUUAAAACUUGUGUAUGUGUUAUAUAUCUUAGUGAUUUAUAAGCCGAUGUUAAAAAUAAAUUACGCUAAAAUUAUUAAAAUCAAAAGUGUUUGAUGCAGCUAAUAGGCUAAGGGCCUGUUUGGCACGGGUCUAACUGCACCUCCCCUAGAGCCCAGUAAGAUAGUUUCAACUCCAUCUAAAAUAGGAGCAGAGCUAGGUAAAGCGUUCUCAUAAAAUAAACUAGAGAGGUUCAGUUUGGUUUAGACUGCUCCACAAAAUUCCACUCCAAACCUAACUCCUAGAGUUAAAUUUAGAAGUUAAACCUCUACCAAACGGAACCUAAGGCUGCCUUUGAAAGUGGAGGUUGAGAACUCCAAUUGUUUGCAUGCAAAACGGAACGACAAAUAACGUUGAUUAAUUACAUAUUAGCUAAAAUAAACUAGAAAACUGAAUUAAUAUGAAUUUUUAAAGCAACUUUCCUAUAUGAACUUUUUAAAAAAACACAUCAUUUAGCAGCUUGUGAAACGUGUGCACGGAAAAAGAUGAAGUAGAAGUUGGGAAAAGGUGUUGUCGAACAGAACUAAGAUCAAGUUUAAUAAUAUAAUCAACUACUAGUUUCAAAAAUUAACAUAUUAUCUAUAACUAACUUGAUAGCUCACUUAGAGCACCCGCAAUGGUAAAGUAAGGUGCUAUCUAUAAAACAUGUACACCUCAACAAUAGACUAGAUUAAUAGUAAACCACUUCAAUGGUAUGUCUACAUGGGUAUCUAUAGCUCUCUAAUCCAUUGUCUCGUUUUUCUCUAUAGACUAUCUCCAUGUUAGUAGAUAGCUUUGCUCUCUCUCUUCAUUUAAUCUCUUUCAAGUAGGAAAAUAUGCUGACAUGGAUCUCUUGUAGAGAGCUUAUAGAUAACCAUUGUGGGUGCCCUUAUACCAUACUUACUUAUAGAUAUAUACUAUACCAUUAAUGCAUAUCCUAUCUCACAUAGGUUAUUGGAGCUUGUGUUGUAGUUGACUACAAAUCUUUAACCAACUUUUCUCUUUCCUUCAAGUAAACACAAAUAUAGUGUGGUAAUAUGUAGAACAUACUUGCAUCGUCAUAUUGAGUUGAUUUGGUUUGUGGCCUAAAUAGGCCUUACCAAAUUUUGUCUAAUUUUGGUAAGGUAAAGUUGUAUUUGGAUUGAAGUCAAAAUAGCCUAAGUUUACUAUUGAAAUGGUCUAUUUUCUUAGACAUGCUAAAAUUUGGCUUCAAACCAAAUAGACAGUAAAUACUAUUGAAAUUGUCAAAUAUUGGUAAGUCUAAUUUAGGCCUCAAACCAAACCAGUCCAUUAUACUCGCUCGGGUCAAAAGAGGCUAUAGGCAGGGUAGAGUGUCAUUUGGACCUUGAACAUUUUAAAGAACAAAACAUUCAAGUUAAUAUUUUACUCCUGAUGAGAGAGUUGCUGUUACAGAGUGUGAAAAACCUUAGGAUUCCUGAACAUAUUUUACUCCCUGAUGGGUAAAAAGAACAGAGUGAUUAAUUAAUGUCUGAUGCUGGGCCCAUCCAAGACCAAUCAUGGUGGAGCUGCAGUAACUGUUACUCCAAUAUUGACCAAAUGUUUGUGUGUACGUACUGUAGUAGUAGAAUGUAUGACCAGCUAGCUAGUCAGAUUCCAAAGAAAGAUAGUACUAGUAGUAAAAAUAACUGAAAACAGGCGUACUAUAGUAGUAAUACCUAGUACUACUGAGUGAAAGCAGGGGGUGUACUCUUGUACGUGUUUCACGUGCUAUAUGUAAGAGCAGGUACAAUAACAAAUUAUAAAUAAAAAAGAAAAUAAAGAAGAGAGAUGAGCAAUUGGCUAUAGAUUUAUAGCCAGCUACAAUAUGGACUCGAAGACACAAUUUAUAUAUAACAUGUAGGAUCAGAUAUUAAUAGUAUAUUAUAUAUUUGUAGGUAACUAUUAUAUAAAUUGGCUAUAAAUGAUUUGGAGCUAUUAGUUGGCUAUACUACUAUUAAACUUGCUUGGCUAUACUAUUAAACUUGCUCUAAGCAGAAGUGGUGAACAAAAGCCGGGAGUACACCCUCAGUUCCUAAGUAGAGCAAUUUUUGGUUGAAAGAGAUACAGAGUACUUUCCUAAGGAUGAAUUUGGACAUACUCCCUAUCUAAAUUCAUAAUAUUAGGAUAUAUCACAUCUGACAGAGCGUGGGGCUCCUCACCGGGAGACCGCGCAGGCCCCCCUUUGCCGGUUCGGCCGGGGGCUCAGGGUGAAAUCCCAAGCUCUCUCUGUAUGUGGAAAGAUCGCGACCUAUCGAAAGAGCAUGAGACACAGGCGAUGUAUACAGGUUCGGGCCGCUUAGAAGCGUAAUACCCUACUCCUGUGUUUUGGUGGAUCUGUGUAUGAAGGAGCUACAAAGUGUGAGCCAGCCUCUCCCUUGUUCUGGGUUCCGAAUCUGGCCCCCCCCCAAAUCCCCCCUUUUCUAAAUGGGCAAGGUCCUCCUUUUAUAUUUCAAGGGGAUACCACAUGCACCCCCCUCUCUCCCAACUGGACUUUUCUUCUCUUCAUAAAUGGACGGAGAUUUGCAUGGUUGCCCUCCGAAUGACCUUCUGACGGGACGGCCCAUACCUACCUCCACUUCUGCCGAAGGCAGGCGCGUCGUGGGAACGUGGCUGUCUGCUGACGACAUGAUCAGUGUCAGACCGGUCACAAGUCGGUCAUUCUUGUCCACCAUGCGUCAGCUUAGCAACAUGCAUGUUUGCCCUUCUUCACACAACAUAUUGCUUGUAAUGGUUAGGAUGAAGCCUGGCAUAUAUCCGACCGGGGCUAACGUGCCAUCUCUGGGAGGUAACACGCUAGCUCCAGCUGGGGACGAGUGCCUAGAAGCUCUCGUCUUGACGGGAUGGGGCGAAGCGUGCGUCAGACCGCCUGUCGCCACCUAACCCGCGAUCUGACCGGUCUGUGACUGGUCACAGACCGGAUAAACCAGUGCACUGCACUGCAUUUCGUGCGGCGUGACACGUUUAGCCGAGCCGCAAUAAAUGCGGUUAGGUGAGCCCCGCUGUGUUCACCUAACCCAUACACGCGGAGUAGAACCCGCGAGGGGUCGGGGCGCCUCGGCCCUCGGGGGCGAGGCAGGAGUGGUCCGACCCCCCUGGGGGAGACCAAGAGGUGGGCGCACACAUCACCCUCGGGCCCGACGUCCCCCGAGGGUGCCAGGCCACGUGGUGUAAAGUAUCUCUUCCCUCGACAGUCGUCUAAGGUCCCUCUAUCAAAUACUAGUCUACAUUCUCACACGGAUUCUGAUAAUAUAUUGUUAAUGUAAAAUUUAAAAAUAAAAUAAAAUCCAAAAAGAGAAAACACUGAUUUUUACUACUCAUAUCACCAGUUUUUAAUCGGAAUCCUGAGCUAUAUAUCAAACAAUGACUAAGUUCCUUUUAUUUUCUUUACAUAAUUCUCGCCUUCUUUUUAUCCUUAUAGGCUAGGUUAAUUUGUAACACAUUUUGCUACCUUAAUUUAAUUAAGGAACAAAUGGUAUAUCUCCGAUACGCAGCAGGAAGCCACCAAAAUAAAGGCCUAUUUAAUAUUGACUAGCUAACAAGAGUAAGCAUGAGAUAAGUUUAAGACUGCUUAAGUUUAACUCUAGUUCUUUUGUUGAAGUUCUCAACUCAACUUAACUCUUUUGUUUUUCACGUACACACCUUUAAAACUAUUAAACAGUAUGUUUUUUUAAAAAAUAUAUACAAAAGUUGCUUUAAAAAUCAUAUUAAUCCCUUUUUAAAAAAUAAUUGAUACUUAACUAUCGUGAUUUAAUGAGUCGUUUCUUUUUACGUGCGUGAGAGAUGAGUUUUCAACACCGAGCACCGAACUCAGCUUGAAGCUUUAGAUUCUAAGAAACAAUGGAUGAAAAUCUAGCAAGUAAUUAAUUAAUUUAGAGAAGCUAAGAUAACAACUUUUAUCUUUCAGUUUGUUAUCUAAGUAUAGUAUCUUAAAAUUUUAAAAAAAGCUAAAUUAUUUGGAAAACUUUAGUUCUUAAAAAAAUUGUAGAUGCUAAAGUCUUCGUAAACAUGUCCUCAAACUCGGGUGGGGAUGGUCUAGGUAUGCGAUUGAACUAAUUAAACUAUGGUCCAGCUCUGCUAUAUAUCUUAAUUUACUUUGACACGUGAACUUGUCAUGAAAAAUAUAUAAUGCAAACCAAAUAUGUAGUGAAACUUGAAAACUAUCGUUGGAUUAAAAAAAUAACAUUUGAGAUUGAUCCACGUCACGAAAAGAAAAAAAGUUUUCAGGAGUAAAGUUUUUACUCAUGAUGUGGACAAAUCUCAGCCAUUUAUUUUCAGAUCUCACGAUAGUUUCCAUAUUUGUAUUACAUAUGUGGUUUGUAUUACAUAUUUUCCUAAUUUAUCGCUGGCCGGUGAAAAAACAUGUUGAAGUUUGUGUUCUUGUGGCAAACACAUAUCUUAGUUUAUGAUUUGUUUUUUAUAAUCGAUGGUAUUGCUUGGGAAGCUUAAGAUUUUGAGAAAUGAUAGUUAGCUUUUGAGAAUAUUGAGAAGCUCAGAUUCUGACUUCUAGUUUAUUUGGGAUUGUUUUUGACUCUAGAAGAAGCUAUAGAUGUCAGAAGUUCCCUAAACGGACUCCUAAUGCAAAAGAAUGCAUUUCACGAAAGAAAGUUAACUUUCCUCUAUUCAAAGGAAAUGCUUGACAUCGGGAAAAACACAAAGGUGUUCAUAUCCAAAGCAUGAUUGUUGGAUAUUUGUUUGGGAUCAUAUGGCUAUAUGUCAUGUUUAGAGAGCUUGAUAUCUGUAACUACUCGUGGAGUUUUUCACUGACUCAAACAAUCAAAUUCUCGCUUAAAUUAUAUGAAUCAGUAGCUAGCUUUUUCUUAUUCACCUCAAAAUAUAGUUUUAGAGCUUUUAUUCACCAGUUUUGAUGUAUACAACUUUCGAUAGAAUUUUAAUAAGAUCAUGGAUGCAAUCACUGGUUUGUCUCUUAAAAUGUGUGUUAGGGGACGCAUUCACGGGAGUGCGAGUGUAGUGCUACAUAUAUAGUGGUGUGUGUCCGUGUGCCAUGUAAUCGAAUGGCCUGUUUAUAUUGUACCCAAAAUAAACCUUAUAAAAUUUUGACAAUGACAAAAAUUUGGCAAUUUAAUAAUAUAUAUUGCCAAAAUUUUGGUAGGAUUUUUUAUGUAUUUACUAAAGUUUGGCAAGAAACUAAAUGAAUGUGUUUAUUUGACAACUCUAAAAAAAAUGGUAUGGUUUGAAAUGACAUCGAUCUGAAUAGGUCCGAAAAUAAAAAAAAUGUUGUAUGAUUUUAUAAGGUAUAGGAAUACUGCCGUUGUGUUUGUGUAGCGCAACUGUGCAUAGUACAGUGUCUCAUGUUCUCAUGAUCUCGUCCCUUUGCCAUGCCAGACGUACCUGCCCGCCCAGUCACCUCGCCUGCGUAAUCUCUGCAUAUGCAUCGCAAUUCGCAAGAGGCGAGAGGGAGGAUCCAAUGCUGCUGACACGGUGGGUCCCACAUAAACUGACACCGUAGCACAUCAGCACGCUUUCUGAGCUUCUCCCUCUCCGGUCUCACGGUGUCCCCCGCCUUGAGCCUGGUGAAUGACAGGUGGGCCCGUCCUGCGCGUGGGACCAACCGGUCAGGGGGUCGGUGCGGAGCUCUGGGCUUUGCAGCUGCAGGUCGCACGUGUCGCGGGGCUCCAUAGCGGAUUGGAUGUGGGCCCCACUCUCCCCAGCCGCUAAGAGCAUGUACAAUAGCAGACUAUUAGCCAGCUACAAACAUAUUUUAAAGAGAUAAAAUAUGAGAGAGAAUAGCAACGGGGGCUACAGAUCUGUAGCCAGCUGCAGCACGGACUCCAAAGACACAAUGUGUGUAUGACAUGUGGGACCAUGUACUAAUAGUAUAGUAAGCAAUUAUUGUAUGAAUUGGCUAUUAGCUUGGCUAUAUAUGAAUUAGAGCUAGUAGUGGGCUAUACUAUUAAACUUGCUCUAACCACACGCGGGUUUUGGUUAUAGACUUCAUAAUUUUGCACAUCCUUUUACAGAAAAUCUAUCGUACGGUAUUCUGUGGAGACGGAAUAGUAGUACUGCCUUAUCUCCUUUUCCUCUCUCUCUGUAUCUCUUCCCCUCCACUCGCUCUCUCUCUCUGUCUCUUCCCCUCCACUCGAUCUCUCUCUCUCUGACUACCACCCAUGAGCACGGAGGCGGCAACGGCGACGACGGUGGUGGCAACGGCGGCGACGACGAUGACGACGGCGAUGCCGUCACUACUAGCCCCCGCGGAUGACCUAGACGACAGUCGGCGGACCACCACGGGCGACGGCCGCCGUCGAGAAGCCUCCUCAUCAAGCUCCUCAAGCCGCUCCUCCUCUUCAUCAUUCUUGUCGCUGGCUUCCUCGCCGCUGCCGCCCUCCUCCUCCUCGGCUGCGCUGGCGCCUCCUACAGUCGGGGAGCGCUUGGCACAACAUGAGCGACGAGGAGCUGCUCUAGGUGGCGUCAAUGGAGCUACGGGUUCGGCGGUUUGGAGCGAGGCACGACGACGAGCGACGGAAUGGCACAAGGUAGGCACCAGAUCUAUCGCCUCCUCUUCCUCUUCCUCCGCCGCCGCCCAGCUGCUCGACCUCCCCGACCUGCAACUCCUCCUCCUCCUCUUCUCUCUUGAGAUAUCACGCUGAUACCCAGGUACCAAGGCCUGAUACCUAGGUAUCAGCUCGAUACCUAGGGUACCAGGUAUCAGUCGAUACCAGGGUACUAGCUGAUACCAGUGUACUAGGUACCACCUCGAUACCUUACCCAAGGUACUAGGGAGGAUUGGAUAAGGUGGAAUCACAGGAUAGCAUGGACCUCCCCACGAAAUUGACUAUGCGUAUUAAAUCUCUCGGGAUUUUAGUUAUCCUGUGACUGCUAGGAGCAACGGAAUCCCGUGGGGUAGCAACCCUCAUCCUUUUAUUACCGAUGGUGUAAUUUCCCCGUACUGAGCUGGAUCACGAGUCAUCAAAUAUUGGUCAGGAUGCAUGCAUGUUAAAUUAUACGGAGUACUUCUUGUAUCCUAAAAUAAAUAGUAAUAAACGUAACACAACCGAAAUAUAAACCGACUUAAUUGCAUCUAAGCGCGAAAUGUUCAGAAUUAUACCCCUAACCAACAUGUCCGUGUGAGCACGUAAUUUCGGUUGAUCAGACCUCCAACGGAGUAAGGGCAUGUUCAAUGCGUAGCCCGGCGAGUGGCUCUGGCUCACGGUGUCGAUUUUUUCGGUCGGAGCCGUCUCCCAGCAGAGGGCCAUGACCCCUCUGCAGGGGACGCGCCUCCUGUGUUCCUCCGCUCCUUUUUGUCGAGCCACAGGACCGGGCUUCACGUUGGAGACACCGUGGCUAGGGGAGUGGCUCAUGGACACUGCUCUCACCCACGGAUUUUCCCCUUCCACCCCUAGCCCCAGCAGUCUCGUGCUUAAUAGAUGCUUCAUUAGCGACGGCGAAGAGGGAGGCGCAUAGGAGAGAGGCGACGAGGGGUGGUGCGAGAGAGAGAGAGGCGAUGACGAUGACUAGAUCUGGCCACCAGCCAAUGACGGGCAGAGAGGGAGGCGUACGCGGUGGUGCCUCGUUGUCCUCUGCGACGGGAGAGAGAAGGAGAGAGGCGACGAUGGGUGGCAAAAGAGAGAAAGAGGAGAGUGGCGACGGCGACGACCAGAUCCGGCCAUUGCGCGCCGUGGCAGCCGUCCGUCGGCCACCAGCCGGCGAGGGGCGAAGGGCUUCCUCACGCGGCGGCAGCGACCAGAUCUGGCGCAGGCUGUCGGCGCGGCGGUGGUGGCUAGGGAGGGUGAGGAGGGAGGCGACAGCGGUGGCUAGGGAGGGCGAGGAGGGAGGCAGCGGCGAGCGGCGGGGGAGAAAUAGGCGACGCGCUCGAGAGAGGGGGAGAGAUUGGCGAUGCAUGUGCGCGAGAGAGAGGAGAAGUGUCGGUAGGGAAAAAAAGUCGUCGGUGAGCUGGAGGAUAGAGGAGGGUAGUAUAGGAAAAUAUUCACUGUGGGGGAUUUUUGGUUGGAACACCCACUGUGGGCCUGAGUACUUUCACCCAAUUGCCUCAUAUUUUAAAGAGCCUAUCUAGUGUAGCCUUUAUUGAAAGAUGAGUGUCUCUGAGAAUGUCCUCAGUUAGUGAGAACAAUCUAGGGGUGGCUUUGAUUUUACAUGCUCUAAGUGGGCUGCCAAUUCCCUUUUUUUCCUAGUAACUCAUGGUUUGUGUUGCAUAUGGGGAUAGAUUAAAAAACAAUCUAGUUUGUUUACUAAAUAAUAUCCAACAUAGAUUAAUCUGGUUGGUAGCAUUCUACAAACCAGAUUAAUCUAUUUUGGAUAUUUAGUAAACCAUGCUAUUUCAGAUUAAUGCCAUUUCAAACCAUGAUAUUAUUUGGUAAAAAUGAUUAUGUGGCUAUAUUUAGUAAUGACUAUGGAAUUUUGACAAUAUUAUAUUGAGCACAUCCUACUAAAAUUUGGUAAUGUUGUCAAUUUAUCAAAAUUUUGGUAUUACCAAAUUUUGAAAAGUUGUAUUUUGAUAUCAAUCUGAACAUACCUUAAGGUCCUCUUUGAUUCAAAGGAAAUUCAUAAGAAUUUUAAAGGAUUUUAUUUCUAUAGAAAAUUUUCCUAUAUAGCCCUUUGAAUCAAAGGAAUGAAUCCUAUGCAAUCCUAUGAAAUUCCUAUGGAAUGCCUCUUCCUAUGUAAUUAUUGGAGGAAAUUUAGCAUGAGGUAGAACCUCAUGUUAAGAAUUCUUUGAGUCUUUAUAUCUACUCAAAUUCCUGUAUUUUUCCUACGGCUUAAUCAAACGGUCAUUCCUAUGUUUUUCCUGUGUUUUGUAACCCUCUGUUUUACACUUAUAUUUCUGUGAGAAUUCUAUGUUUUUUCUAUUCCUCCGUUUUUUUAUUUCUGUAAUUCAAAGAGGCCUUAACUCAGUUGUUUGUUAGUAGUAGUUGUUUGUGUGGCCACUGUACAAAUUUCAUGUCACUGCGCGCAUAUACCAGACCAAUCAAAUGAGUAAGCACAAAGCAAUCGAUGCGCUAACAUGUACCUACUCCUGUAUUACAUUGCGACAAACAAGAUAUAUAUUGCGAAUCAAAGCCCAUUAAUAUCUUGGUUACUAUUUACUCCCUCCGUCAAAAAAAGACAAACCCGGAUUUCCGUGUCCAACGUUUAACCGUCCGUCUUAUUUAAAAAAAUUAUGAAAAAAAUUAAAAAGACAAGUCACGCAUAAAAUAUUAAUCAUGUUUUAUUAUCUAACAACAAUGAAAAUACGGAUUAUAAAAAAAUUUAUAUAAGACGGACAGUUAAAGUUGGACACGAAAACCCAGGGUUUGCCCUGAUGCCCUGGCACAACGAGCUGAACUUGGUUUUUUUUUUGACGGAGAGAUAGUUAAAAAGACGGCCAAUUUAUUUCACUGGGCCUGGUGAACCGAAUUGGCGUGCUCACACUAGCAUGUUGGUUAGAAAAAUAAUUCUGAAAAUUACAUGCUUGGAUUUGAAAUUACGUGGUUGCAUGUGUGUUUAGAUUAAAAAAAAGUCAUGACCUGGUUUCAAUAACUGAUUAUAAUAAGUACUCCCUCCGUUUUUUAAUAUAUGACGCCAUUGACUUUUUCUUACAUGUUUGACCAUUCGUCUUAUUCAAAAAAUUUACGUAAUUAUAAUUUAUUUUGUUAUGGAUUGUUUUAUCGUUCAUAGUACUUUAAGUGUAAUUUAUAUCUUAUACAUUUGCAUAAAAUUUUUGAAUAACACAAAUGGUCAAACAUGUGAGAAAAAGUCAACGGCGUCAUCUAUUAAAAAACGGAGGUAGUAAUGUUUAUUAGAAAUAAAAAGAUAAUUUACUAGAUGUUUCACGAGUAAAAUUUUUAUUCAUGAUGACGUGGAUAAACCUCAUAGAUCUAAUUUUCCACAUCUAACUACACAUUUCUAUUUAAUAUGUGUGAUUUGCACCGCAUACUUUCCCCGACAAUAGAUCAUCCUGUGCGCGCUUAGAGCAGGUACAAUAAUAGACUAUAUAUCAACUAUAAACACAUAUCGAGGAGAUGGAAGAAGGGAGAGAUGAGCAGCGGGCUAUAGAUUUGUAGUUAGCUACAACACAGACUUCAAGACGUAAUGUGUGUAUAACAGAUAAGACCCGAUAUUAAUAGUGUAGUAUAUUGUAUAUAUUUGUAGAUAACUAUGGUAUGAAUUAGCUAUUAAAUCAACUAUAAUUAGUUGGCUAUAUUAUUAAACUUGAUCUUAAAUAAUUAACGAAAAUCAUCGAGGUAGGCGAGGGCAGUUUGGUCAGAACACACACAAAAAAAAAAGUUAAAGCUCGGAAACGGCAAAAGCUAUGGCGACCGACCGGUCACUUCCCACUCCCCAGUUCCCAGUGAACAGAGCAGGAGCAGCCUCCACUCCUCCUCUGCCACUCCACUCCCCACCACCACUCGCAUCACCAUCCAUCCAUCCAUCUCCAACCCAAGCCGAAUCACACCAAUCGCCAUCGCCAUCGCCAUCGCCGUGCGUGGUCGCCGGUGCCGGCGGCGGAGGGGGAGGGGGACCAAGGGAAAAGAGAGAAGGUGAGCUGAGCUGAGCUGAGGUGAAGUGGUGCUGAGGCGAGUGACUGGGGGGCAAUGGCAGCGGCGUGGGUGCUGGCCGCGGCGGCGGCGUUGGCGCUGUGGGCGGCGGCGGCGGAGGGGGCAAGGUCGCCGGCGGCGAGGGUGCACCGGCACCUCAAGAGGCUCAACAAGCCGGCCGUCAAGAGCAUCGAGGUUGGGUGGCCAGUUCUUGAAAACAUUUGCUUCUUUUUAUUAUUAUUUCUUUUGGGGGUUAUCGCUCAACUUUGUGUUGUUGAUGCAUUGUUACAUUGGGAGUUCAAAAUGUUAGUAUUUUCAUUUCACAUUCUUUUUUUUUUCACUUUUGUUUCUAUGAGUUUUGGUCUAGCAUUGAUUUGCUAAGAUUUUGAGAUGGAUUGAUUUGCAGAGAAGAAAGUUUGCCCCUCUUUUCUGUGCUUCUUUUGGGCUGUUCUUGGUAGUUUUUCUCAUUGCUGCUUUAAAGAAUUUUUCGAAAAAGUUGCAAUCUUUUGGAGGUACAUUUUGGCAACUCAAGCAAAAGAAGGCAGAAAAGACGUGUCCUGCUUUCAGGCUGGCUCUGGCAAAGUUGUAUUAUUCUCCAAUGAAAAAAGGGGUUGAAUGAACAAUUCCUUUUUUUAAAUCUUUCUUUACAUUUCCGAACAAUGAUUUCUGCGUUUUCCAAAAAGUUCAAAACCUGAAGCGUUUGUCUUCUUUUUUUUGGUAUUAUUGUUAUUAUUAUUUGUCAUGAACAAAUGUCCUAUCCGUUUGAAACUGUUUUGCAAACCGAUGCAGAGCCCAGAUGGAGACAUCAUCGACUGCGUGCAUCUCUCUCACCAACCAGCAUUUGAUCAUCCCCUACUCAAGAACCAUACUCUCCAGGUAAAAUGCUUCACUUUGCAAUCAUUUCAAAGUACUCAUCAAACCUGCAUUUACCACAGUACAUCUGUACAUGGUCCAAUAUGUUGCAUUCAACAUUUUUCUAAAAGAAAGCUCUGUCAAAAAUCUUUAUCCUUGCAGAUGAGGCCGGCCUACCACCCUGAAGGCUUGUAUGAUGAUGACAAGAGAAGCGUGGCCUCUGACAAUGCCGGCGAGAAGCCGAUGCUCCAGCUAUGGCAUCAAAAGGGGAGGUGCCCGGAGGGCACCGUCCCGAUCAGGAGAACGAAGAAGGAUGAUCUGCUCAGAGCGAGCUCGUUGCGGCGGUAUGGCAGGAAACGGCAUACCGCCGUGAACCCGCUGUCCAUUGAUCCCAACAUGCUCAAUGAGGGUGGUCACCAAGUAUGUCCGAAUACGAUGUCAUGUUGAGUUGAAAUCAAAAUGGAACAUGGUAAUGGCAUCGGCAUGUUUGGUACUUAACCGAAACUGUUUUCUUGUUGCAAAUUCAGCAUGCCAUAGCGUAUGUGGAGGGGGAUAAGUACUAUGGUGCCAAGGCCACCAUUAAUGUGUGGGAGCCCAAGAUUCAGCAGCCUAACGAGUUCAGCCUGUCCCAGCUCUGGAUCUUGGGGGGUUCAUUUGGUGAGGAUCUCAACAGCAUCGAGGCCGGGUGGCAGGUACUACUGGGAAGAAAACCUGAGCUCAUAUGAGCUUCAUCACAUUCAUAGUUACGCGAAUUGAAUGAUGACCGUUUUCGCGGUCGGCUGUCCCCCUGCCAUGAUGCAUGGAUGCAAUUGCAACCUGUGCUGUGUGUCUGAUCAUUUGCGCUAACCGCCGUCCUUUGAUUCAUCAGGUCAGCCCAGACCUCUAUGGAGAUAAUAACACUAGGCUGUUCACAUACUGGACUGUAAGUUUCACAAACUCAACAAUCCAUAUGCUUAUACUAUUGAUGGUACAUUGUUAUACUAUUAAUGUUCUCUGUACUCUGGCAACAGACAUUCUGUUGUUGAUGCAUUAACUUCGGUGUCCCUUACGUUUGCUUUCGCAUUGGGGUCUUUUUUGUAGAGUGAUGCUUACCAAGCAACAGGGUGCUACAACAUAUUGUGCUCCGGAUUCAUUCAGAUCAACAGCGAGAUCGCCAUGGGCGCGAGCAUCUUCCCCAUCUCGAACAUCGCCGGCUCACAGUAUGAUAUCAGUAUUCUGAUCUGGAAGGUGAGCAAUUCUUAAACUAUUACCAAGGCAUCAUCACAUAAUGACAUGCUUAGUGCCUUGAGAAUUAGCAUAAGAACUAAUGGGGCCAGAGAAUCUUUCCCCACUUGCUCUAAUGCUCCUUCACACACCUGGUUCUUUGAAAACCAUUUUGUCCAAAUCACAUGUACUAGGCAUGCAUAACUAACACUAAUGUGGCAUCUCUAGUGACUAUAUUAUCGAAAAAAAACUCUAAUUAUAUAGUAAUAUUCUAUGUGCUUCAUCUGUGGACAGGACCCAAAGGAAGGAAACUGGUGGAUGCAGUUCGGCAGGGAGUAUGUCCUCGGCUACUGGCCGUCCUUCCUCUUCUCCUACCUCGUCGACAGUGCGUCGAUGGUCGAGUGGGGCGGGGAGGUGGUGAACUCGGAGCCCGACGGCACGCACACGUCGACGCAGAUGGGGAGCGGGCGGUUCCCGGAGGAAGGGUUCGGCAAGGCGAGCUACUUCAAGAACAUCCAGGUGGUGGACAGCAGCAACCAGCUGAAGGCCCCCAAGGGGGUGGGCACCUACACCGAGCAGUCCAAUUGCUACGAUGUUCAGAACGGCAACAAUGGCGACUGGGGCACCUACUUCUACUAUGGCGGCCCGGGGAAGAACUCGAAUUGCCCAUGAAUUUGGUGAUGAAGAAGCUGAUGAUAUAUAUAUAUUUAUAUAUAUAUAUAUAAUAUAUGGUGAAGUGUGCAAGUGUAACCAAGCAUUAAUCAUGUGUGGAAUACAGAUUGAUCUGCAUCUGUUUCUUAAUUUAGCCCUAGGUAGUAUAUGUGUAUCUUUCCUACUGAUUUUCUUUUUCUUCUCUUCAUUAGUUUUUUCUUCUUCUUUUUCUGAUGUGCCAUGUAAAAGUUUCUGAAGAGAAGCAUGGCGUGAGGUGGUGGUGCAGGGGUGAUGAUGACAAUUGAUUUGUGGGUAAUUUGCAAGUCAAACGGCUUGUGAUCAGUACUACAAAUUUAUUAGCUGUUGUGUUAGCUGAUAAAAUGACUUGGUAGUAGACAGUAGUUCUGUAGAAACGUGAGAAAAUUUGACAGAUUCGAAAUACAAAUUCAAAGCAACGAGGAAGGGAGCUGGGCUAGACUGUCAGAAAUCCAAUGUACACGAAGAGAAAAUAAUAAAUUCUUGAGGUGGCCUACCUUCUCGGGGAACAUGUUUGUUCUCAGAAGAGUGUUGGUAGCUGAGAAACUCUGAAUCCAUGGUUCACCUCCAUUUUAUAUCAAACUAGCCAAUAGAUCGUGCGUUGCAAGGAAAAACAAAUUAAGUUUAUAGCUUAUUCAGUCAAUUAAACACAUAUUUAGUCUAAGUAGUACUUUUAUGUUUUUUUAUUGAACAAGUAGUUUCUUUUUUAGAUAAUAGAAAUGUGUUACAUCUCCGAUCUCUGCCCGUAGGCACACAACAAAAAGUCUAGAAGUGAACAGAAAAAAGCUUAAGAAGUACGGAGUAGUUGAUUUCAAAAUUUAGGAAGAGCCAUGUAUAAUAGUAUAGAUUGUGGUAUAAUAACAUAGAUCGUUAGACCCAAAUGUCAGUGAUAAGGGUGGUGUGAUAACGGCCAGCACUACUAGUAACAUUUUAAGUAGCAUAAAUGCAUACCGAUAGAUAUAUGAUGACAUUUUAAUGCAAUAGCUGUAUCAGGGUCUUUGGGAGGAAAAGCAAGAGUGAUGAAUGCCAAAAUUUAUAUGAAGAUGUCAAAUUUUAUAUGACACCGUUGAUUUUUGACGUGAUAUUUGAUCAUUCGUCCUAAUUAAAAAAUAUAUAUAAAUGCUAUUUAUUUCAUUGUGACAUGGUUUCUCAUUAAAUAAAUUUUACUAUAAAUUACACUUAGGCAUAUUUAUACAAAUGUUUUUUAAAAAAGAAUGAUCAAACAUUAUUUUUAAAAGUCAACGACAUCAACUGUUAAAAAUGGAGGGCAGAUCAACAGUGUUAGCAUCAGUGUCAGGCGACACCGACGACUUUCGACAAAACCUAAAUUAUUAUUUUUAGAUCCGCCACUGAAACGGAGGUAGUAUCAAUUACAGAAGAAGAGCGAGAGGAAAAGGAGGGCAAGCAGUGGCGGAUCCAGAAAAUCGAUUCGUUAGUGUCAGAACGUGUCUAUCGGUGUCAUAGUAUGCUAAUUACACUUAGAUCAUGGUGUUAUAGCAUAUGAAUAAGCAGUUUCGCUAUAGGUUUUGCCGAAAGUCGUCGGUGUCGCCUGACACCGGCCCUAUAACUAUAGAUCCGCCCCUGAGGGCAAGUGUGAGGCAAUGGAGGAGACCUAACCGGCGGCUCACCAUCACCGGAGCUGUCUGCCAGUCAGUCUGCCGUGGCCGGCGGUGGCAUGGGGCAUGGCCGAAGCGGAGCCUCCUCUACUUAGGCCAAAAUUUGGUCUGGUCUGAGGCUUCAGCUAGGUCACACCACCAUUCAUUCCUUCAUUCAUCGCUGCCCAAAUUAAGUUUGUAAUUUGCACCCCUAGUCUCUCCAAUUUUACAAUUCUUAACAUUUUAGACAACACAUGGUCUCCAAAAUAUAUCUUUGACUAUAUAUUUCUAUUAUAACAUACUAGUCGCAUACCUGUGCAACGCACAGGUUAUUAUCAAUAUUUUAAACAUUGUUUACUUCUUGGAUUUUAUAUUUGAGGUGCCAGUCACUUUUGUCAUAUAAUAGCCCUAUGGUUCUCAUCACUACCCUAUCACUGAAAACAAAAAUUCCUUUCUAGGAUAAAAUGCUGGAAAUAGGCUACUAUAACAUACAAAAAUUUUCAAAACUACGGAACAUUAACUUAUAACUCAUAACAAUUUUUUUUAAAAAAAAUCAAAAUUACAUAUAAAUAAAGCAAACAACAAAAUGCAGUUAAAAUGAUCUAAAAUCCCACACUGCAUAGUGCAGUUUUGAGGACUAAAAAGUUACAGAUUUUUAGGCGCCUUAAUCACCUUGUUUCUUAUUCAUAAUUAUAUAUGAGUAAAAUAUAUGGCUGGUCCCUAAACUUGUGUGGUGGUGUCACUUAGGUCCGUGAACUUGGUUUAAUGUACCAUCCCGGUCCAAAUGUCCUUUAACUGCGUUUGACCGCAUGCCACGUAGGUAACACUUUUGCUCUCAGCCCCCUCCACAUCACAAUACAUCGCAUAUAUCUUCUUAUAGCUAUAUAUAGUAACACUAGAAUCCAAAAAAAAAAAUCUCAAAUCGUUCUCCCAUCUCAUUCUUCUCCUUUCAUGUAUAGAAAAUGCGGUUCCGAUUAGCAAUUGCUAUUGCUCCAUGCUCCAAAAUAAACUUAUUCUUACACAACGGGCACUUGAUCAACAACACAUUCUUCCCGUGACUUCAAGAUGGGGGUGAGCUUGUAGAAUCCAUGGGGAUGCCUAGCGUGCAAGCCGCAUUGCGCUGCCUCCUAUCGCAAAUCUGGCCGCACUGUGCCACCGCUAAUCCUGCUAUACCCUGUAUUGGCGCUGUCUCCUGCCGCUAAUCUCACUGCCAAGACCGCCACAACCACUACCUUUCGGUCUCCUUCCGCUAACCUCACCGUCGAAACCCUAGAUGAUUUAGGGAUAUUUUUGGGGAUUUGGGUUGAAAUGCAUUUGUCAGGGCAAGUUAUGUGCGAAGAUAUAUGUGAAGGGGGCUGAACACAAAAGUGUUGCUUACGUGGCAUGACACAUUGGCGGUCAAACGUGGUCAAAGGACGAUUGAACGGGGGUGGUACAUUAAACCAAGUUCACGGACUUAAAUGUGCAAUUUUUAAGUUUAUGGAUCUAAGUGACACCACCUCACAAGUUUAAGGACCGGCCAUAUAUUUCGCUCAUUAUAUAUUGUUCUCAUAUUCACAAAUAUCUUGAUCAGAAAUUGCUGACAACCUUCUGUAGAAAAAUUGUCAUUCCUCCUAUUUGGAAAUGUUAAAGCAUUCCUCUUACAACAAAACCCAAUAAAGCAUCAAGCACGUGGAUAUCCCUUCAACAAAACAUAAAUCAUCGAAAGGAUAUCAGACGACUUAACGAAGCAUAAAAGCGGAUUGGAAAUGGACGACUAUUUGAAGAAUGCCUAAAGAUCACAUAUUGAUAAGUCCGCAUUAAGUCGUCAACUUUGGAUCCGACUGGGGAUUUUUGAAGAAUGUUUCAUGAAAAAAUUGGAAAGCAAUGAUGUUGAUGCUUGCUUAUGAAAGGACAUGGGGGGCAACUAAGGUCUUGUUCGUUUCUCCAACAAGAUGGAGAUGAAAUUUUGGUUAUUCGUGGCACGCUUAUUAAACUGCUAAACGGUGUGUUUCGUGCGAAAACUCUCUAUAUGAAAGUUGCUCUAAAAUAUCAGAGUAAUUUAUUUUUCAAGUUUGUAAUAAUUAAAACUCAAGUAAUCACACGUUAUUACCACCUCAUUUUGCGUGAAACACUUAAUCUUUAUCUUCAGGAGAUACCUAAGCAUUGAACAUCAGGACCAUGAAUAUACCUGAUAAACUCCCACCGAAGAACAGAUCCAGAGGUACUUCUCUGUUGCUCUGCGAUAUGGUCAAGAAAGCGCGCAUAGAUCACCAGAUUAUUUACAUCCAUUAUAUAUGACAUGGCAGGCACUAAAAAACAAUUUAUAUUAAUUAUUAUGAUUAAAGAGUCAUAAGCUAGGUAAUCGAUCAAUCAAUGUUGUUUAAGAUGAGAAACAUGUGAAGAAAGAAUUAAAUUUUGAAAAAGGGUUCAAAUCAAAUCUUGCAUCAGUUGAGAAAAUAGCAUGCAAUAGUAGCUGCAUAGGAUUGAUCCAUCGAUUAUGAAACCGGAGGGAGCAACUUCUCUUGACUUUGAGUGAAACCCCCAGCCCAACUUGCAUUUGCGUUGGUGAGUGACCAUGUACAUUUUACACGUUGGGUGGAUGUUGCAUACAAGGAAUUCACUCCACUAGUGUAACUUAAUCAUAUUCAGCACAUAGAAUUUUAUUCCAUGAAUAUCAAACAAUGUGGAUAUUUCUUUUUUUUUUGUGGUCCUGUACUCUUGUUCGUUUCUCCAACAAGGAGGAGAUGAAAUUUUGGAUACUCAUGGCACGUUUUUUAAACUGCUAAAUGGUGUGUUUUGUGCGAAAACUUUCUAUAUGAAAGUUACUCUAAAAUGUUAGAUUAAUCUAUUUUUCAAGUUAGUAAUAAUUAAAACUCAAUUGAUCACAUAUUAUUACCACCUCGUUUUACGUGAAACACUUAAUCUUUAUCUUCACCUUUAUCUUUAGAAGAUUCAAACACCACCUUAACUGUACGGGGAAUUGUGUCCUUGCAAAGUCUAGGUUUGAAGAGCUACUGCAGCAGUGUGUUUUGUAUCUCCAAGUCCAACCGUUUAAUUGGAACAAGUGCAAGUUCUAUCUAUCGACUAUUAGCGCAAUUUGCAAUAUGGUUUUUCAAAUGGUGUCCUGCGCUAUUCCACCGUUGCUAAGGUUUUAUCCUCAUCCGCCAUAGCAAAUGUUUUAUUCUGGUUUUGCGAUAGUUAAGGUUUUAUUCUGCAUCGGUCAUUGAAGAAGCCAUACAUAGUAAGCCAUAAUUGUCUUUUAUCUUUUUUUGGUGUGUUAAUAAAAUUAAACAAUAGGAUCAGAGGCAUUGAUGGUAGGGAAUUUUCCGAACAAAACGAUAUAUAUAUUUACUGGUUUUUUUUCUCUUUCUAUACUUCUUCUAUCUAUAAAUAUCAAACUCGGACCUAAUGUCUCAUACACACAUCAAUUACAAUACAAUCUGGCAUAUAGCACAUAUUAGCUCAUCAGUAAGAAAUGGUGAACCACAGCUGCCAAGGACUUUUGUUACUUCUUCUAGUGUGUUCUGCCAUGCCUGCACUUAUCGAGGGUAACUAAUGAAUCUUCUAUUUUACUUUUGUAGGAAGGGGGCUCUAAUUUGCUUUUCAUUUAUAUGUCGUUUUGAUGGCACCACACUUAAAAUUUCAUCUUGAAUAGAUUAAUCGAAUUUACAUGUACAUUAUUGCAUUUUCAUUCUAUUUUGACAAUAUGUAUGUUCCCUUGAUAAACAGGAGCUGAUGUUAAAGAUUGCAUUCACAAUCCCAUGGACCCUCAUCAAAUAGAUAAGAACUUUUGUUGUGUAAAGGAUAAUGAGUGCUGGAUGUCGAUUCAAGAGUGCCUGGCAAAUUGCCCAUGUGGCAAAAAUUGUUCGACGUAAUCAUAUGCUCAUUAGUUAGAUCUGACAUCUUUAGCUAGAUACUACGUUAAUUAUCUCUACUACAUCCGGUAAUGCUGGCGAGUGCCAAGUAAACCAAAGGUCCGGCAAUGGUGUUGUCAGCGGUUGUGUGUGAGGGCGACCGAUGUUUUCCUUUUUCUCCUUGUUUACCGAUUCAACCUAACUAAGAUGAUGUUUUUGGUAAGGAUGAUAUUUUUUUCUUUUGCAUUUAUUAAUGUAAGGGUGACCAAUGUAACCCCUGAAUUUAUCUAAAAUAAAAUGAAGAAAAAAAUUGAACUCCCAUUUCAAAAUGGUAGUUCAAUUUUUUUUUCUUCAUUUGAUUGUUACCUUUGUUUCUAUGAAUUUUGGUUUAGUGGUGUAGCCGCAUUUGUUAAGAUUUUGAGCUGGAUUGAUUUGACAAGUUGUGCAUUCUCUAAUUCAGAAAAGUUUGCCCCUCUUUUCUGUGCUUCUUUUGGGCUUUCUUGGUAGUUUUUUUUCUUCUUAUAGCUGCUUGAAAGAAUUUUUCGACAAGAGUAAAUUGCAUUCAAGAUACACGAACUUGUAAAAUGAUCGUUUUGGUGCAUGAGCUUGUUUGGUGCGUGCAAAAAAAGGUGAAAAGAACAUUAAAUGGAUAAUCUUAUUGAUUUAAGGGCUGAUUAUGAUACUAUAUAAACAUAUAUUUGAGAAGGUUGCUAUUAGCCAUACACCUCUUCAAUAAAAAUAUAGAAUGGGCUAUAGUGAACGCAGAAAAAUAUAUGAAAAAAUGAGCAAUGAUAUAAGGGUUAGAGAUAUAUGACAUUCAUCAUUUACACGAUGAAGGAAAAAGUAUAGACCAAAAUUAUAAAUAUUAUAUGCUUUAUGCAUACUCAUUACACAUGCACGUCACAUAGUCAACAUCAGCUUUGUAAAAUUAGCAUUGCAAGCUAUUUUGGUCCCCGUUCGCACGAGCUAGACAAGUUCGUGUACCGAAACGAGCAUUUUACAAGUUUAUGUACUAAAUUGCACCCAUCUAACAAGUUUGUGUAACACCAAUGCAAUUUACUCUAUUCAAAAUCUAGGAUAAAGUGGUUGCUGCUCUAAGCAAACGGGCGACCGGUCGCUUUGUAGUCAUGUACAUAUAGAAAAUCCUCAAGAGGAUGGUAGGGGUAUAGAUUUGUAAACUUUAAAACAGAAUUAUACUUUUGUAAAUUUUUCAAAAAGAAUAUAUAAAUAUGAAAAUUCCUGAUUUCUACUUUAAUGGAUCUUGAUCCUACAUAUUUGGGUCCAAUCUGUUCGUGUAGCCUUUUCGGUUUGGCCCGAUUUGGGCUGGGAAUUAUUUAUUUGUUUCAUCCUGCCCAAAAAAUACAAACCAGAUCCAAAUAGACCGAAAAAAAACAGAAGGAAAAAAAAACGAUACCCAGCCCAAAUUGGGCACGGGCCGAAAACUUGGGUUAGUGCAAAUUGACCCAUAUAUAAGUAAAAAGAAUGACAAAAUAGAAAUAAAAAAAAAGAGCGUGCGCGCGCACACAACAAACCCACUUGGGCUUAGGGCACAACGAAGUUACGGAAAAAUACGACAUGUAACCAUAGUAAUAGCAUUGAAGCAUAAUGCAAGGCUAUAAGCUAAGGAAGCAAUUGUAGUAGUGGAUGGAGGGAGGCACAGUUUAACGCCUUACGAGCUGUCUAGCGAAUUUAUUUAUUUAUUGAACUUAGCUGCCUAGCGAAUUUAACCCAUGGUAAGAGAAUAUGUACGCAGAGUUUAACCCCUCUGAACUGAAUAUCGUGCCAAGUUGAGCGAACGCCAAAUAAAUCAGCUUCAGUUGAUGCAGCAGACAGCAGUUCUGAUUGCCAUCUGUCCUUGGCACCAUCUUUGCCACUGUUUGCUGAUAAUGCGAUGAAGAGUAGAUAGUAGUCAGAUGUUGCAGUUAGCGAUAUCUAUUGACUACCACUUCCAAUGGUUGCUGUGUUAUCACCAUGUCACGUAUUGAGCUCAUAUAUUCCCAUGAGUCCUACAACCAAAAUAGAGGGAUCUAAAGAGGUCUUGUGUUCUUCCGGAGCCAGUCGAGAGAAUGGCCACUCAACAAAGGGGAAACCUGAAAGUGAAAAUGAUUGUGGUUAAGCAACGCAAUGGUUCAUAUGAUCUUGGAAUGAUGUAUACGAGGAAUAAUUUUGCUUCCCAAGAAACAGUCGACGAUUCGCAUCCUAGUGAAUACUACCUCCGUCCCGAUAUAAGUGCAGAUGUAGGUUUCCGUGUCCAACAUGUAACUGUCCGUCUUAUUUAAAAAAAUAUUUAUGAUUAGUAUUUUUGUUGCUAUUACAUGAUAAAACAUGAAUUUAUGUGUGACUAAUUUUUUUUAUUUUUUUCAUAAUUUUUUUAAAUAAGACGAACGGUUAAAUGUUGUAUACGGAAACCCACAACUGUACUUAUAUUGGGACGGAGGUAGUACUGAAUAGUGACAUAAUACAUUGGGAAAAAAGCUAGUACAUGACAAUCAAAACCAUGCGCAUGUGCUGCAUGCAACAGUAUGUCCUAAAUAUUGCGCAACAAUUGACAUUUAAAAAUAAAAAAAGUGCUCUUUCUUAUUUAAAUAGCCACACCUAAUGCAGGCUUAGAAACAGAUUUGGAUAUCAAUUGUUCAAAAAAUAAUUUUGCCUCAAUGACAUAUGACUCACCUUUUCCCAGACUUCGUCAUGGUAUUCAUUGAUCCAAUUGAUCUCCGAAGGUGAUAGUAAGGACAAAUCAACAAGCUUGCUCUGAAGUUACCAAAGAAACGAAAAUUAAAUGUACAAGGUGGAUGAUAAUAAAAAGAAGUGUACAUAUAGAACAGCACACAAAGACUCAGGUUACCAGUCCUUAAAAUAAUUCUGUGGUAAGUUAUUAAUUUCAUAGGCCAACGUUAAAUUACUCAGACUUGAUUACUCAUUAGUAAGAAAGUAAUAUGUGGAUCAAUGCCAUUAUUGCAAUAUGUUUCCACAAAAAAUAGUAUCAAAUCGAGUUGAUGGUAUACCUGAAUUGGAACAAAAGUUAAUUUUUCAAAACCAAGGUACGAGACGCCACCAAACGAAUUUGGCAAAUUAACCUCUUUGACCAGAAGAAGAUUCUGCAAUAUUCAAGAAAAAAUAAUGAGAAAUGGCUAUUCAAUGUACUAUCUGCACAAUUGCUCAAUUUAGUCCUAAAAAUUUAGGAGACUGACAUGAGCAAAGAGUGGGGAAACCUACCUCUAUACGAAUGCCAAAGGAAUUGUCUUCGUAAUAACCAGGCUCAUUGCUUACGAUCAUGCCCUUCUGUAAAGCUGUCAAAUUUCCAUAUCGAUAGCUUAUGCUCUGAGGGCCCUCAUGGACAUUUAGUGCAGCUCCAACUCCAUGACCUGUGCCUGGAACAAGAGAAAAAUUGAUCAUCAAUUUACGUAGCAUCACAUGCCAUAACUUCCAGCAUUCAGAGAUUUUUGUGUGCUUAGAAAAUGUACCAUGUCUGUAAUCCAGCCCAAUCUUCCACAGAGAAGAGCGUGCAAGAACAUCUAAUACAAAGCCAGGAGUUCUCUCUGGAAAUACCGCCUGAUCGAGAGCUAUAUGUCCCUGAAACAAUAAAACUUUAUGACUCGAAUAAAGUAUGAAACAAAAAUCAAGUGUUGAGUGAGACAAGUAUCAUAGCACACUGAAGGCAAGACAUACUAAAUAACUGUUACAAUUGAGUAAAAAAUAACUGUUACAGGUCUAAACAAAAUUAAACAUUACCUGCAAAACCCUUGUGAAGCAUUCCUUUUGCCUUGGGGUUGGCUCACCAAAGUGAACAGUCCUUGUUAUGUCAGUAGUUCCAUCAAUAUAUUGAGCACCACUAUCUAACAGAAAGAGAUUGUCGCUUCCGACAGAGCUGCAGCUCUCUGGAGUUGGUCUGUAGUGUAUUAUAGCACCAUUUGCACCAUAACCUGAGUGGAAAAUUUGACUACAUAUUAGAAGUCAAGAACUGCAGACAUCACACGGCAUUUGCAAACAGCAGUAGUCCAAUGUCACAUUAAACAUUCCCAUGAUGCUCAGCAUGAAAAUUGAGAUAAGUCUAAACCAUAACAUGCAUUGUACUCCUACCAUAUAUCAAUACUCGUUUUAAAAGAAACAAGGCAGUUGUGGCACUGAAUCUGCCAGCACACCAACUCUGCAGUACAUUUGUACCAAGUACUUCUUAAGUUUGUUAAUAUUGUUAGUAUCUUAUUCCAUCUCUAAAUUCAUGGAAAGGUUUAUGGUGACAAAAAUUGUCACAUAUAUAGUAUAAAUGCUAAUUUACAAAUAGAGUAAUGCAAAAAGUUGUCUAAGUGUUCCCUUCAACAGAAGUAACAAAAACAUGGUGGGUGAGUUCAAUGAAAAAAAUCACGCAAUUUAUUCAAACAAUAUUAGCACAUGUAGAUCCAUUUUCAUUCGUAGCAACACAUGGACAUUUAGCUAGCAAAACUAAAUAAUGAAAAGGCUUAGAUAAACUGCUUGAGAAUAGUAACAAAGUUCCAGAUCGAUUGGUUCGAGGAACGUGAUAUGCUACUUGCAAGAGGUGUUUACAAGGUGGUACGAAAAUGUCCACGUGUUCCCAGGACAUUCCUGGUCAAGGAGCUGCCUUCGACCCAGAUCAUGACUAACCAUUAAUGUAUGCAUAAUUAUUCCCUAAUAUAUACAAUGAAAAAAUGCAGUAGGCUCAAGCUGAGUGAAACAUGUUACACCCCUCCCUAUCAAAUUACGCUGUAAUAAAGAGGUUUGAGAAAGGCACCAUAAUAAAUACCUAAAGACACUCUACCAACUACAAACAAUCAAUCCAGAUAAUAGAUAGCAAUAACAAACAAAUAUUAACAUUUGAAACUCAAGAUACUGGCCAUGUAAAACAGUUCUCAGGGAUUUUAAUAUUGCAGGGAAAAGUUGAAAUAUACCACUGAUAGUGUCAAAGCUUGUAUCUAUAAAGCCAUCUUGCUUUUGACGAAAUUCAAGAAGCUUUUCAGCAACUUGCACUUCUGUAAGUGGUACACUUUCACGAACUUGCCCUUCUAGCCAGCACCAGAAUUCUGCUAAAGCAGCAGCAUCUCUGUAAAUGUAUUUAUGUGCCAGUAUAGACAAUGCAGUGGUCAGCUGGACCCAAAGGCCACAUUAACAGAAAAAGGAAAAAAAAAAAGAAGAUGCUUCCUUUACAAAAUGAAAAAAAAAAAAAAACACCCAGCCGCUGCACUGGUAAGUGCAGAAAGCCAAACAACAAGAAGAUGAUGAAUGCUGAAAGUGAUGAUGAAUAAAAACCCAUUGCUAAUGAAAAAAAAUAGUAACAAUGGUAGUAGGUUAAGGAUCUCCAUUUUCUGUGGAGAAUGACAUCAUCUAAGUACAUGUCUAUGGAUGGAGCUUUGUAUUUGAUCUCUACUAUGAGUUGCUCACUACAUGAGAAUUUGGCACGUGAUAUCCAUAUCCAUAUUUAGGAUAUCUAUUUGUGCACGAUGAAUAGGUAAGCAGGCACUGUGUUUCCAUUGCAAAUUUUGUGACCUAGUCGUAUAUAGUGGGAAACUGAUAUGAGAUAUAUUAGAAGCAAUAUCAUUUAUUGUACAUCAGUACACUAGUAUCGGAUUUGUCGGAGUAAGGGGAAAGAUUAUUAGACAUUUUUCCAUGAGUGAAAUUGUCAUAUCAUUAGACAUUUUUUACAUGUAUAAAUAAUUAUAGAGCUUACUGGGCAAGUAUAAAGAAAAAGAAUAAUUGAAGUGAACAAUCCGUACAGGGAAAAUCACAUUUAUAUUGUUGCUACAAUGCAAUAACCAGACUAUAUGGUUGCCUCAGGUAUGGUUCUUUCAAUUCCAGGAAAUCAAGGUUCUGUCUUCACUCUUCAGGCAUUUUUCAACUGACGAAAAAACAAAGAAUUCAAAAACAUUUUUUAAAAACGAUACCUUAGGUGUGAACUCUUCAUACCCUCAACUUCUGCUUCAUUCUUAACUGCUUUGGCUAGGGUGGCUGGUGAAACUUUGUAUAGAGCAUUUACAGUUCCAUUCUGAACACCAGAGCUUCCAGUAGCUGGGUCACCUUGAGAUGAUUCUUUUCCAAUUUGUCUCCCUGCUUUUCCUCUCUUUUUCACGUAUCUCUCACAGCUUGAUCUAAACACAUUAACUAUGGCAGCAUUUAUACUUGAAGAAUCCAGCCAAAGCUUUGCACCAUUCUCUGCCAAUCUAGAAAAGGAAAAGGGAAACAAUUUCCAGACUAAGAUAAUCAUGGAGGAGUUUAAGAGGUGAACAUUGACAAUUUAAAUUAGUCUCUUUCAUAUAAUCACAUUUUAAGUUAGAGCUACUAAAAUACAAUUAUAAAAUUUAAUAGAAAUUGGUUCAAGAAUACUGACUGGAACAGCACACAAGUACUGAACCAGACCAAGGACUGGUAAAGUUGGCACAUUAUUAUAAUCAAAUACCAUGGCUAAAUGCCCUUUACAAAUUUUGGGAUCUCAAAAACAUGUUUGGUGUUCAAUCAGUAACAAGCUCAAGUCCUUUUGUGAGGUAUACGUGCAAUAAUGCGACAUAAUCAUUAUGUAUUUCUUUCAAAAUCAUGUACAUGAUUUUAAGUUCACAGAUGAACAUAAAAUCAAUAUGUGACAGGAAGAACAGGAAAUCCUACCACUUCCAGGGCAGAGAAGAAUUUAGAUAAAAGCUGUUGAACACGGAAAUGACGUAAUGGGUCACUGGUUUCAACAGGUUAUCAACUCACAAAAUUUAUGAUCAGAAUUGUAUAUCCGAUUGGCUAAGACUAAUAAGCACGCUCAACUACCAAAUUAAUUAAAGGUGGUUCUUAUCUAAUUCCAAAUAUAAAGGGAGAUGAUAUGACAUCAAUAUCAGAAACAAUAAUUGCUUUUCUGAAGAAUUACCUCUCAACAUCGGACAAAAUCGCUUCAUAUGGUUUUAGUUUUACUCCAGCCUUUUCGAGGUGCUCUAAAACAUCUUCAGAUACUUUGUUGUUAUCCACAAAUAAUGUAGCAGCGGUAUCCUCCACAAUAAGGUAGCUAUAAAAUACAGGUGAAUUUGGAACAUCACUUCCUCUCUGCAUACCAAAAUGUGACAAACUGACUAGCUUAACCAUAAUAAACCAAAGUGCAAGCAUGCUCAACAUAGUAGAAAAAAAAACAAACUCUGAACACGAAUUAUCAAGUGUGAAAAGUGCUAAUAUAUCAUGCCACCUCCCAAUUAUGGAUUAAUGACCUUCAUAAUUUGCACAAUAAGACAAUAGUACAGAAAUGUAUCCGAUAAGCAGAAAACAAGUUUACAACCAUAAAAGCACAAAACAUAAAACAUCCUUCAAAUUAUGAAAAGAAAGUACUAAGUGCUAAGCAGAAAGUUUGGUAAAAACAAACUUUGGUAAAUAUUAAUCUUGAGCUACAGAUAGUUGAGAAUCCAUAAAAAAGGAAUAUAGCAAUAAACAUAGGUGUCAAGUCAUAAGAAACGAUAUAAGUAACUGUGAGAGCCAAAAUAUUAGUACCAUGUUUAACAACCAUGCAACUUCAUCAAGCAACGAAAUGACCACAGCAUUACACCCAUUUUCAGCAAGCUGUGAUCUAACAAAGGACAAUUUUGAUGGCACGUCAACGCCAGCAUAUUUGAUUCCAUGCACUCUAGUUUGUUCUUUUGGGGGCUCUGGCCUUGAUUCUCCCCAUAUUUCAUCAACUAGAUUCAAAUCCUUGAUCAAAACUAACUCAUGGUUCUUCUCGGAAAUAGCAUCUUUUAGUUCUUCAGCUGCAUCAAAUGAGAAAAGAAACUGCAUCCUUCAAACAAAGUAAGAAAUAAAGUAUUAGGACAAGAAUAAAAUGAAACAAAAAUAUCAAAACAUAAACAAUUUUUCAGAAUGCACAUUUAUCUGAAACUUAGUAGGAAGACUAAAUGGAAUAAAGUUCUUGGUCAGAAUGUAACAUUUACAAAGUAAACACAAGAAGGUUUCAAAUGACUGUAAAUUUUACCAACAGUACACAUUCAUAAAACGGUUAACUUCUUGUGAGGGAGAUAUAAAAUUUAGAUAAAAAAAUAAGAUCUCAAAUUUUAAGAUGCAUGUGUGCCACAAAGCAGUUUCAGGAUACGAUUUUGCAAUUUAAUUUAAACAUCAAUCUAUUCUUUACUUCUAACAUCCAUACACUAGUUUGUCAUUUCAUGGGCAUGUAAGAAUUUGAAGUACAAAAACUGCAUGAAAAGAAGCCCAACUAAAAGAAAAGAUAAUUAUUUAUCACAUGAUAAUGGCAUGAGAAAAGGCAUAUUAGCAAAAUAAUCCAUUUUUAGUUUGGUUGAUGAUAAAACAAGAUCUCACCGGGUCAAUGCCAACUCGGCAACCAGAUGGUAACACCUCGUUCAACCAUUCGCUAGUGGUAGGAACACCUUGAUUUCCACUGCGCAUGAGUGUCCAAUCAUGGCUCAGUUCUUUCUCAGCCUACUCAACAGAAGAACAGAUGAAUGAUUAGCCAAUAGCCACAUAAAACCAUGGUUGCUAAGAAAUUAAUUUGCCGUGUGGGAAUUGAGUACCUGGAGAAAGUACCGGCCAUCAGUCCAGAGAGCAGCUUUAUCUUUUGUGACCACAGCCGUACCAGCACUACCAGUGAACCCAGUCAGGUAAGCACGCCUCAUGAAGCAUUCUGCGAUGAACUCGCUCUGAGAAUAAGAUAUUAACAAAAGCAGGUAAGUGGGAGAGGGGCAUGUAGUUUCAUGAGAUCAAGAAUGCAUUGAGGUUUUUCUACUUCCUAGUAUCAUGGAGCAUCAAUAGCUUCACAAACAAACAGUGUAGACACUAUAUAUCAUGUGCUCCCAUGCAUACAUGAAUCCUUGUUUCAGAUAGCUAGCUAACGAUGGUUUACUGAAAGGCCCUGACAUCAAAAUCAGGCCAUAGAACAUGACUACUUGCCAGAUACAAAAAGCAUACAUACGCAUCAGUAGUUGUUUCCACUAAUAUCAACGCACGAUCGAAACAGUCAAUCUGCAACUGCACCAUAAUCACCAUUGCUCACCAUUUCUGCACUACUUUCUGUUGUCUCCAUUAGUGUAUCAUCGAUUCUCCGUACGGAAUGAUCGAAUAAUUGGGAGCAAGGCAGGGUGUACUAAUAGACCUGGUGGGCGUCCUGGGAGGGGACGAUGUAGGCGUCGAUGGCGACGUCGGGCCGCGCGAGGAGGCGGCGGAGCGAGCGGAGCUUCUCGUCCUCACCACCACCAGGAGCAGCGGAGGAGGAGGAUGAUGCGCCGCCCCGGCGCUUGCGGAGCUCCGACGAGGGGAGGGCGACGGCGCGGCCGUCCCCGCCCGCGGCGGCGAGGAAGCAGAGGCGGCGGCGGCGCGGGGGGAGCAGGAGCGGGAGGGCGCGGCGGAGGGGGAGGGCGGCGGGAGGAGCGCCGCGGCGGCCGAGGAUGGCGGCGGCGGCGAGGGACGGGGAGAGGCGCGCGGCUUCGAUCGCCAUUGGAGCGGAAAGUGGGGACGACGACGAUGAUAUGAUAAGGGAGGGAGGGAUUGGAGGCUAGAGAGUAGAGAGAGAACCCCGGCUUGCUUUGUGAUGUGAUGUGGCACAACUGGGCCGCCACUCGUCAUUGACGGGCCGGCCCGGGCUGGACUGGGCCAGGCUUGGGCCCAAACGAUAAGCGGUUGUUGUUAUUAUAACAUCUAUAAAAUAAAUUUGGCAUCUAUAAACUAAACCACGGUAUCCCGUGGGGACGGGAUAGCGCUCAUCGACCCGAGCCCCAUCUAUUUGUCGCUCUCUUUUCAGAUAAUUUUGAGGCCUCGUCAACUCAGCUCCCCACCGACAUGGCCAGCGGCGGCGACGACGACUCUGUCUCCGCGCUCCGACGACGCCCCGCACGAGCUGUUCAUCUUCUCCACGUCUCGUCGGCAGACGACGACUUCGCCUCGGUGCUCCGACGACGCCUUGACGGUGGAGCUGGAGCGGGAGGCGGUGGGUGGGGUCGGGGAGCACGAGCGGCUCGGCAAGCGAUGCGCGCAACGCGUCCACCAGCGACGCCGCCGCCACGAGCGGGGAGGUGUGCCGACGCGAGCUUUCUCGAAGGUGUGGUCCAGGUGCCGCGCUACCGUCGUCUUGCCUCCAUGCUCCACCACGCGUCUGCCUUAUCCUCUCUCUCCUCCUCCUCGUCCUCCAGACUACCAGGUAUCAGGUAUCACGAGUACCUAGGUACCAUACUUGGUACAUGUGAGUAUUAGGCCUGAUACCUUUCGUCAUCGAGAUGGCCGGCGGCAGCGGCGGUGAGGUAUGUAGUGUGGUUAUACAUGACGGCAGUGUAUUGCAGUAGGGAAGGGAACAUGGACAAACUUGAUGUGGGCGACGUCCUCGACGAGCAGCUCGAAGUGGCAGCCGACGCACGUUAGGAAGAGUCGUGUGGCUGCGCAGCUUUGUUGGAAGCUUGCAUGUGGGGGUGAGGUGCGCGACUUCGGGGAUAUAUGCGGCGUUAGGCUGUCGCCCCGAGCAAUGCGAAGGGCAUCCCGUUCCCACGGAAUCCCGUGGGGUAGCAGCCCUCAAGAAAGAAAGAUAAUAGAAAAACUUGGCCAGAUUUUGUUAGGAAAGAACUCACUCUUGUUUUGUUGCGCAGGGCUGGUCCGAUAAACGAUGCAUGGGUGGGUGAUCGACCGACGGCAUGUGGCCGGCCAGGCUGGCGGAGUCCGACUCCCGAAUUCAAUUUGGUGUUUCUUGGGUUUCCUUGCGUGGACUUGAGAUAUCUCGAGUCUUAAUUAGUUUUUAAACCUAAUAUGACGUGGAGAGGGUCUUGUAGCAGACAUGACCAACUCUUUUAUAAGGGAUAUGGCUGGUUCAAUUGACGAACUGAUCUACAAUCAAUGCUAUUAGCCAAUUAAAUCAUUAUUUUAAAAUCACAAAUACCUUUUACCUAGUUUUUAGCCUACUUCGUCCAUCUUCUUGAUUUGCCCUGUAAGCCAUCUGUCUUUGUCGCGAGAAUAUAGAUCCUCCUAUAGGUUUAUCCUAAAAACCUUUCAUUUUGCCCACAAGGCGGAUUUUUAUCUUAGUUUAUCUAAAACAGCUCCAGUAGCCGGUUUUGAUUUCUAAACCCAUCUUGAUCAGGAGUUUUAUCAAGGUCGAGUUGAUUGACGCUUCGUUCAACCCCGUAAGGCUUUAGGUGAAUCCCGAUCAUGUGCGGUGGUGUGACCGAAAAUGGCGUCGAAAAUGGCGUCAACAGAUGGUAAUCUUUAUAUUUCACCAUACUAUUGUUUAUACCCUUAGUGGUUUAAAAACCAAAACUGAAAAAGAAAAUGGUGAAAAUUCAUGCAUAAUAAUUUAAAAUGAAGUUUUAAAAUUUAAACACUCAAAAUAUAGCAUUCCUAGGAGUAAAAAUGUCAAAAUUCAAAAACUGGUUAGGACUCUCUUUGAGAGAGCUGGAGAUUCUAAGUAGUUAGAAUAUGAAAAGGCUGGGAUUACUAGCUUCUGAUUCUAGUUUAUUUGUUAAAUUAUACGGUAACAAAUUCUCAGAAUCUAAGUUAUGGAGUAAGUUAUAACCAAGACCGUUUGGGGAAGAUGGGAGAUUUUAGGAAGUUGGCACAAUCUCCCUCCAAAGGCACCGCAAGCAGCAAGCGCCACGCGUGAGUUCACCAACCUGCUUUUUCACCAAUCUUCAUGCUGAGGGGUUGUUUGGUUCUUAACUAACAUUGUCUUAACUCACAUUAGGCAAGUGUGGCUUGCCAUACUUUUUUGGCCUACAAAUUGUAAGCCACACUUGUGGCAAAGUGAGACAAAGCCUAUGAAAUGUAGGGUAAGGUGUUAAAAAGUGUGGCUUACCACAACUACGGCAAUAAACCAAACACAAGACUAAGGGGAUAUGGUAACCUAAACUGUGGUAUGGCAAGUUAAAGUAUUAAACCAAACAACCCUUUAAGGAAUUGCACUGAUCAGACAGUACUUCCUCCGUCCCAAAAUGCAGAUAGUUUUGAGGUUAGCACAAGUAUUAAGAAAUUAGAUGAGAAUGAUUGAAUGAAAUGCGUGAUUGGUUGAAAAGAGAAAAUAGGUGAAAGAGAAUGGUUGUGGUUGGUUGAGAGGGGGAGGUAGGUGAUGUUAGAAAUAGCUAUAUUUUGAGAUGGAGAUAGUAGGUACUACUAGACAGUCGUUGUCACAAUCCAGAUACACGAGUAAUCAACAAAUCUUGGUAUCAUGUCAGGUCACAGUGCUUUACACCGUGUAUGUAUGUCAGUUGCUUGUAAGGGGGAUAAAGGGUCUGUUGGGGGAGCUUCUAGCUGCUGCAGCUUCUCCCAUAAUCAGAAGCUCCCCAAACAGUACAGCUUUUGGUCCAGAGUCUAAGAAGCUAUAGUUGUAGAAUUUAGAAAAUGAACUAAAAGCUAGAAGCUGACUACCAAUCAGCUGCUUCUCAUAAUUUUAAGCUCCCCCAAACAGGCCCAAAGAGACCAUUACAUGCAUGGACAAAGAUGGUGCUCCCAUUUACAUAAUGAUAAUUACAUUUGAAGUUGUCAACAGGGAGGCUUCUCUUUCUGGUUCAAGAAAGACACCUCUUUUUCUCAUAGACCACACCAAUUCCGUGAUGAUAUACUCUCCAAUUUGCAGCAUUUGACACAAGUUACAUACACACAUACAUGUAUAGCUCGUGAUAGAGGCACUGCUCCCCACAGUUUCUUCUCUACACGUUGCAAUGGCAAAAACAAACAAAAAAGAAUUAACCUAUAUAUAUGUAUAUACCGCUAUACAUAAAGAACGAAUCGAGUGGGUGUUGAAUCCGGUUGACCCUCUAAGACCAUGCACACGGAUAUGCAUAUAUUCCUCUUUCAAAAUAAACGGAAAAUUGCCACAUCAUUCGGUUUAUUAUCGGCUUGAGAUUUCUUUUCUUUGCUCAUCUAUGUGAAGAACUUGGUGGCAUGAUAGACUUGCUGCUGCAGGCUCAACCUCUAACAACCAGCAGCCCUGCGAAAAUUGUCGUAUGGACUUGAUGCCGGCAACCUCAGGAAAUGUUGCUGGGCUUGCUCAUAAGUUGGCUGUGGAUUGGCUUCGUUCAUGUUCAUGUACUGGGGGUAACCAUACAGGUUAUCGUCGACGAACGGAUUCGUGUUCGGCACCCCAACCUGCUCAGAAUCAAAUUAUUGGCCUUAAUUUAUUAUAUAUAUGAAAAUGCAGUAUAUGUAUAUGCUUUUGUCAGUGGAUUGACAUGGUAAAAGAAGAAUGGCAUUUAGAGUUGAAAUUGUUUGCUGUGCGAUUCGAUCUACCUGAGGCGGAUAUGGGUCAUGGAAAAGGGACAAAUCCGUCUGGAACGGCUGAUUGGUUGCCAUGGGAUCCAUUGUCAUAUCCUGCGAGAAGCUCAUGAAGGAGGCCAUUUUCUGAUGUUUCCUGACAGUGAGGGCUUCGCAUUGGCUACUCAUCUCCUUGAAUGGCAUGUCUGUUGAUACAGACACUCGUUCUGUAUGAGGUGCCGGGUCUGUGACAACCUGUGAAAAUGCCAGAGGAUGAAAACAUAAGUCAAAUCGGUUAUCAUGCCAAGUGAAACGAACUUAUAGAUCUAGCAUUCUUUACUUUUCAAACAGGUGUUGUUCUUUAAUUAGGACGUUGAUGAAACAAAUAGGUUAAUUUGACAUAUGGUUAGACAAUAUAGCAUUUCAGGCAUGGAUCAUUUGUUUUCUCCCAAUGAUAGGAACAUUGACUUUGAUGUAUCACAUUGGUGCAGGUCUUGGUUGAAUUUUGCAAAUGGGAAUCCUCGCCAUUCUGCUGAGAUCUUGUAACUUUCAAACUACUACUGUAUACCUGCUGAAAACUUGGUGGGUGUUUUCCUAGGUAUCCUAGAAUGCAGAAUAUCACACACAAUAGUAACUUUAUUCAUGCCAGGUUACCUCAUCAGAAGAGUACAACAAGAACAUAGAAAAUGAGUUUAAGAGAGCAAGGCAUACUGUUUCAAGAAGCUGAUCGAUACUCAGAAGAUCUGUUACAGGCACAGCAUUUGCAGAAGCAGCUGUACUUUCUGAAGCUUCCCCAAAGAUAUCGUGGUCAUUUCCCAGGUCGAUCAGCACAGCCUAUUGAAAAAAAACACAACUUUAGCAUUUUAAGUAGGACACAAAAUAUAUUUGCGAGCCUCAAAAUACCUCUGGAUGGUGAUCAUUAUCAUGAGAUCCUGGUGAUGAGUUAUCACCAGUUGCUUCAAAAAAAUGAGUGCUUGUUGGACACAUGUCAUCGGGAGAGAAAUCGCUUAGCAGUUGAUUCUUCACACUAUUCAACUCCGCCUGCAGAAACAGAGAAGUCAUCAGCGGUUGCACUUUUUAGCGAAUACAGCAGUUUCAUUGAGCUCAUGUUCAAACAAUGAAUUUAGGAGACCAUUGAGAAGAUGAACAUUACCUCUAGCAUAUUUGUUAUGUUGUUCAUGAUUGUGGAGACAAUGCAUUCUCGGGAUUGACUCUCUGAUAGUUCUAUCGCUGAAAGGGACUUCAGUGCGUUAGUAUUAUCCUCUGGUGAUCCGUAGAUUUUCGACGGAUCAUCCACGGAAUCUUUCACAGCCUGAAGCUUGCACUCAUCCACCAAACGGAGGAAUGGAUCACCCUAGACAGAACAGGACACACAUGUCAAAAUAAGGACUAUGCUAUUCAUGAAGUCAAGAUGCCGCAAAAAUGCCUCUAAUAACAAUAAGAUGAUUAAUUGUGGUUUGCUUAUCUCCAGACUAAGGGUUCCUUUCAAAUGCAAGAUAGAGAAAACAGAGGAAUAAGAAAAUCAUAGGAUUUUGACAGGAACGUAAGUACAAAACAAAUGAUCGUUUGAAUAGACCGUAGGAAAAAUAUAGAAAUCAGAUGAGAGAUAGACUCAAAAGGAAGUUUUCUAAGAGGUUAGAGCUCUUGCAAACUUUACUAAAAAAUCUGCAUGCAUUGAACCAUUCCUUAGGAAUUUCAUAGGAUUUAGAAAGCUUCAACCCUACGUUUCAAAGGGCCAAAUAGGAAAAAUUUCCUACAAAAUUCCUACACAGAUCCUUUGAUUCAAAGGGGGGCUAAAUAUAGAUGCAAUUGAAACCCAACUUUGAUAUAUGCAUUACACAAAUUUGGGGAUAUGAUUUUAAAUCGUGGUUUCAAGCCCGCUGUGAUAUUAUUAUCAAUGUACUCUUACCAUACUUACAAAGAAAAGUAUAUAUAGCAUAACAAGGAUAACAUAAAAAAAGGGAUGGAUAAAAAGAUUAAACUAAUGCAACAUAACAAGCUUAAUACUAAAGAGUAAAUUAGGUCCAUCAACUUGAUACUAACAUGUAUUCUUACCACUUCAAAUAGGUAAACAUCUCAGUUUGCAAAAUUGUCUUUGUUUAGGAGGUUACACUAUAGAAGGAAAAAAAAUGCACUGGACAAUAUUUUGAAUAUACAUACUGUUCUCUCAUUCAGCAUUUGUUUACAUAUUGGAAUAAGAGGUAACACGUUGAAAGUUCUUGAAGAGAAAAUGAUCAUAGCUGUAGCAAGAGUAAACAAGGAACGGCGCCGACAUGGUGGUAAUGAAUCUGCAAGACUUACAAAAAGAAAAGUUAGGCAUCCUCAUUCAUUUACAACAUGGGACCAAGUUUUCAUGACGCAUGGAACACUGCAUUUCAAUUUACUAUUAGUGCUACUUCAAGGCAACUUGGCUACCUGGUUCAGUCAGUGAAUAGCCCCUCAGUGAAAAUGCAACCUGAAAACUCUGAGUAAGAGCCUCAAAAACUGAUGCCUGGAAGAGCAAAAGAAGGGAGAAUAAGAAAAUAGGAAAUCAUGAUAGAUAUCCUUAAGCUUGGCAAAAAUUAAUCAAUACUAGCCCCUGAUAGUAGGGUUUAGUUAGGAUGAUCAUCAAUAACGCGUAUGAUAGAUCAUAGAUGUAAUAAUAAGGAGGAUUACCUUGGCUCCAGAGAACAAUAGAAGCAAACUAUAAGUGUGAGCAAUGGCUUCAUAGUUUGCUGGAGUAUUUUCAGGAGAUGUUGCUUGAGCCCAAAUGGAUGAAAGCAAAAGUGUGAUCUGGCGACUGCUCAGCUUCAGCAAAACUGAUUCCUGAGUGCAUUCAAGAUAAUGCAGAAACAAUUAUGUGAUUUUAGUUAAUACAUAUAGAGUUUAAGAACAAGCCAUAUUUGAUUAAGGUACCAUUUCAUCUUCUGGAUGGCUUGAGGAACCAUGGUCUGCCUUUAUAGACAUGGAAGGUGCUCUCAAAGACAUCGAAGUAACUCUGAGAGAUAUGGAAGGGGCUCUCAGGGCUACUGAAGGAGCUCUCAUAGCCAUUGAAGGACCCCUCUUCAUGGAAAAAUUAGGAAUUUUCAUGCUACGUCGGCGACUUUGAGACACAGGUAGGUUCGAACGUUUGGCAUUACUAGACUCUUCACUGAUACUAUGCAAGCCACUGCUAUCACCUUGUGAGUUGUCUGAGUGCUUGUCCUUUUUCAACUUGUCAAAGAUGGCAGCUGAAGAUGAAAACACCGAGACAGCCCUAGAGAGUGUCCUCUGCAUGUCAUGUUUCUUAGCCUGACCUGAUACACUUGCUUGAAUCGAGGGGGCAACGGAAGAGGGGACCAAGACAAUAGCGAAAAUGCGGUGCGCAGCUACUCGAGCUUCAUGAUCAGGGUGGAUCAUCGUUAAGAGCAACUGAUGAAACAGAGCUUCUGGAAACACCUGACAUCAUACACAAGAAGAUAAGUCUUCAAAACAGAAGAAAGUACUGCAGCAAGGAGAUAGUCUUCUAUCUUCUAGUUUUGACAGUAUACCUUAUUCUGAUAGGUAAUAUUUGGAACAGAAGCAAUUAUUUGAGCUGUACGAUAAACAGCAGCUGCAGUUGAUCUAGCUACAACAGGAGUGCUAGCAAUAUUUUCUAGCAUCACGGCCAUCAUGUCCAGAACUGGUCCAGCAUCAGUUACCUGUUCAACAAAAUACCCUUGAUAAACCUUCUGUGCAUUGUGGAUAGAUCUUCUGAAACUAAUCAUAGCAUUGCACAGAACAGAAAACAGGUUGCUGAGGGGCAUCAAUUGAAUCAAUCACAUUUAUAUAAACAAUAUGAUGGUGAUGUAACAGGUAUAGGAAAACAUAGAAGUUCGCAGAGGGAGAGAAAAAGAACAUACCUUCUUUGCCAGCUGUCCUAGACAAUCAUCUAUAGCCUUUCGGAACUUUUCAUUCCAUUUUACUAGCUCCGAAUCUUUGCUGCCGAGAGUAAUAUGAAAUGUCCUUUUCAAAUGCCUGACAAGAUCACUUAUGGCACCUAUAGUUGCUGCUGAAGCCUGAGCGAUGGAUUGUUCUGCUAGGGUGGCUGCUACCUCCACGAUACUAAGCUGCAUCUCCUGUUGCUUCACCAUGGUCUUGUGUUCAAUAUGCUUUAUCAGUAGAGACAACAUUAAGUGCAUGUUUUGUCCUGUAGGAAGUAUUUUAUCAAAAAUAAAUAUCUAGGUUCUUUGCAUAUGAUAAUGUUAGUAUCUGUGUGGAAAAGAUGCAAAUGAAGCACCUGCGUUUUCCACUAACAGUUGCAUGUCCAACAAUACACACAGAGCAAGUCCAUUUUCAGGUGACCAUGAACUGUUGUUGCCGAAGUACCGAAACAAAGACUCCAGGAUACGACGGAAUGUUGUUGCCUCCCUGGAAAGCCUAGCCAUAUUGUGCACACAUAUUCUGGACCAAAACUUAGGAUCCUUUGCUUCCUCCCUGCACAUCACACAAGUAUGUUCAGAAACCACCUACUGAAAAAGAAGAAUUGACAAACCAAAUCAACAGAGUAGAAAGAGAUAAUAUUACACAGUAAGGUUAACUCCACCCUUAACAUUAACUAUGUUCUCCCACAAGGGGACAGCAGAGAUGACAAAGGGGGAAGAGUCCUCCGUUUUGGAGUCCUCUGCUUUGGAGUCCUCCGUUUUGGGGGCUUCUUGCUCCAACUGGUCGCUUGAAUCCUUGGUAACUUGACCAUCAUUUUGCAUCUUCUGAGGUCGGUAGUUUUCAAGUACUACUUGAACCACCUAAGAAUGAAAAUAACAAAGAAAAAACCAUGAUGGAACAUUUGGAACUGUAAUAUGCUUGUGCUAGCAACCUACUACCUGAAAUUAGCCAAAAUGGAGAGCAGAAAGAAAACUGUAUGCAUCACCCAGUUACAUAAUUAUUUCAAUAAUAUUUCUGAUCAUCUUAUGAGCAACAACUAGUUGAUGUUUGGCUAAAUAUGCAUAAAUAAAUAAGAUUUAAAAAACCAUAGUAGCUGGUGUAGGAUUUAGAUAGUCCACCUCAAGGGGACAGUCCUAACUAUUAUGGCAGUCCAAGUCCACAGAUUAUCCAGAUCCAGCUAUCUAAAAGGUUUAAUUACAUAUAUUCCAUUUUUGAGUCGUAUGCAAUUUAAAGUAAGAUGCUAUCUGAUGAUUAUGAAAUACAUAAGCACAAAACUAAGGAAAUGAACUACUAAUCAGAUAUAACUUACAUUAUCGAAUUCCGAUGAAAUAUGUGAGAGCUCUCCCAUGAACCAAAUCUGCACAGCAUAAGAAACUAAAUGAUAUAAUCACUGUCAAAAAUAUUUGGUUCGCUAAGUUAUAAAUGUUUAGAAUAGUUGGUGCAUACAUUUGAAGCGAAAUAAAGUAGACAAAAAAGAGAACAAAGCAUCCAUUUACAUCAUUAUUGUGAAAGAUAAUUUACAGUAAAGCAAUAAAGCACUAUACUGUUGCAGAUUAGUUUUACGAAAAAAAAAAUAUGGUGGGAACAAAAUGUAUCAAUCUAGAAGUUAUGUUGCAAAAUAGUUCCUGGAAGUAAGUUGAUAGUAAUAAUAUAUGUAGUUAGUACUUAAUGCUUAAUGAUUAUGAGCUCCCAUUCGUCACGUAGGAAUGCAAGAAACCUCAGAUGCAAACUAAUGUGUUUUGCAGCAUACGUGUUAGUGUUUGCUUAGAAGUGAAGUGUAAUUUGAAUCUCUUCUGACACAGUAGUUGGACAUUUUUUACCUUCCUAGUCACUUCUUCACCAUUUUUGCAAUCAGUGCUAGACAUGUUAUAUGUGAAGUAUGAUUUGAAUCUCUUCUGGUAACAGUAUUCCCAUACUUUUGUUUUCCUUCCUACUCAUUCGUUCUUCAUUUUAACAAUAGGUUGAAGCAUAUGACGAAAGUUUGAUAUGGCUUAACAGUAAAGUUUACCAUAGCUGAAAGGGCUUGCAGGGCUGCAGCGCGUAGGGCAAUGGUCUGCUCAUCCUCUCCUACUUCUUGAGAUAGCUCACAUAGUCUUGGGACUAGCCCUUCCAAAUUGAACUGAUAUGUACCAUCCACCUAAAAUAGACGGAAAUAAAAGCAUGAACCAGAUACAUCAUGUCUUUCAAAAGAAUUCUGCUGGUGAGGAAUGGUAUCACUGAUCACCAGGCAACGGAAAUACCUGAUUAACUGCAAAGUCAAACAAGGUUUCACAUCCUAUGAUGCGCAUAUCAUCCUGCCUCUUUUGAUCUAAAAGAGUGUGUACAAUACUUAAUAAGCUACUUGCAAAUAGUGGCCUGCAUUGAGCAAACCAAAUGAUAGUAUUAACAUCUGAUGAAUAGAACCAGCAUGUUACAACUCGUUAAAGGAAAAGGGCAAAACAAGGGGAAAAAGAAGACUCUCACAUCUGCUCUUUACAAGAAACCAACAAUCUACGGUAUAUUAGCAUCACCACUUUUGCAAAGCCAUACUGUUCACUUCUCAAUUCCUUGUAGAUCCUUUGCUCCAAGGAAACCGUGAUCUGCUCAUACAUCAAUUUGGAAAAAAAAAUGGAGUCAACUGAGCUUGAAAUUUUCUUGAGAAAAGAUUGAGGUGAAUUUGUGUCAAUCAAUACAUGACUAACAACAACAAGAGCAUGACAGGAACAAUCUGACUAUUGACAGAAACAUUUUUAGCUCCACAAGAAGGUAGAGGGCGUGAACCUUGGGCACUCGGAGAGGGUUCCUCGAGCAAUACUCGCACAACUUCCCGAUCCUUCUCUCAUUCGGUUCUUCAUCCUACAUCAUGAUAACAUACGAGCAGCAACAACAAGUAAAUUAGCUAAGCUGCGGAGCAUCGAUUAGUCCGAUAAUGCGGCUUCCACACAUGAACAGAACAAACAAACAAGACAGAGAUGGGGGAUGCAGCAAGGGGCCCAACCUACCUGCGUUUUGGGGAAGAUCUCAGCAAGGAUCGACUUGUACCUCUUAACAGGCUGCCUUGAUCUUGCCCUCAACCCGGGGCAGAAAUAGCAGAGGCUCCCGCACGCCGGCAGGACCUUCCGAGAUAUCACGCCCAUCCCCUACUACUGUAAGCAGAAUUGAUUUAGCAGAGCAAAAAACAAAAAAAAAAGCUAAUUAGAAUAAUUGCAAACACAACAAUGGCGAUCAAAUCAAGGGAUUCCACCUCCAAUAUGCACUAUCUAGCUACGAAUUUUCUCCAAAGCAAGAUACAUUAAUAAUUGUUGUUGGCAAGUUAAAACCGAGCAGGCGAAAUUCAUAAAUUUUGGGGGGAAUGCCAUUUCUAACGGAAAUCAAAUCAAAACGAAAACAAAAAAAAUUCUAGCGGCGUUCGAUCUCGCUUAGCGGCGGCUGGCUUGGUGCUAGACCUUCUCCUAGGUUGCGUGUUUGUUUGUUUUUCUUUCAUGGUUACAGCCUUCCAUGGCUGCAAUCUUGUAAAAAUUAUUUUUCAUAUUAUAUCAAUAUAAAACUUAGCAAAUGUAUAAUGCAGGCACUUUAAGAAAAGAAAAACAAAAAAAAAUCGAGCGGCAACCUGCAACAACAGAAGCAAUGGUUCGAACCCCAAUCUCUCGACCAAUCAAACAUAAUUUAAUUAAAACGCUAUGGAAGGAGAUCGAUAGAUCGAUCGAUGGAGGAGGGCAAAGGAGGUUACGUUGCUAGGAGAGGCCGCCGCCCGGCGGGCGGGCUGGGCGCCGGGGGGGAAGAAACCGCGGGGACGGCGUACGUGCGUACGGCCGCGCUCUCCUGCCGAUCCGGCCGAUGGAGAGAUGCGGGGCGGGUGGGGAGGAGAGGAGACGCGGGGGUGGGAGGGAGGGAGAGAGGAGGGAGGCUGUGGCACGGCGGGCGCGCAUGGCCUUGGGCGAGGAAUGGGGGGUGGCCGCCAUUGGUGCGGGCGAAGUGGGCGCCGGAACUCGAGGCGCCUGCACCUGCAUGACCUCCGUUGCGCCAGCAAAUGCCAGGUGGGUGCAUGCCGGUGUUUGUACAAUCAUAGUGAUCUCGGAAUACGGCAGGUACUAUAGCCAUCCAAGUACGAGCCACAAGAUGCUACUGGCUCCGUCCUAAUUUGUAUAGCACCUUCUUUUUAAGAAAAAUUAAACCUGAUAACUUUUGACUAAUAAAUAUUAUGUAUAUUAUAUCACUAGAUUUAUAUUUAUGUUUUAAAGUACUUUCACGUGAUACUAAUUUUAUAUUUAUCGGAAACAUAACAUGGGAUAAAUUGAUGGUCAAAGUAUGUCAUUGAAGAAUGUAUAAAAUAUAUAGGCCUUAUAAUUUGGGACGGAGGAAAUACAUAGUAGUACUAAAUGAUGAGGUGGAGGAGAUAAGAAAGAUAAGAGCGAAAUAUUCACUUCUCAGAGCAAGUAUAAUAGCAGGCUAUAAGCGAGCUAUAACCACAUAUCGAGAAGAAAAGAGAAGAGAGAGAGAAGAAAGUGGGCUACAGAUUUGUAGCCAGGUGCAACACAGACUCUAAGUUGUUGUGUGCGUAUGAGAGGUGAGACCGGGUAUUAAUGGUGUAGUAUGUUUUUAUAGGUAACUAUUAUAUGAAUGGAUUAUUAGAUUAGCUAUAGAUAAUUUGGAGCUAACAUUUGGCUAUACUAUUAAACUUGCUCUUAUGCAAGGAGCAACCCCUACACAAACUUUAAUAAAUAUGUGAGAGUGUUAGAGAUAUUGGAGAUUGUGUGGUAGAGGCAACCUAUUACACAUGUUACCUCUUAAUUAAUUUAAUAGUAUAUGUCAUGUAUGAAAUUAGAUGUGGUAGUAACUUCUACCAUGAAGAUAUGUAUAUUGUUCUCCCCACUCAUUCCCCUAUAGAAGGCCACCGAAGCUCCGGAUUGUUGGUACUAGAAUCUAAGAGCAGGUACAAUAACAUGCUAUAAGCUAGAUAUAAGAAUAUUUUGUGAAGAUAAAAAGAUGAGAGAGAGAGAACAGCGGACUAUAGAUUUAUAGCCAGCCGCAGUACGGACUCCAAGACACAAUAUGUGUAUGAUAAGUGUGACCAGAUAUUAAUAGUAAUAUAGUAUAUGUUUAUAGGUAGCUAUUGUAUGAAUUGGCUGUUAAAUCGAUUAUAGAUGACUUGAAGCUAGCCGUUGGCUGUACUAUUAAACUUGCUUAUUCGUACCAUGCAUGAUUAACAACUAAAAAUAGCCUACAUGGGUAACAGAUAGAUAAAUAAACUGUAAGGGAGAAUCCUCUAUAAUAUUUUUUAUAAGGGUUCACAAUUUUAACAAAAACCAGUCGAAUUCCACGAAAAACCGAGGUUUUGACGUAGCCCGAAAGUAGAAGCCGUUUAGAAUUUUGAUGGGUUUCAUCCAAAUUUAAAUUUGAAUUGAUAAAAAGGAAAAAAAAUAAAACCCUAUAAAUAGUAUGAUAUUUAUAGAACCUAUUUGGGUAUAAAUUUUUCAAAAAAUUGGUGUAUUCGGUGUAUUUCUUAAACUUUAUAGUAGGAAAGAAAAAGAAUAACAAUUUAAAAAAAAGGAAAACACUUUCCUGGGCCGAAUUCCAUGCAGUAAGCCCACUUAGUAUUUAGCCCAGAUAAUAGAAUAGAGAGGGGAUGUAGUUCUACACCUGAUUUCGCUCGGAAUUUCGCUAAAGCUGACUGGUUUUUGCGAGCAUACUGGUAAACUUAGGGAAUUUGUAUUCAAAUUUUAGUUUAUGAAAUUUGUUCAAAAUCUACCGGUUUUCAACCUGAUUUUGCGAAAACUAUCAUACCGCCAAAGCCCGGAAUAGAAGGUCAUCUCGGAAUCGUAAACCCUAUGCAGAUACAUGAUAGUCCUAUAGCUUAUAAUUCAGUGAAAAUGCAGCAGUUAUAUGAUCAUGCCAACGCUGAUCAGCUACCUGACCAUGUAAGAUAUAUAUCUAAAGUUCAUACAAAUACUUGUAUCCCUGCAUUUUUUUCGAACGUGCAAAAAUGAUUACAUGUCAGUAUAUUAGAAAAAAAAAUCUUUUAUACUCUUAUACAGCGCAACCGGCCAGACGGCUAUUGCUUGGGGACAAGGAAAAAAAAAGAGAAAGAAACAGAAAGAAAGACUGCUAGAGUAAAAAAGUACGAAAGAGACACGUUGCUCCUAUAGAAAGGAGGGUGCCGGCGGAGCCCCACUACGCUCCCAACAUUAACAUUAACAGUUUUGUAUCCCUGCAUUAACAGUUAGCUGAUCAUCUGAAACAAAUUAAGGAUGAAAGAACCCUGUGCAGAUACAUGAUAGUCCUAAUCCAUCAUCUGUUCUGGAUUUCAUAAAUUGAUUUCACAUAGCCCUGAGAAAAGUUACCGACAAGGGAUUGGAAACACACGCACUCACUAUAUAACUUUGAUUAACAAAAUGUUCUCGUCUAGAUUUACAAAUAGAAAACAAGAUCAUUUAUCACCUAUGGAUGUACAUAAAUAAUUAAAAGCAUCCCUGAAACUUGAUGCAAGGAAACAGUUCCCCUUAUCCACCUAUCUCCCAUUCAGCAAUUUACAGUGUGAACCAAGAAAAUUCUGUUUGAAGAAGCAACUUUAUUUCAUUUUCCCACUUUUGGGAACAUAGCAAGCAACAUUAACCAGCAAUCUCGCCGGAAUUUUAACUGAAUCCUGUGAAACGCAAGUAAUUUCCGUGAAACACAUUCGCAUGCGAUGCAUUUGGGAAGUGAUGGCAUUCAUCCACUUCAACCAAUUGAUUGUUGAAUGGUGAUAUUGACGGUGAAACUCACUUUAUAUUUCAGUUCCCCAUAAUUGUCACAAGUAAGCUAGGAACAAAUCCCUGAUGAUGAGAUCGAUCCUUUUAUGCAUUUGUAACAUGUUCUUGUAAAAUAAAUAGACUUUGAUUUGUGAUGCCGGAGUACUAUGCACAUGCCUAGUAGAGGUCCUAGAGGACAUGUUUUUUUCCCCAAUACUUGUUUUUAUUUUUCUUGCCUAACCUCUAUGCCUUUGUUUAAUAUGCAUGAUCUGCCCAAAAUUAAUGAAAUUUAUAAUGGUUCAUUACUACGAACUGUAAAUACUUGUUUUUUUACUUGCAAAGUACACGAAUCUCUAUCUGUCGUGAAUAUGAAUAUCGUCCAAGAAAAAAAAUUAGUAACAUCCACGACACUAAAUUUGUUUCACUAAAUUUAAUAUUGAAUAUAUUUCGAUAAUAUGUUUGUUUUGGGUUACAAAUAUUACUGUAUUUUUCUACGAAUAUGAUCAAAUUUAAAGAAGUUUAACUAAUAAAAAAAAUCAAACGACUUAUAAUAUGAAUUGGAGGGAGUAUACUACUGCCACUGAGUUAAUCAUAGUUGAACGAUUUACAACUGACAGGGUUUUAAAUGAUGAAGUUGUAGGCCGUCCAAGUUUGCUGAGGAGCAGAGCCAAUGCUUAAUCUGUCAAGAAAACUAUGAUGGGUAACUACCAUUCCCUUGGUAGAAUCACCACAAGCUCUUCGCCUCUUCCUACUAGUCUUAUACUCUAGAUGUAAUCCAUGAAAUCCCAUGAAAGCUUGUACUAACAAUGAUCAGGAUUAAUUAAAACAAUGAAUAAAAAAGUAGUGAGUAAGAGGUAUUAAUUAUUGACUCAUUUGGUUCAUUUGUUUCAUAAGAGAAAUUAUGCUUGAGCCAUUUGAACCUAAAGUCUGGCCAGUCUAUAAAUUUGGUUGAUGUUAAACCUAUUUUGUUUUAAAAUAACUCCGGUUACUGCUCUAUAGAUUUCUACGGAUUUGAUGAUGUACCGUAGUAUAAGGUGAAAUUUGAUUUUGCACGCUCUGUUGCGAAGUGAAAAUGUGUGCUAAAUAAGGUGCAAAAAUAUAUAUUAAAAAAAGUGCACUGUACAUGGCGUAAAAUGCAGUACACUCAUAAAUGUCAGCGAUGGAUGGAAUUCACAACAUCAAUUUCUUUCACGAGGUACAGUGACAGUGCUACAAUUUCACUGCAUCCCCUGUUAAAAAUUGCUGGAGUGAGGGCUCUCAUUAGUCAUUACUAUCCAUUCACAUUAGGAAGACCUUAAUUGCUGGCAUUCGGUAGUGUGAAGUCUCAACACCAUACCUGCAUUUUGUACCCUCUCACUAGAGAGCCACAGUACAACUGGCAGCAGUGAAUGACAAUUGACAGUAUAAAGCUGCAUUUACUAGCAACAGUGGAAGGCAAUGUGCAGCUUAUAAGGUGUAUACAUGGAUCAUCUCUAAAACCACAACUAUCAAAUCAAUUGCUUUUCCCCUCUCACAGCAGCACAUAUUUUUACCACGAUCUUGUGAUCUAGGCAUGGGAUGCAUCAGGAGAAGAUACAUCGGUUGUUCUCUCAUUGGAUGCCGCUCUAGAGUCCAAAGAAGCUUUGGCAUGCAUGCUGCUCUGACGAUCCAGUUAAGUUAGUACCUUGCAUGAUUGAACAUGCUCCAUUGCUAACACAUCAACGAACAUAAGGUGAAGGUGUCUAUCUAUAACCUUUCUGUCCCUUGAGCUCAACAACACCCUUGACCUCAACAAUAUGAAAAAUCUGUGCAUCGUUUGCAUGGGAUGAAUGAUAUCUAAAAGUCUACAUUAACCAACAGCCUCCUGCACAAGAAUGGAGAUGACUGAAUAUCUUGAUCAAGUAAUAUUCCAUCUUGCUUUAAUUAAUAAUGGCUAUAUCGAGAGAAAUAAAAUGAUUUGGAAGCUUAAGAUACCGCUUAAGAUUAAGAUCUUCAUGUGGUACUUACUUAAAGGGGUUGUGUUAACCAAAGACAAUUUAGCAAGACAGAAUUAGAAUGGUAGUUUAAGAUGUUGUUUUUAUAUGAAAAAUGAGAAUAUUCAACAUCUUUUCAUGGAUUGCCAUUAUGCAAGGUUUAUAUGGAGAGCAAUACAAUAUUCUUUUGGUCUAUGCCCUCCUAGUAGUAUAUCAUAUAUUUUUUAUGGUUAGCUUUUGGUGGUGGACAAGAAAAUGAGUAAGCUUAUAUGGAGUAAGCUUAUACUUGUGGGGGUCUCUGCAAUAUGUUGGGCUCUGUGGUUGAGUAGGAAUGAUUUGGUUUUUGACAAAUCACCAUCUAUUACAUAUAUACAUGUAAUUUUCAAGGCAACAAAUUGGCUUCGGUGUUGGGCUCAGCUACAAAGUUAUGAUGAAGAUGACGAGUUUAUGAAGGUUGCAUGCCGUAGGCUUGAGACAAUAGUUAUGCAACUUUUUGCCAAUUAUGGUUGGAGAUUCACAAAUAGAUUUCAAUAAUGUGUUCUCCUUAUCUUAGAUGGAUUAUUUUUUAUUUUAAGUGCGUGUUCUCAAUGUUUUGUUGAACUACACUCUUUUUUGAGUGUAACUUUAUAAUAAUUGGUUGUAACUCGUUUUGAGUAAAGGCUGGGAUAUUCUAUUCCAUUAUCUUAAAAAUAAGUAAUAUUUGCAUGUAUGCAUCUGGGAAGAAAUUAGGGGACAGCCACAUGCCUCCACUUGAACCAACUGAUUACUCAACAUUUUCUCUCUGUACUUGAACCACAUGCCAGUUCCAUCAAUGCCUGGAUUGGAUGGAACUUCUGCAUUUUCUUUUUCUGUACUGAAAGAUAUACUGAUGGUAUUAUGACUUGGGCAGAUAUAGGAGUAGGGCAGCUACUCCUAGGCCCAAAUAUCGAUUGAAAUUACACUUCAAAAUUUGAAAAAGAAAGUAGAAUAUAGAAGACAGGUUUUUGUAGGUUAUACUAGUUCGUCCAUACUCUUAGAGCAAAUUCCUCCAUGACUGCUCCAAGCUCCUACGAACUUACUCCCUCCAUCCCAUUUUAAGCGCUGCUAUGAGUUUUUUUUUUCAACUUUCAUCAUCCGUCUUAUUUGAAUUUUUUUAUGAUUAGUAUUUUAUGCGUGACUUAUGUUUUUCAAUAUUUUCAUUUUUUUAAAUAAGAUGGACAAUUAAAGUUACUCAUGGCCGUGCUUAAAAUGGGACGGAGGGAGUAUAUAUUAGACCCAAGAGUAGAUAACCAGCAAACUCCAGUGAUCCAGACUGCCAUCUAUUUCUUCCCUUACAUAUUCAGUAGUUCAACAGAAAACCUGAGGCUUGAAGUUUUAGUUAAGCAGUGCAUCAGCUUACAGCAAAGGUGAUGUGGCUCCAGGAGAUGUGAAACUGUGAAAAGUAAACAUGAAUACCAUAGUGUAGGAAUGAGAAACAUCGAGAAGGAUUAGAGGAGACUCAGGGCUUAUUCGUUUCAAAGGAAUUGCAAAGGAAAAGCAUAGGGAUAAAAAUGGGUUUUAAACUACCAUUCGUUUCAUAGGAAUGAACCAUAGGAAAACUAUAGGAAAGUUUUCCAUUCCUCCAUUUUUGAAGGAAAAGCAUAGGAAAAAACAAUCCACUCUAACCUAAUAUUUGCAUUCCUUUGGUUGGCUUGCUCAACAACAUAGGAAAAAUUCUUGUAUUUUUUAAUCCAUAGGUCUGCACAUGUAUUCAUAUAGUAUUUCUACGUUUAUUCUAUUUCUACGUUUUGAAAAUGCUGUGAACCAAAUAAGCCCUCAAUGUGGCAAAUAGCAUAGCGUUGGGCAUUAAUAUCCCACAUGUAGAGUUGAGUUUAGAUAGGUUGAGGACCAGCGUAUAAACUUUUUGCAGUAAUGCCAGUUCUAGCUAGUUCAUCUGGGUUAACUUUAAAAAAAAGGGAUGGAUGGGAUUUACUACACCAUUUUAAAGGCACAUAUAUAGUAUAUAUGCUUUGAUUUCACCUACACCCCCUUCCCAGAAAACUAGCAUGAAGGCCACUCAUCAGUCUGUAGGAUCGAAUCACAAGAACUAAGCCAACCAGAGGGGGGUGAAUGGUUGGUAUACCCAAGAACCGAAAACUUUUAGCGGAAAUAAAAGUUACCCUCGAAUUCGACAGAAGUCGGUCUGACCGAGAUUGAUCUGCCAGUCUGACCGAGUGGAUGCCGCCGGUCUGACCGGUAUAGAUCACCCGGUCUGACCGCCGAUGUCGCCUGCUGCGCCUGUUGCCGCCGCCGGUCUGACUGCCGUGCUCCCGCCGGUCUGACCGCCGCUUGCCGCCGGUCUGACCGCCGGUGAGUUGCCAGUUAGACUGCCGAAACCCGGUGAAACAUAAAUCGAAGAACUCUUAAAGUAGAUGACGACUUUAUUGAUUCUCUAUGUGUUCACAAAGUGCAUCAACAUCACUCCUUACAAAAAUUUCGACUAAACUCGAAACCCUAACUAAACUAGCAACUCAAUUGCUCUCCAAAGUGAUACCAAAAAGCGAUACUGGGAAGCCUCACGCUCCCCCUCUAUUUAUACAUGAGGUAGGCAGCCUAAAACCACGAACCAAACUCAUACUAAGAGUCCUAAACACCUUAGGAAACCCUCUAGUACAAGACACAAACUUAACAUAACCAAUCGUACCAAAUUUGGACUCCUUCCAAAUUCGACUCCGCAUCCCAUACACACACAAUACUUCCACCGUAUGCCAUAUGGAAUCUUCACCAACCACGUGCAUCAACUCUAGCCUUAGUAUCCCGCAUGAUAUCUGACCACCACGGACAUCGUUUUACCACCAAGCCGACUCCCGGUCCAUCACCGCAAAUACUCUGCCGAGGCAUCGAGUCACCUACACAUGAAACAAACAAAGAAACCAUAUUCCGAGACCAAGCUAUCCUCAACUUGACUCAUUGUUAGCAAACAACAGUAUUACAUACGUAUAGUAUCCAUCUAGAAGCCAUAACCAUGAAACAAUCAUGGAUAUCCAAAGAACCAAUCCGAAACCGAAACCGACUCAGCGUUAGCCGGUCAGACCGCGGGCCUGGCCGGUCUGACCGCACACAUAGCGCCGGUCUGACCGGCAACCUCCGCCCGGUCGGACCGGACACAUAAAAUAACAGAAUCCGAUCAUCACCUGAAAAUUGAUUAUCUCCAAAACCACUUCGACGAUAAUCUCCAAAUAUCAAAACCAAUAAUCACAGAUGCCAAUUGUUCAUCACAGAAUAAGGAACAAAACACACUUUGAUCUUACACAAUCAUCACUACUCCAUCCAUCCCAUAAUGUAAGGGAUAAUGGGUAGAUGUGACACAUCAUAGUGCAAUGAAUCUGGACUAUGAUGUGUCACAUUCACCCAUUAUUCCUUAUAUUAUGGGACGGAGGGAGUACCAUUCACAUUAGCAUGAACUUAUGGACACUCAGUAGUGAACAAGUCUCUCAUGAACACCACACCUCCAUUUUCUACCCUCUCACUAGAGAGCCACAAGUACAACUAGCAGUAGUGCAUAUUAAAUGGCAUAGCCGCAUUUAAUUACUAACAAAGUGGAAGGCAAUGCAAGCUUAUAAUGAGUACAUGGAUCUCUGAAACCACAAUUACCCAAUCAGUUUCCUUUCCCCUCUUUCUACCACAAUAUCUCAUUAUCUCGGAAUGGGAUGCAUUUGGAGAAGAUAAAAGGGUAGUUCUCCCCAUUCAUGCUGCUCAAGAGGUCGUAGAAGCUCGGGAUUGUUGGUAUAGGGAUCUAAGUGAGCACCAUGCAUGAUUAACAACUAAAAAUAGCCUCCACCGGUAAUAGAUAAACAAACAUGAAGGGAGGACCCUCUAUAAGAUUAUGUCCCUACGUAGCAGUUAUAUACUUAUAUGAUCAUUGAAAUGUUGUUGCCUACCUGAUCAUGUAAGAUAUCUAAAGUUCAGUAUCCUAGAAUUAACAGGAAGCUGAUCAGAUGAAACAAAUCAAAGAAGAAAGAACCUUCUGCACAUACACAUGGUAACCCAUCACAUAUUCUGGAUUAAAUAGAUUAAUUCACGUAGACCUGAGAAAAGUUGCCAACAUGGGACUGGAGAUUGGACAUGCAUGCUCGUUAUAUCACUUUUAUUCACAAGUUCUUAUCUAGAUUUACAAAUAGAAAAAAAAGAUCAUUUUACAAAAUAAUUAUUAGCAUCCCUGAAACUUGAUGCAAGGAAAGGAACUGCUCCUAUCCACCUGUAUGAACCAAUAACUCUGUUUGAAGUACAGUCAUAAUGCUGCAAUUUCACCACGUCCCCUGCCAAUAGAAGUUCUGGAGUGAAGGCUCUCAUUAGUCAUCACUAUCCAUUUACAUUUGGAAGACCAUAAUUAUUGGCACUUGGUGGUGUGGAGUCUCCGUUGAUACUCAAAUUUGGUACUAGUUUGGAUUUAUAGCAACUUGCCAAAUUUGGAAACUAUCGAGUCUUUCCCGCGAAGGCCGGUCUGACUUCCAUUGUUUUUUUUAGGAAAACGACGGCAGGAGCUCUGCUGGAAUUUGAUUAAGAAGGAAAACAGAGUGCAAACAGAUCGGUCUGACUUCCGUUGUGUGGCCGGUCAAACCGGACAAUGAACUGCAGUCAGACCUUAGGUGUCCGCGUGGUCAGACCUUCAACACAAAGUCCGAGUCCAAUUAAGUAUUUCUCGUGUUUCCUUUUUUGAGACUAGGAUUUCUCGAAUCUUAGUUGAUUUCUAAGCCGAAUUGGACAUGAAAAUGACCCUGAGAAACAAGUCCACCCCUCCUACAAAUAUAAGGGGUCAAAACCGAUUGAAACAACAAUAAAUUAAUUAUCAAAAUCAAUUUAUUACCCAAACCCUCUAUAUUCUACAUCUUCCUCCUUCUUGCUACCUAUCCCAAAGUCUAUUCUACUCAAAUUCCCCAAUUGCUUGUCAUCCUCGUCUCUACGGCUUAGAGGACGUCCUAACUGGCCUGCCGGAGUCUAGGACAAACUGGCGCGUGUUCACCCUAACGGGGUCCCUCCUGGGUGUUCUUUUGAGCAUCCACCGCUCCUUGAGGCGGCUCGUCUCCGGGUGUGCCACUGCGGGUUGCACAUAAUGUGCUCAAUGUGUGAAGGCGCGAUUCGACGUCAACAGUCUCUAACACCGUACCUCCAUUUUCUACCCUCUCACUAGAGGGCCACUCCACACCACGUGACAAUACAACCGACUUAGUGAAUGUUAAUUGAAAGUAUAGCUGCAUUCACUAGCAAAGUGGAAGGCAAAAUGUGCAGCUUAUAAGGUGUACAUGGAUCUCUGGAACCACAACUAUAUAUCCAGUCAAGUGCUUAUCCCCUCUCUUUGCAUGACAAAUUUUACCACAAUCUUGUGACCUUGGAAUUGAACGCACUGGGAGAAGAUACAUGCAUGGGUUGUUCCCUCUAUUCUUGCCUCUCUAGAGGCCAACGAAGAUUUGGCUGGCUUGCUGGUCCAAGGAUCCAAGUUAGUACCUUGCAUGGUUGAACAAGAUCCACUUCUAAGAUAUCAAAGAACCUAACGUGAUGGUUGUUGAGUUGUGAUCCAAAUUCAUUUGCACUUAAUAAAAGCCAGCUUCUGCCCUAGUGAAGCGGAGGCUGAAGUUGGCCCAUUGGGUUGUGCACCUGGGGACGCCCGGGGGUGCGGGGGCGGAGGCCCCGCGGUACAGAUCGUAAUACCUUUUAGGGUUCCACCUCAUAUAUAUACCUCUCGUAAGCCGCCGUGCGGCGUUGUAACCUCACCCUCGAUAUAGUAAAGAUUUUUUUGCUGGCUGGCAUCCGUGGUUUUUUCUCUCCUGGUUUGGGAGGGUUUUCCACGUUAAAUCUCAUGUCUUCUGUGAUUGAUCUAUUGUUCUUUAUCGUUUGUUUGCCUAUCGCUUCCUAACAAUGGUGUGUGUCUGUAACUUUUCCGUCCUUGAGCUCAACAACAUGGAAAGUCUGUGCAUCAUUUGCAUGGGAUGAAUGACAUCUAAAAGUCAACAUCAACCAGCAACGUCCUGACAAGAAUGGAGGGACAUAAUUUGUUCUACCGAUGAUUUUAUUAUUCUAGAGGAGGUACCAUACUCUUUUAUAUCAAUUUGCAUUACCUCUUUAGACAUCUCCUGAACAAUUAGAAACAUCACCACUGCACUCCUUCAACCUUUUCACUUGCUGUUUCUACAUGAACAGAUGAAAUUCAUGAAACAGAGGGAGAGUGUUGAUUUAAGGAAAUACAGAUAUCAACAAUGAUAUGUUAUAGCCCGUAUUGGAAUGUAUGCAUGCAUAGGGAAACGGGGUAGCCAAAUGACGAUGAUCUUUACUAGGGAGCAGGGGCAUUUAGUAGACAUGGAAUGUAUUCCACUUAAUAUAAACUUUGGUUCAGAUCGAAGAUUACAAUCAUUUCCAGGAGCAACGACCCCAGAGAAUAGGUGUGCUAGCAAGUAUUUGGCAUGAACAUGUUAACCACAAUGAUGAUGUUGUGCCAUGGGAAUGGAAUGAUACACAUAUGUUGAGGAAAAGAGAGAAACCAAAGAGAAAAACAGCACGAGCAAUUCAGCAUCAGAAGCAGUCGUAGUAUAAACUAGAUAGCACUGGCUACGUUGUAUAUAUAGACAUCCAACUGAGGAGAAACAUGAACACUGUUGCUCACUGCUUAGGUGAAGUAUGAGCCUUAAUUAAUAAUUUUGAGUAAGAAAAUGCUGACAGCAUGUUGAUUAAUUUUGAAGUAUCAAAAUUUUUCGGUAUGUUGGCAUUCAAAAUUCUAAUAUUAUGGUAGACUAGUGGUCCAAUGGAGGGCACCUAUAUACCUAUAUAUACCUUCCACACAUCCAGAUUCCAGCACUAUUUAAUCAAAUACUCAUAUCUAAAGUCACAAGUCCAUCUAUAUCUGAUGGUUAUUCCGACUCUAUCUAGGGUGUAUAUAUACCAAUUUAUUUACAAGCUAGUAGCAACUCACACAAACAUGGAUCAGAUCGAGCUCAAACUACCUAAAGAUGAUGCAGAUCAACUGCCAGUGGCAUCACAAAUAUAGGCGUAGGAUGCAUUUGGGAAGGAGAAAAAGGACGUGAAACAAAGACUGCAUCGAUCACUCGCAAUCCAUAGAGCGUAGUGGCAUUGACUGACCUCACACAACCUUUUAUGCAGUAAGACACCAGAAAGAGUAGCAACGACCUGUAUGUUCAUAGUUGCAAUUUCUCAUAUACUCCAUGGAUUUAUCAGUAACUAGAUUAAAUUGUACCAAGUGAUAUUGUGGCACCAGCUAGCUAGUUUAAUAAAAAUGUUGGAAUAGUUGUAUGAUCAAUGUCAUAAUGAAAAUAAAUUCUAUGAAUUGAAAUUGAAAAAUGUACAAAGAAUAGGUAAAACAAUAGUAAGAAUGCUUGAUGGAAUGAUGGUAUUAUAAUGACUACCAUAUUAUUAUAGCUACCUAUGCUAUUUAAAUUUGAAUAGCAGAGGUAGCUUUUGAAUAGAGGUAGCUGUGUAUUAUGGGAUGGAGGUAGUAGUAAACUUUCAUUAGUACAAUUAUUAGUUACGUCUUCAGUUUCUUAAGGGAGAUUACUACCAUUGGAUGAUAUACCAAGUGUAAUAUUAUAUUAUACUAAUGAAUUUUCAUUAACGAUCUUUAGUAAUUUCAUUGUCAGAUCCAUCAAUGCCUAGACUGGAUGGACCAUAUGCUUUUUUUUUAUUUUUUCUGUACUGAAAUAUUUCGGUAUUAUGACUUGAAAUAUGUCGACAGAAAUGAACUUCACACAAUGCUCCUUACCUCCUACCAACAUAUAUAUAAGAUCCAAGAGUAGAUAACUAGAAAACUACUGUGAUCCAGACUACCAUAUAUUUCUUUCAUGAGCAUCUUUUCUAUCCUUGAGGAGAUACCACGAGGUACUAUGAGGUACGAGGCACCAUAAGGUACCAAUCUAAUCUAACCGUUGGUUUAACAGGGGUAUGAUCGGGCAAACAAAAAUAAGCUCUCCUCUCUUCCUUCUGCUGUAUCAGGUCGUCCAUGCCGGCUGUCUGCGCCGUGCCAUCGUCGCAUCGAGGCCGUCGCGCCGCCGUCACCCAUCAAGAUCGUCGCGCCGCCGUCGCCCAUCGUGGUCGUCGCGCUGCCGUCACAUCGAGGUUGUCGCGCCGCCGCCCAUCGAGGCCAUCGUGCCGCCGUCGCAUCGAGGCCGUCGCGCCGCCGUCGCAUCGAGGUUGUCGCGCCGCCGCCGUCCACCGGGGCCGUCGCGCAUCGAGCCUGCCGCCGCGGUCGCGCGAAGAUGCUUGAGCAGUAGGAAUUCUGAAGGUUGCCGUCGCGCAUCGAGCCCGCCGCCGCCGUCUCCGCCGCCGUCGCGCGAAGUUGGUUGAGCAGUAGGAAUUCUGAAGGAAGCUGAAGGUUGUCCAAUCGAAGAUGCUUGAGCAGUAGGAAUUCUGCAAGAGAUGGCAGUUUCUUCCAAUUUUUACAACCUCCCAAAUCUAGGCUGAUAAGAUUAUUCACUGAGGCUUUUGCAAUCCAGUAUGGGAUUUUAGCACCAACAUAACCUGAAAUCUUUAGGUUCUUCAGAAUAGAAUUUGGCUCAAGGUUAUCAAGAAUGAUUGAACAAUCUUCUCUGCUGUUGGUGCCAUCAUCCUCUGACCAUUCUAGAGAUAAUGAGCCGAGAUGCCGUUUUUCCUCCAGCUUCGCAUUCUUGGCUUCUUCUUCAUUCUCAAUAUUCUCUAGGUCCUUGAUAACUAGUUUACAGAGGCACUUACUGUGUAACCUUUUGCUUGUCGGACCUGAUAGUCUUCUAACAUCUCUCCUAGUUUGAUGUAUCGAAGGUGCUUUAACUUUGCCAGUUUGCCCAUAAAAUCAGAUGUAUGGAACAAUACCGUUUUAAACAGACCAUAAAAUAAAUGCAUGCAAGCAGCCCAUGCUGCAUAGGAAUUUAAUACUGAAUAGAAGGAGAUAAUCAGUUCAUAUCGGUGUUUCUUAGGUAAGAAAGAUCAUCGAUCAACGCUUAUGUUAGUUAACGUUGGUCCUAAUAUGAUCGGUUAAAAGCUGUCAAAUUUUAAUUAAAAAAUUUGGCAGAACCUCGCCAGUACUUGUGAACAUUCACGACAGGUAGUUUAUAAGCAAUCAGUCAUAAAGUCAUAAUCACAUCCAGACACAAAAUAACACAACCAACUCCAAGACUAAACAACACGACAAGUACAGAUCAAUUAUGUACUGAGAUUACAUAGUUUCAAAUUACAUAAUGUUACAUACUGACAGGCCUAAGCCUCAGAUAAGCAUACAAAAGAGAGUUACUGGCCACAUGCAAAUAUUCUUCAAUUUUGAUCAUCUAGGAUCAGCUGUGAGCCUGUGCCACAAUGGAUUGUCUGCAUGCCUUUCCUUUUCUGCUGAACAGAGAGAGAAAAAAACUGCACAAGUCAGAAAUAAAACUUCUCAUGCCUAAACAUAGCUGAAACAUUUUUAUUGAGAGAACAGAAACUAAUCUAGAAUUUGAGAGGCCAGCAUGUCGUUUCUGACAAUGCCAAGAAACGAUGAGACCGUUAAUUAUAUACCUAUAAGACAGUCAGUAAUUAUACCAUGGGCAUUCCGUCGAACGCCUUGAGUGCAAAAUAAACAAGAGAAGUUCUAUUCAACUAAGAUACAAUUUCCAUGCACACACAUGAAUUGACAAAUAGUGUGCAGUUCAUCUGCAAACAUGCAAAUGAAUAGCUAGCAAUUCGUAAUUCAUAUCUAUACACAGGAUAUAUAUUAGCAGCUGGAAAAAUCUUAACUAAUUAAGUGUAGUGCCAAAUUGCUUACCUGUUUUCAGGUCCUAUAAUAGUCCCCUAACUGAAGAUAUGCAAAUGAAAUUCUAACUGAAGAUAUAUCAAGAUUAUAUCUAACCCACAUUUUCCAUUUACUCUUGUGAUAUGAUAAAUACAACUACAAUCCAUAUAUCUCUUCAUGUUUUGUGAGUAUGCGACAUGCAACUAUAAUGCACAUACGUUUAACACAUAAAACAUUUACUAUCAAGAAUUAUUACACAUUCAAUUUGAAAUGUCCCCAUAUAGAAUCGACCCAAUGGUUCAGUCUUGUCUACAGCUGUGGUAUUGGGAUAAUUUUACUGACCUAGUGACCUUAACAGGAAGAGGAAGGGAAAACGUAGAUGAUGAACUCGGCCGUGGAGAGUCUAUGACCAGAGGAAGAAACUCGGUGGGUCAGGGCCUCAUGGGGGCACCGCAACCAUCCUAGGAAGGCGAGGGGGCGGACAAUCGGAUCGCACAGUCCCGGUAGCGCUGAGGAUAUGGUUGGUGAGGAGCAGCAUCACCGAACCGAGGCCAACACAACCCCUUACCCUCCCCCCGGUCCUCCCUGCGGAGCUCGUCGGCAUCUGGCGCCCUUGACCACGGGGGCGGCCGGAUCUGGCGACGAGGUGGCAGGAGUGGAGGCGCUAGGGAUGGGGAGGGGGAGGGUGCCAUAGGAUGCGGAGGAGCGGAGGAGACGGCAGCCAACGGCAUCGGCGUCCGCGCUCGAACGCGAAAGGAGGAGAUGGAAGCCGGCGCCCGGCAGCAUCUGUUCUUAGGCGGUUGUCGGUGAGAGAGAAGGGGAAAUCGGCGUUCGAGAGAGGCGAGGAGCCGGGGAGAUCGCUGGGUUGGGUGUUAUUGCGAAAUUACCACCUUACCCUUCCACCCAUGAAAUGCAUUCGGUACCGCCCUCGGGGAGACGCGGGUACCGAUACCAUCCAGGCCGUUGGAUCGCACGAAAUUGACGGUCAGGAUAUGGUACCUCCUUCCCUCAAGGACCGUAAAAAAUCUCUUAUUCCAUUACAUGCUCGAUCAGUAGUGAAAGAAAUCAGAGGUUAGAAGUUUAUACAGUAGUGCAUCAGCUUACCACAAAGGUGGAAUGGCUCUAGGAGAUGUGAAAAUGUGAAUAGUGAACAUGAAUGCCAUAAUGUAGGAAUGAGGUACAUCGAGGAGGAUUAGAGGAGACUCAAUGUAACAACCCAGCCGAGCAAUAAUAGUCCCACAUGUAGAGUUUAGAUUGGUUGAGCACCAGCACAUAAACCCGUGCGUUCUAACUCUGUAUGGAUUAACUCUUUUACAUAUAGCCAGAAUAGUAGAAGUAUAUAAAUUCCUCGAAAGAGCUGAGGUGUGGGCUUUUCAGAAACUAAGAUAGCAGCACCGACACUAACUUUAGUAGAGAGGUGAAGAGCCUGUAAGUUCUGUCAUUUGUGAUGAAGAAGAAAUGAUCAGAUUCUCUGUGAGCUCACAAAACCAAAAUGAGCAAGUACUUCCGGACAGUAUGCUCAUGCACCUACAGCACUUCAUUUGAACUUGUUCCACACCUUGUUUAAUAGAGUUUCUUAUUCUACUAGAAAGAGAAACCAUUGUAAAACAUCUAUAUUUUCUCACAUAGGAUCCCCCAAGGAAGAGACUAAUAUUAGAACAGAACAAUCAUGAAAGUCUUCCUCUUCAAAAAAUAUAAGGGGAGGGGGGUGUCAUUAGGAUGUGACAAAAUUUGGGGAAAAAAUACGAUGCCAUGAUAACAGAAAAGAGGAAUAAUGUUUUUAUUUUGACGGAAAAAGAGGAAUAAUGUUGGUAAUACAUGAUAAUCAUUUCAGAAAAAAAGGGAAUGUGUGCAAUACAUGUGCAUAUGUGAUUAUCAUUGACCCCUUGAACUAGUCAAAUCUAACACCAACUUUUAUAUAUGAAUUUGAACAUAACCUAUGUCUAGAUUUGUAUACAAAAGUUAAUUUAUUUUGGGAUGGACGAAGUAUAUCAAUAUUGCGAAUGUUUUCAAUCAGAGAAGUGGACAGAUAUGAACAUUUUGGUUUACACAUAAGAACAACUUAUCAUGUCGUGGUCAAUUCAUGUUUGAUGUCUAGGUCUUUUGUCUUCUGGAACAAAUUUUUAUUCCUGGUACGAAAUAGUAUCAAAUAAUUAUAAUCUUGAAACCAUCGAAUCGUGUGAAUAAAAAAAAACCAGAACUGCAGAAACACACAACGGACAUGUCUCAAAUUUCAUAAGUUAUUGAACAGAGGAGUAAAUUAUAAAUAUGAUUGAUGAUUUCUCAAACCAACAGGUGGUGAAUGUAAAAGGUGACCAUAACUCUCAGGGAAAAAAAAGCAUUCACCAACCUACCACUUAUUCAUAUCAGUUAUAAAUAACUAAACACCUGCCUUUCAUUUUUAUCAGUGCCACUUCGUUGUUUUCUUCCUUUCUACAGUUACAAGAACUAAACUUGAAGCAGUUGCCACACAUCAGUUAAAGAGCGAGGAGUAAUCUCUACCACAAAAUGCAUGGGUAUGCAACUGUGAGCUUAAUUCAUUGGUUCACACCCUCAUUUAUCUGAUCUGUUGUAGGGAUGGGAUGCAUUGAGGAAGAUAAGAAAAGGCACAACGAUAAUACCGGGAGUGUUUCAGCAUCGAUCGGUCCUGAUUCCUGACCUUCUUUCAGCAUGAAGUGCGACACUUGCAUCUCACACUAGGACAGAUGUCAUGACCUCAGACCAUGACGGAAUAACUACAGCCGGGAAGAUAGCCGGGCAGCGUCGGCUCCUGGAGAAGGGAUGUAGAUUCAGGCUAAGGAGAAGAACAUUGCUGGGAGAGAGAGAUUAGAUUAAUUGAUAUUCAUUGCUUAAUUGAUAAUAGAUACAAUCCCAUCCUUAUAUAGAUGGUACAAACUUGAUCCCUAAGUAAGAACUUAAUCUUAUCCUAUCUUAUCUCUAACUACUAACUAACUAAUAAUCUUAUCUCUAACUUGAUUGGUUUGGGCUGCCUAUAAACCUUGACCUACGGCCCAAUGCCCAUAACAUUGUGUGAGGUUCAACUCAUGAGCUCGUCAACCAAAGAGGUAGCUAACAUAGCUCACUCUAGGUUAAUGAGAAAGACGAAUUUGGAGCAGCAUAUGUUUCUUUUCCGGUUUCUUUGCAUGGGAAAUGUGAAAGAAGGUUCUGGCUGAUUUUUUUUUAUUGGCAAUGACACAACUGUUCAAAUCACUGAUGAGAUCUAGAUAUCACUAACGGCAAGAAACAUUAAAGAUUUGCCCUUCAAAUCACUGAUGAGACUAGAUAUAUCACUGUUUCAACAUUUAAAGAUCGACAGGGUUUCACAAGAGAGUAAAUAAAUAUUGUGUCGUUAGCCGCUACUAUCCUACAUUGGGUGGUAUAUUUUGGAUCAUGUGUAAUGCCGUGUUACAGGUUUUGGUAAAAAUAAAUAAAUGUUUGACAGCAAUGUGAAAAGGAUUAAAAAAUAUUAGUAAGUUGAAAAAUGUAUAUUAACAUGGAACUUCACAUCGUAGAAAAAAUAUGUUUCCAAAUAUUAAUCUCAUUGUUUUUAAAGUAUCACACUAUUAAUUUAUGGAGUUGAUGUUUGACAAUUCGUCUUAUUAAAAAUAAUUUUAGUACAUAUAUGUAAAAAUAUAAGUUAUAUUUAAGUAACUUUAGUGAUUAAACAAGUUACAACAUUACUUACCUAAUUUUUUAAUAAGAUAAAUAAUCAAAUGUCAUGUCCAAAAGUUAAUAUUAUACAUUUCAAAAUGAAGGUAGUACUAGCUUGUACAAGUGCACACACAUCUAGGUUGGCAAUUAAUAUCCUUAGUGCUGGCCAUGGCCUCUUUAUUUAGGUUUAGGCUUAUUGACUUAACCUUUUAAAUCAGUUUUUUGGCUUAUAUAAUUUAUAAGCUGGUGGAUUUAAAGUCCUAAUUUUAAGAGUGGAGUCAUACUUCUUUCUCUUGUAAGUAAAAAAAAACUUCUUCAACCUAGCUAGCUUUUAGCUUAAUAGUAUAAAAGUGGCUUAUGGUUUUAGGAAAGACAAACAAAAAAUUAUUAUUUAUUUAGGCUUAGAUAUUUUAACUCAUAAACUGACUUGUAAGUCUAAAAAAAGACCAAUGCCAAGAUAUGCUUAGGAUUUAGAACCAACGUGGCCAACAUCCACGUGGUGUUGCAUGCACAUUUCUGCUUUUCAUUGUGGAGGGUUGCCGAUAUAUGAUAUGUCACCCUUCUUGUCAAGCAAACCCAAGUAAGACACUAAUUAAGAAAUCUGGAAUUUUCCCUAAUGACAAAACCAAAAGAAAUAACAAUAUAAUAAUAAUAAUAAUAAUAAUAAUAAUAAUAAUAAUAAUAAUAAUAUACUUUUAGGUAGCACCAGCACACACAGAAUAAAAUAGCGACACAUACCCAUAAAAACUCCCGCUGCAUCUCAUGUUCUAUCCUGAUCCUCAAUCCAACACCACUUUACUAAGCAAAAGUUAUAUGCGCGAAAAUUGUUGUGUUUACGAUACACAAAAUUGCAAAACAAAGUGCUGCUGAAUUCUAUAAGAAUGGGAAGCAUUCAGAAAGCAAGAGUUUUUCCAAGAGAGGCAGUACUGCAGUAGAACAAGAGCAUAGCAGCUUGGCUCCAAGGGUAGACCCAUGGCCGAGCAGCCGAGGACACGGCAGAAUUGUGGCCAUGUCGCAUGAACAGCAUUAUUUGAUGACUCCAUAGGUUAGCCCGCUGUAAUAGUAUUUUCAUGGGCUCUAGAUGACUUCCUCGACGAGCCACUAAAAGAUAACUAGCCUCGUUUCUAGUUCAAACGAAAUGAAGGUGUAUACCGUCUUAGUUAUGAGAGGGCGUGCAUUCUCGUGGUUACAGUGAUAAUCUGAGUAGAUCGGAUAAAAAUAACCAUUCUAAAAAAAAUAAAAAAAGAAGAUGCCGUCUUAGUUCGCCAAGGAGCAGAGACAAUGUUUAAUUAUCAAUAAAAUUGUGAUGUGUGAUUUGGAAAGGGAACUACGUACCAGCCUCUUGGUAGAAUCACCACAAGUUCUCCUUUCUAGUCUUGUAGAUCUGAAAAUAGAAACUAAGGUACUCUUGACGUAAUCCAUCAAAUACUACCAAAGUUUGUAUUAACAGUGACCAGGGUUAAUUGUAACUAUAUAAGGAUGGGAACGGUUGGAAUCGUAACAUCUCUUUGGAAAGGACGCUUGGCCGAUCGAUGAUUUUUAGUAUUUAUCAAUUUAACUUGUUGAUAUCAAAACAAUGCUAAAAGAAAUUAGAGAAAUCAAAUCUCAUGUAUUGCAAAAAAUGGAAACGGUACAACUUACAAGGAAAGAACGCUCGGUCUGUCAGGAAUUUCCAUAGCAAUUUUCAUCGUUAAUUAAAACUAUGAAGUAAAAGGCAUAGUGAUUAAGAGGUAUUGUUGACUCAUUUGGUAUAAUUGUAUCAUAACAGAAAUUAUGCUUGAGCUCUUUGAACCAAAAGUUUGGUGGGUCCAUAAAUUUGGUUGAUGUUACACCUACUUUAAACAAAAAGUGCGCUGGCUGCAAUUGAGAUUUCUAUAGGCAAUUGUUGAUGUACGCUAGAAUAAACUGAAUUUGGCAUACUCUGCUGCAGAGUGAAAUUAAAUCUGCUAAAUAUGGUGCAAAGCAGUGUACAAUGUGUAAAAUGCAGUUUACUCAUCAUAUAUUCAAUAUUUUAACACAAUGGUAUAGGAGUAGUUCCUUAAUUUGUUUUUAUCAAGCGAUGGAUGGAAUUCAAUACAUCCAUUUGAGGUACAGUGAUAGUGCUACAAUUUCACUGCAUACCUUGCCAAAAAAUGCUGGAGUUAUAGCCCACUAUGGUGUAGUAGAAAGCAAUCUGAAUCACUGAUCUCAUUUGAUCGAAGGGUUUGCAUCUAUUUUUACUACCAUCCUAGUUAGCGUUAGUAGAAACAUGGAGAGACAUAUAUUUUCCAAAAUAAUAGGUGCUGAGGGGCAUAAUCGUCAUUAGCAGUAACUAAACAUUUGUUUUCCUACUUUUUUGGCUUUUUUGAUGGAUAUAUGAGUGAUGCCAGCAUAAUGAAUGACCACAAAUCAAUCUAGCCGGAAAAAAAAAGACAAAGUUAGUCAUUUUAAUAUCGAUCUAGCUUCAUUGUAUUAGUAAAUUACUAAUUUACCCUUAAUAUCAAAUAGUUUACAUCAUUUCUACUUGUACUACCAGUAGAGAGUAUUGGAGGAUCGCUUCUGGAGUUAAGGCUCUCAUAUGCCAAAAAUACCUCCAUUUCCAGAUUUCUUACCCUCUCACUGGUGAGCCUCGGUACAAAAAGCAGGAGUGCAUAUUUGGCAGUAUUGACUAACACAGUGCAAGAUAAUGUAAGCUUAUAAGGUGCACAUGGAUCUCAAAAACCACAACUAUCAAAUCAAUUUCUUUUCCCCUCACGCUGCAGGCUGCAGCACAAAUGUUACCACAAUCUCGUGAUCUUAAUUAGAAUGGGAUGCAUUAGGAGAAGAUAUAGGGGUUUUUCUCAACGCAGAAGCUUUGGCUUUCUGCUACGAGGAUCCAAGUGACUAAGUGAGCAUAAUGCAUGGUUGAUCAAACUCACCUGAUGAUAGAUCAACAAACCGAAUGCGGCGGUGUGUAUAGGAUAUCUGUCCGUUGUGCUGAACAAGCUACAGAGAAAUCAGGAAAUGUAUGCAACAUUUGCAUGGGAUGAACAUCAUUUUAAAAUCAGCAAAAAUCUCUACACCCAACAUUUUAACCCCAGCAGCCUCCUCAUAUGAUUUGGAGAAACUAACAGGACUGAUGAAUCCUGGGAGAUGCAGAUAAUUUUUGUGAUCCAGUAAUAUUUGCAUGGAUGCAUUUGGGAGGAAAUUAGGGGAUCAGACAGCCCCAUGAUCAUUCUGCAGGUUAGAUGGAUCCAACUACCAAUCUACCAUGCAUGCUGGGUAUGUUCAUACUUGCAAUUCCUUGCAUUUGCCAUGGAUUAUCAGCAAUGUGAAUAAAUUGUCCAGCAGAUAUUGUUGUACACUAAUCCUAGCUAGUUGAACAAAAAUGUUGGAAUAGUUGUAUGAUCAAUGCUACAGCGAAAGUAAGUUUUACAAAAUUUAAAAAUGUAUGAUAAUUGGUUAAAAAAAUAGUGAAAGUGAUUGAUAUGAUAACAAGUUUGUACUAUCAUAUACUCCCUCCUUUCCAAAAUAUAAGAAUUUCUUGGUUGUUUAGCAAGUACUAUGGUUAGGCCAAAAGAUUACUCUUUAGUUACUUUAAUUGUUAUUUUUUGAAUUUUGAAUGGAUUAGAUUCCCUUUCAAAGCAUUUGGUUGGCUCUGGAUUCAUCCAUUGAAGUUAUUUGAAUAGUGGGAAUCAGUGUAGGGAUCUCCUUACAUCGUGGUACAAAAUUUAAAUCCUAGAAAUCCUUACAUUUUGAAACAGAGAAAGUAUAUAUUAGCUAGAAAUCUUUCAUCAAUAUGGUCAGUAAUAAUGCCUUCGGUUUCAUAAGGCAUAUACAGUGCUCCAAUUAGAUGAUAUACGUACGGAGUGCGCUGUUAUACUAGUGAGCUUUCAUCAACGGCUUUAGUGAUUACAUUGUCAAUUUCAUCGAUGCAUGCUUGGGUUGGUUGGAAAUCUGUCAAUAGAAACUUUGCACAAUGCUCCAAGACUCCAACCAACAUAUAUAUCAUAUAAAGGAGUAGAUCGCUAGCAAACUCCUAUGGUCUAAACCACUAUGUAUUCCUUCCCAUGCAUCAUUAAUAGUGCAACCAGAAGCUAGAGGUGGUAGCACACCAUUGCAUCAGCUUAAAGCACAUGAGGAUAGAAGUUAACGUGAAUGUCGUAGUGUAGGAAUGAGAUGCAUCGAGAAGGAUAAGAGGAGACUCAAUUUAACACCACGGCCUAAUGAGUAUUGAUGGAUUAGUCUCCUCAGAUGCAGUGAUUGCAUAGAUAGCUUGAGACUGCAUAUUAACCAAUGCAUUUUAACUAUACAACUCUUUCCGGUUGAUCCUUUUGUAUAAAGUCAGAAUGAAAGCGCAAGGGUUCAAUGAUCAUCACCAUUUAGUUCAGUGUAAUUCAAAAGAAGACACACAACCACAGAAACACACAAGGGAUGCACCUAAUUUUCAUAAGUUUUGAACAGAGCUGUAAGUUUUAAAUAAUUUUCUAUUUGCAUGAAAACUGCAAACUAAUAUUAUAGCUCUUUUAUAUCAAAGGAACAGGUGCCAUAAGGGUUUCCACUUAUAUGAAUAUAAUGUAGAAGGUGACCACAUGACUCUUUCUUUACAAAAAAUAUGAUAGCUUAUGCCUAGCAAUUAGGGAACGUAUCAUAUGCACACAAGUCUUUUCAUGUAUACACUAUGCAUAGUAACUAGAAAAUAUCAACAAAAAUUCUAUAAAAAUUAUACAUGUACUUUUAAUAGUAUUAAAUUUAUAUCUUAAGUCCCAUCUUCAAAUUUAUUAUAACAGAUUUAUACUCUCAAAACUCAGAAUUCUUAUCUUUUUUUAUGACUAAAAUAUAAUGAAUUUGAGAUUAAGACUUCACAUAAGUGUAUUAUUAUUGGAAGUACUUGUACAAAUUUUUCUAGAUUUUUUUGGUAAAAUUUGUUAGUUGGUGUGCAUAGUAUGUACAUGAAAAGACUUUGUGCACAUGAUAUGUUCCCUAGCAUUUAUAUAUGUAUUGAAAGGGAAGUAGUUACAGGGGGGAAAAAGUUUUUCAUCAGUUAUAAAUAACCAAACACUUCGCUUUGAUUUUUACCACAACCACUUGUUUUCUUCCUUUUUCUACACCUGCAAGCACCAAAGUUGAAGCAGAUACCAUGCAGAAAUUGAACUGUUGAACCAUUACAAAAGAAUGGGAGAGGAAUCAAGACAUAAGGAGUAGAUAAUGUGGAUACAGCUUCAACUGAGCUUCAUUGGGGUUCAAUCUUGUUUUGUUUUGUGAGAAUGGGAUGCAUGGAGGAAAAGAAGACAAACCAGCACCGCAUUACCUGGAGGAUCUUAGGAGAAAUUGGUACGGCAUUUCAAACAGGAACAUCAAGCUCGAACGACAAGUGGUAAGUGAGAUAUACAAUUCUCAGCAUGGCUGGAGGGACAAGUGCAAUGUGCUGGAGGGAUCGAUGAGAGGAGAACAGAAUUGAAGUUGUCAACUGAAAUCAUCACCAAGUUUGGUUGCUGGCUGGUUCUUGUUUUAUUUUCGUUGCUAGCAAAAUGCAUGUACGUUGUUACAGAAUUUAGAAAAUCACAUCGCCACAUUGCAAAAAAAGAAAUCUAUUUUCAGUUUAGAGCCUAAUUUAGAAUUAAAUUAUAUGUUUUUUUUUCAUCUUUUUAUAUCUCAGCUAUAAAAGAUUUGAAAUGGACUCAACUAAAUCAUUAAUGCAUAACUUCCUCCCUUAAAAAGUAUUUGGUUUCGAGAGGGAUGGACAUGUGAGUUCCACGUGUUAUAGUUUGAGGGAGUUGGUGGUGGCAGACCGACCAACUUGAAACUCAAACAAGAUCAUCAUUAGUUUUAUGUGUAGCUGCUCUGAGCCUCCGUUCUCCAUGUCUCUCUUUUUGCUUUUGCCUAGUUGCUUACUUGCUUCCUAUUUACAAAAUGGCUUUCACCACUCUUUCUCAAACUAAAAGAAAGAAAUCAACUAGGAACGGUUGUACUAAGGUUGAACUGUGACAUCCUGGCUCAAUUAGGAUGAGGCAUUUGUGGCCCAUGAGAGCUAUGUGCUCAUGUUUAAUACCACCUCACUAGUUUAGCAAGAAUGGAACCAACUUAUAACGACUUGUUCCUCCAAACAUAUCACUCCCGGAUAAUCCCUUUUACAUGAAGCGAUGGUGAAAGUGUAAAUGGGUAGUAUGUAUAAGUAGGCCCACCCGUCAGAUGGGCUGGCUACGUUGUUCUAGAGGGUGGACUGUUACAAACUGAGCUCAACCACCAAUUAUACCGUUCCCAAUGUGGGACCACCAAAGAGGUAGCUAGCAAAGUACACUACCUAGGCAGCAAGAGAUCACCAGCGGCACAAGAACAGGCCUCUAGCUCAUGGCUUGAAUGUGUGAGAAUCAUAGAUUAUUUAUUUCUAAUCUAUAACAUGAUGGCUUUAGUCUAAAAUGAUCACCCUAAUUCUAAUGCGGAAUUGGAUAAUGGACGGUGUUUUGUUGACAGACAUGGAGAUGUUGUUGAUGCUAUGAAUAGUCGAUAGUUUUAAGUUGGUUAUUUAAUUUGGAUAUAGACUGACAAAUGAUUAUAUUCUUCUAAUUGAUUAAAUUCUACUUUUGGAUGGUUGAUAGGAUUAUUUACAAGUUAUUGGAAGAACUUGCAGCAUGUGGGGUAUAUGGUUAUACUACGUGACAUAUAUUCAUGAGUGGAGUUCAGAGUUUUGGCUUGUCUCCAGGCAUACAUAUACCUAGGCACAAGUCCAGCGCAAAAGCAUACAAGGAAGAUCAUAACAACAUGUUUCCCUUCUCUGGAAAAUUUUGUUGGCAACAGAUGCCUUCUCCUUCUUUCAGCUUCUGCUUCUUUAGUCAGUUUGGAGGAAGCAGCAAAUAGUUGAUGAUAUGAGAAUUCCUUCUACAUCGGCUUAGGUGUAGCAACACGACUUUAUUAUUAUUAUUAUUAUUAUUAUUAUUAUUUUACAAAAAUAUAAAAUAGAUCAGUCCCUCACCACAAGUAGAGCAAGUUGGUGAGUUAUUGUAAAGUUCUACAAAGCUAAUUUAAAAGUUAUUGCAUUAACUUAUUUCAUAUUACAAACAAGAGUGUCAAUGGAACAAUGAAAACCAUAUGACAUACUAUAAUUUUGUUUUUAUUAUUGAAAUUAUAUAAUUCAAAGAGAAUAAAUCCACAUAGCCGUAAAGUUCUACAUGUGGUGCAUUACCAAAAUAUAUAUAGCUUACAAAACAUGACAAGCUUAGUUUGAAAAAUUGCAAUCCUUAUCACAUUGACACAUAAAGUGAGUGAUGAGUCAUAAUAUUAUUUUUCUUGCUACCCAUCAUGUAUAUAUGAUAGCCACAAAGUUACUUUGAUGAUGAUAUCAAAGAACAUUUUUAGGUGCACCUAACAGAAUAUCCAAAUAAUAUGACUCACUUAGAUCAUAAUAGAGCAUCAAGUAAAACUAACACUCUAAAGCAACCGAUGGGAAAGCAUCUAUAAAUAGACAAGCACAAUGAAAAUCCUCAUCAUCCUUCACCACAAUUCAAAUAUUAUAGUUGAAGCAUAGUAGUAGAAUCCAACAACAAUGAAGAUCAUUUUCGUAUUUGCUCUCCUUGCUAUUGUUGCAUGCAAUGCCUCUGCGCGGUUUGAUCCUCUUAGUCAAAGUUAUAGGCAAUAUCAACUACAGUCGCAUCUCCUACUACAGCAACAAGUGCUCAGCCCAUGCAGUGAGUUCGUAAGGCAACAGUAUAGCAUAGUGGCAACCCCCUUCUGGCAACCAGCUACGUUUCAAUUGAUAAACAACCAAGUCAUGCAGCAGCAGUGUUGCCAACAGCUCAGGCUGGUAGCACAACAAUCUCACUACCAGGCCAUUAGUAUUGUUCAAGCGAUUGUGCAACAGCUACAACUGCAGCAAUUUAGUGGUGUCUACUUUGAUCAGACUCAAGCUCAAGCCCAAACUCUGUUGACCUUCAACUUGCCAUCCAUAUGUGGUAUCUACCCUAACUACUAUAGUGCUCCCAGGAGCAUUGCCACUGUUGGUGGUGUCUGGUACUGAAUUGUAACAAUAUAAUAGUUCGUAUGUUAAAAAUAAAGUCAUACAUCAUCAUGUGUGACUGUUGAAACUUAGGGUCAUAUAAAUCUAAAUAAAAUCAUCUUACCUAUUUAAAUAGCAUUCCUCUAUGAGGAUAAAUCCUAUUACAUUAUCGUAGCUAAUUACCAUCACAGGGACUUUACAAUUUUACUAUAUGCAUGCAUUUGAUCCUAAGCUGCUUUGGCUAUUAGAUAUAAAUGAAGUGCAUUAAGCAAGUUCAACCUUUCAUUCCCAAUAGGAACGAACUUGAAGCACAGAUGUCAAUUACUAUACCCCUAACAAUUGAUACACUAUAGCAGCGGUUGUAGCCGCAGCUGGAGGAUUCGCUGUCGAGCAGACCAUAUACCUGAAUUUAAACCAUGUCAAAUAUCCGUAAUGAAUAACAAAUAAUUUUAUAUUGUGCAUAUCCAAUGAAUAAUCAAACAUUUGCCUUUCGACUGUAAUGCUUGCAUGGCCUGCUAUUGUAUUGCUCUGGAAACACAUCUUUAACAGAUGUUGUAUUAUCACAUACAUUACAUUGGAGGAGAAGGAUUUAAGUGAUCAUAUAUAGAACAGAGGAUAUGAUGUUUUAGAAAAAAGAAGAUUAAUAAUGUCAAGAAUACUUUGUGAAACAGUGCAUGAUGCAGGCACAUCACUUGAUACAUUAAAAGCGCUGUAAAAAAUUUAUGCUGGGGAACUAAUGCACUACUACUAGCCUCACUAAUAUCAUCAGUUCGCGGUAUGUAACAAGCUAACAUUCUACACUGCACCACCCCAUCCAUUCUUGCUUUUUUCUAUAGAACACAAGAAGGAACAUCAGUAACUGGAUGCAUGUGUGCACCGCCAGCUGCCACAGUGUUGGCCAUUAUCUCUUUCUUCAAGGCAUUUCUUCCCAUCAACUCCUGCUUGACACAAGCAGGACAAAAAUGUAGCUUUGGUUAAGUCAAGGGGAGUCAGUCCAGCUAUAGAUGAACCAGCGCCCUUAUUAUUGUGAUUACUGCCCUAGCUCACACACCGGAAAUGGACUCAAAUCUUAAAGGCAUGUGAGCUUCUAACGAGCCCACAUUCCAUCUAGGUAACAUGAUAUAUUGUAAGGCUCUAUUUUUUUCAGAUUAUUAAAAUGGAUUAUUUGCUCCAUGCUUUAAAAUAUAUGUUUGCUCCAUAUUCUAAGUCAAGUAUUUUAUUUAGGGUAAUUAUUUUGAUCCUAGAGGAGACAUCCUAGGAUUUCUCUAAACAUCAUGAAAAUAGUUAUAGUAAAGAAAUUUCGUAAUAUUUAUGUGGUGUACAUAUUCCACCCUCACAAAUUAAUUUUCAAGUUAAGCUCAGUAGCAAAUCGACAAGUAAAAAAGGACAGGUCCAGCAUAUAAACGUUCAUGUGCAAUGUACAUACGAAUUUAUUUAUUUUGUUUCUCAAUGUUCAGAUCCAAUUUAAACUUGGUUUUUUCGUUGAGUAGUAAAUUGUCAUUGUACUCUAUAUUGUCAUUUUGUUAGGGAAUCUUUCAUUACUGUGUGCACUGCAUCGAAGAGAAAAAAAGGGCGUGUAAAUGCAUAUCCUCUAUUAAAAUCCGACUUCUAUAUAUUUUGCCCCAUUUUCUCUAUAAUUUCUAGUGGUUAUUGAUUGAGAACAGCUACAAAUUACUUACUAAGCACCUUUCAUGGGCACUAUAUAACUCAUGCAAUUCUUAAGGUUUACGAAUGCGAAUACAAAUAGAAAUUCGCUGUGCCGACCUGUUUUCAAAGAUUAAAAAAUUGAAACAUCAAUCAGAAACCAUUCCAGAAUGGGCCAAAAUUUGGAAAACAAAUUUUGAAUUCCAUGGAGAAAAUUAACUGGCUGGCAAUUGCACAUUUGCACUGCUUUGCCCCUAUAAACAUCUUCGAGUAGCCAUUUCAUUAUUCCCAGUAAAAUAUUAAUACUCCUUAAUCAAGAACUGCCAUAUAGGUCAUUUCUCUUGGUACUUCAGUUCGCUCAUUUAUUUCUCAUAAUUUAAAUUUCAAAGUAAUAAGCGAUAGAUCAGGAUCCAUGAUUUGAACAUGCAACUUUAAAGUAAUGCAGUAAGAUAUAGAUCGGUGUCCAUGACUUGAACAUGCAUGAACAGUAACCCCACUCGUGAGUUAAAAAGAUAGAUCCAUGAUUUAAACAUACAUUCGCAGAUAUUUGAUCAUUAUAUGUUGUAAUUAUAUUCUCAUAAAAAAAACUAAAAAUGCUUCAUAGCAUUUGUAUAUUAUGCCAAUAUUGAGAUAAUUUCGAUAUCUCAUAUGUUUUAGAUUGGAACAGAUCACGAAAGUUUUUCUUCGAAAAGUUAUGGUCAUUAGGACAUGAUGGAUUUGAGGUAACAAAAUAGAUGAGAUUUAUUAAAACCCUUGAAAUAGUCCAACAAUCCAGCGCUAACAUUUAGCACAGUGUAAUUCAAAAGAAGACAACCACAGAAACACACAGGGGAUGUUUUAAACUCCAAUUUUUAUAUAUUUGGCAUUAUUCAAAUUGCAAACAAAUAUGAUGACUCUCUUUCUCAAAGAAACAUAUGCCGUUAGGGUGAUCCCAGCGCUUCACUUAGAAUGGUUUUUCAUAGCAUUAAAUGAUAUGCCACGUAGGAAAAAACAUGAUGUGCCAUUUUAUUAACUUAGGAAAGAGAAGAAAAUUGGGUCUUCUCAAAAUGAUCAUCAUCUAACAAAAUGUCUCUUUGUUUAUUUGUGCAAAGAGUAAAUGUGCAUCGUGCAAUGUCAUGCAUGCUGCCAACCAAGAUUAAUUUCUAUUUAGUUGAACCUGUGCAACAUUUAAAGUGUGAAGUAAUUUUUGUUGGACUUGAAGCGACAAAGCACCUUGGUCGAUUAGGCCAUCCCCAACCCAUGGUGUCCAUGGGUGGUGUCUAGAGCAGUGAGAGAUCAAUAAAUGCAUAUAUGGACACUACCUCCCCAUUGCAUCGUUUAUAUACCAGUUUUCAUAGGCAAAAAAAAAUUAGUAGCUCUUUGCAUGUAACAUUAACAGAGGAGGGUCAGCUGUGGCAAGCAAGCAAGCAGACGCGGGAGGGGAGGCGCGCAGCAGGCAUGGUGACGGGGUAGGGCGCAGCGGAUCGAGAUGCGAGGAUUUUUUUUUGGGGGGGUGGGGUGGGGGGAGAGAAACGAGUCAUCCAACCCAACGCGGAUUUAGCUAGUUUCCAGUGCCUUGGAACAGCCGCCGAAACGGUGUCGCGCAUGCGACCUGGUUUCUAUGUUUUUGCUUCUUUCUCUUCUUUUAUUCCGUUGCCACAUCAACUUUUUGUCUAGUUGGCAGCCUAAUUAAUUCUAUGGAAACCAGGUGACAUGGAGGGUUGGGGACAUGGUGGAAAAAACCGGAACGGGCCGACAGUUCAACCGGAAAAAACCAGAACCCGUUCAGUUCAAAAGAAAGACCGGACAUGCAUAUGACCCGCUUUGAACCGGCAGAACCGGUCGGUUUUUCUAUGAACCGGUCAUUAAACCGUCCCCGGUUAGACCGAACAAGCCACAAUAAUCUUGAAAUGGGCCUUGAUGUGGCCCAAUUGGUCUGCCUAGAGCGUUUUGGUUGGCAAAAAUCAAUCUCCUAUUCUCGGCACGUGUGAUAUACAAUGGUAAGUGAGAUAUACAAUUCUCGGCACGGCUACAUUACAAGGUGUCGCAUUGUGUCAAUGUUUGGUUAAUUUGCUAGAUUCACAUAAUACAUGCCAGGAAGUUCAGAACAAUGUGUUGCCUUUCACCGGAAAACUUUGUUGGAGCAAAUGCCUUCUUCUUUUUUGCUUCUGCUUCUUGAGUCCAUGUGGAGGAAGCAGUAGAUAGCUGAUGAUAUCAGGAUUCCUUCUGUGUCUGUGUAGGUGUAGCAACACCACUAUAAUUUUUAUUUAGCAACACAAUAUCAAUUUGGUCUAUAAAAGUAUGAAUUAAAUCAAUCCCCAACCACAAUUAGAGUAAGUUGGUGAGUUAUUGUAAAGCUCUGCAAAGUUAAUUUAAAAGUUAUUGCAUUAACUUAUUUCGUAUCACAAACAAGUUUUCACAAGAGUAUUAAUGGAACAAUGAAAACCAUUGAACAUACUAUAAUUUUUUUUCUUACUGAAAUUAUAUAAUUCAAAGAGCAUAAACCCACACAGUCGUAAAGUUCCACGUGUAGUGCAUUAUCAAAAUAAUAGCUUACAAAACAUAACAAACUUAGUUUCAAAAGUUGCAAUCCUUAUCACAUUGACACAUAAAGUGAGCGAUGAGUCAUGUCAUUAUUUUUUUGCUCACCAUCAUGUAUAUAUGAUGGGCAUAAAAGUUACUUUGAUGAUGAUAUCAAAGAACAUUUUUAGGUGCACCUAACAGAAUAUCCAAAUAAUAUGACUCACUUAGAUCCUAAUAUAGCAUCAAGCAAAACUAACACUCUAAAGCAACCGAUAGGGAAACAUCUAUAAAUAGACAAGCAUAAUGAAAACCCUCCUCAUCCUUCACACAAUUCAAACAUUAUAGUUGAAGCAUAGUAGUAGAAUCCUACAAAAAUGAAGAUCAUUUUCGUAUUUGCUCUCCUUGCUAUUGUUGCAUGCAACGCUUCUGCACGGUUUGAUGCUCUUAGUCAAAGUUAUAGACAAUAUCAACUACAAUCGCAUCUCCUGCUACAGCAACAAGUGCUCAGCCCAUGCAGUGAGUUCGUAAGGCAACAGCAUAGCAUAGUGGCAACCCCCUUCUGGCAACCAGCUACGUUUCAAUUGAUAAACAACCAAGUCAUGCAGCAACAGUGUUGCCAACAGCUCAGGCUGGUAGCGCAACAAUCUCACUACCAGGCCAUUAGUAGCGUUCAGGCGAUUGUGCAGCAACUACAGCUGCAGCAGGUCGGUGUUGUCUACUUUGAUCAGACUCAAGCUCAAGCUCAAGCUUUGCUGGCCUUAAACUUGCCAUCCAUAUGUGGUAUCUAUCCUAACUACUACAUUGCUCCGAGGAGCAUUCCCACCGUUGGUGGUGUCUGGUACUGAAUUGUAAUAGUAUAAUGGUUCAAAUGUUAAAAAUAAAGUCAUGCAUCAUCAUGCGUGACAGUUGAAACUUGAUGUCAUAUAAAUCUAAAUAAAAUCACCUAUUUAAAUAGCAUUCAUGUAUGAGGUUGCAUUAUCAUAGCUAAUUACCAUCACAAAGAACUUUACAAUUACUAUGUGCAUGCAUUUGAUCCUAAGCUACUUUGGCUAUUAGAUACAAAUGGAGUGUAUUAAGCAAGUCCAACUUUUCAUUCUAAUAGGAACAAACUUGAAGCACAUAUGUCAAUUACUAUAUCCCCAACAAUUGAUACACUAUAGCAGUGGUUGCAAUGGCAGCUGCAGGAAUUGCUAGUGAACCCAACAGCCCAUAUAACUGAAUUGAAGCCAUGUCAGACAUCCGUAAUGAACAACAAAUAAUUCCAAAUAGUGCAUAACCAAUAAAUACUUAAAGAUUUGUCUUUCAACACUAAUGUUUGCAUUUCAUGCAAUUGUAUUGCUCUGGAAGCACCUUUUAACAGGUUGUAUCAUCACAUGCAUUACAUUGGAGGAUAAGGAUAUAAGAGAUCAUAUAUAGAAUAGAGGAUAUGGUGUUUUAGAAAAAGAAGAUGAAGAAUAUACAUUGUGAAACAGUGCAUGAUAUAGGCACAUCACUUAAUACAUUAAAAGCACUGCCAGAAAUCUAUGUUGGUGAACAAAUGCUCACUGGUUGUCUCACUUAUAUCACCAUUCACCAAGUUCACCGUAUGUAACAAGCACUUGGCCCCAUGGUUCCCCUUACCGUUUUUGACGCGGUUACCACAUGGUUACCGCAAAAAACCGUGUGGUAACCGUGAGACAUACCGUGGUUUCAAAAACUAAAAAGGUUACCGCGUGUGAUAGCCGCGCAGUUUUGUAAACCCUGCUUGGCCCUACACCACCCCAGCCAUUAAUUCUUGUCCUUCUCUGUACAACGCAACGAGGAAAUACAUCAUGGGCAUAGGGAAUAAUUAGCAAGUUUAGCAAAAAUGAAUGGCACAAUUGUAUAGCAUGAGUGAUGAUGCAAUGAGGAAACAUAAGAACAUCAGCCAGGUGUUUCUCCC
Molecule: long non-coding RNA, 92143 nt
Filed under: Oryza sativa (Asian cultivated rice)
Lineage: Eukaryota; Viridiplantae; Streptophyta; Magnoliopsida; Poales; Poaceae
Description: long non-coding RNA (OSAT_LNC001293)
Rfam family: MIR812 microRNA precursor family (bases 41321-41522)
Source: RNAcentral